RNAcentral lists this long non-coding RNA (96186 nucleotides) under Fragaria vesca (wild strawberry). Its description in RNAcentral is "long non-coding RNA (FVES_LNC001455)". The stretch from base 21685 to 21789 matches the Rfam family "mir-172 microRNA precursor family". The record is from RNAcentral. Lineage: Eukaryota; Viridiplantae; Streptophyta; Magnoliopsida; Rosales; Rosaceae.
AGGUUUUUUUUUUUGUUUUUUUUUUAUUAUCAAAAGUUAAGGCUUAGAUAUUUAAGUUUUAGGAAUUUGGAUGGACCACAAUAUGUAAAAUAAAGUUUUCUACCUUCAUGGCUUUGUGGAAGGGAGUUCCAGGUAGAUCAAGAGCCAUGGAAUUAUAACCCUUCUCAAUGCAAUGAUACAGAUGUUUAAUCCCUUCCCCUUCAAUCCCCCUUUUGUUGCCUAAAACUGAAAUCAUUGCCACAUCGAAAGCAUACUGGCACACCAAAACCAAACAAAAAUGAGAAUCAAACUUUUAGAUUCCUUUCUGAUGAAAUGCACAAAGAGUCCUGCACUAAAAGUCCAAAAGAAUCCCAAUAAACUGACAGACAUACCCUCUUCAUCUCUUGCAAAGUGUUAAUGGUGUUCUUCUUCCAUGUGGGAAGUAGCUUUAGAACAAUUUGCUCAAUCUCUGAGACUGAACCUUUUAUUGCAGAGGGCAAAAGUGAAGCCUGAACCACCUUCUUUAGCUUCGAGUGAUAGGCCCCUUGGUGGAAGAAUAUAGCUUCCGGCCCUAUCAUCCUCUCUUUGCCUACAGGGUAAGUUGGCUUAAAGAGAUGAGCUUGAGUCACCAGUACCAUUUUUGCUGCUUCUGGGCUCGUUAUCAUCACACAGGGACACCCCAAAACAUGGCUCUUGAAUAUACUCCCAUACCUACAGUAAAUGCAUUAGCAAAAACUAUCACAUAUCAUCUACCUAUAAAAUCCACUGUUUCAUCCUUAAUAUCUUAGCCCAUAGGAAAAAGAAAAAAAAAAAAAAACAGAAAAAAGGGUCUAUACGAAUAUUUACAACCUCUGGCAAUGUUUGCAAGAGAACGAUAUAUACAACAGUCAUACACAAGAAUUUCUCUUGACACGAUAGCACAACUUUUUCAUAUGAUGAUUCAGAAAUUCUUGCAUACAAGCGUUAAUCAAUCCCUUGCAAAACUGAGCAUGUAAAUACCAUGCAACAGACUGGUAUAAGAGAAGUGUUGCAGUUGCAUACAAUGAUGCAAUAGUGAUAAGCAAGAUUUUCAUUUUCUUUUUAUCUUUUUCGGAUAUGAAGCAUUAUUUAAGAAGAGGAGCUGGGAUCAGCUAGGAAAUGAGAAACCAAAGAGGUCCAUUGUGGAUACCGUUUCUGCCGGACUGAGAAGAAAGAAUUUGGAUUUUCAGUGUAGAGCUCGAAAGUCUCUCCAAAAAACGGCCAACCCAUUGAACCAGGGGGGAGGCGCCUGUAGAAUCUGGGGUACUGCCAUUGGAUAAGGAACAAGCCCAAGAGCAGAAGGAUUGGUAUCAAGACUAGUCCAAAGUCUGAGUGCAGAGCUGAACAGAAAGGAGGUGAUGAUGAGAAAAGUUGCAUGGUGCUGAAGACGGAGGAGGGAUUGAUGAUUUGGUGUGAAGAGGUGGACUAGGCACAAGCGAAGCUAGUGGUGAUUGAAUGUGAAUGGGGUUGUGGGGGUUUUAUAAUUGGGUUUGGGGACACACGUCAUCACGUUUAUGGCAACACUUGCUAUGCAUAUUUUUUGAGAUUUCUAUAGGGUCCAUCCCGCACCUUACUUUACCCCCCACCAGAACCAUAUUAGACAUCGAUAGGACACGUUAUUAUAAAAUUUGGUUACAAAGGAUUCAAUCUGAUUAUGAACUCUUGUUUAUUCUAGAGAACCAUCUAAUAACACUUGUAAAAACCUAAAAGGGAAAACCGUUUCAUUUCUUAAGGAAAAGAUAGAAAAGUUUAUCUUGUGGAUGCAUGACUCUUCUUAUUAAGAUAUGUUGAGAAAUUACUGAUUAGGCUUAAAGAUGUAUCGAGAAAUUACUAACUUAAAAAAACAAAUGACAGAUGUAAUAAGUAAAUACGACCUAUGUAAAGUUAUUAAUUUCAUUCAACUUACAUUACUGUAGUUCUAUUAAAACUUCAAGUUACUAGUUAAGACAUUUUAUCGAACAUCUUAUAUUCGUAAUCGUCUAAUAUUCAUGAUCAUGAUCAUGAUCUAUACAAGAAAAAUCUAUGGACCAAAAAAAAAAAAAAAAAAGGGAGUUUCUACUGACCUGGCUGAGCUCGUCUGACGGUCUGAGCCACCAAUGAUUACGUGAAGGAACUCGUGGCCUGCCUCACUCUUCCGUUUUGUAUGCGGUGGCCAGAUUUGCAGUUUUUCGGCUCUCUCUCUUUCUACAGAGAAGACUCGUACCCUCACCCCUUCAUACGUGUAGGACUCUCAUGUCUGUUCGUGAGACUGAGCCUUCAGUCCGUACGUUUCAGCAUGCAAGUGAUGCGGGGCCAUUCAAGAGAACUUUGGAUCUUUGCUGGUCAUGGCCAACCUUAUUUUCUGGUUCUUCUUUAUGCCAUUUUCGGGAAAAGGCUCGAAGAACCCCCACCGGCCCCCAACUUACUGAACUCGGUUCGACAUGUCAUUGUUAUCUUUCCACCUCUAACCCAAUUCCCCAUCACAUUUUAUGCAUGCAAAUGUAAUGCCACACUCGUGUUAGCCUAUUCUGAGUACUGUUUCUUUUCUCUGUUCCCUUGUUUGAAUUUAGAUGAUGAGAUUACGUCAAAUGGGAUCCUGAAAGAAAUAACUGCUAUUCUUGCUUUGUGAAAGCAUUGUUGAGGGAUAUGUCAGUUCAAUUGAAAGAUUAUAUGCAUCUAAUUAACUUUGUAUGGAACUCAGAUCUCUUUACAAUGUGAUAGUGAAUAACAACUCAAGAUCCUUGAUGUCAUUUAUAUGCGCAAAGGUAGUGCUAACCUCAUACAAGGUUGUUCUUUUUCUAUAUAUGUAGCAGUGCUAAAGUGUCAAAAAUUAUACAUCAGAGAUAACCUGAUGCAAAGUUGUUCUCUUUCAAUGUAACGGUGUUAAAGUGUCAAAAUUUAUGCAUCAGAGAUAAUGUCAACCUCGUAUAAUGUUAGUGGUGUCUAAUGACAGAUUUUUAUCGAUAUAUCAUAAAUAGACAUCCAACUGGUGUAGGGUUAUAUCUGUUAUCUAUAAGUUGUAAAAUAUGUAACAACUCAAAUUAAAGAUGCAAUCUCUUACGAAGUGUUAGAUUUUAUGCAUUAGGUGUAGUGUCAACCUCGAGUAAGUGUAGCGGUGUCUAAAUGACAAAGCUUAACUAUUAUAUCAUACAUUGGCAUCCAAUUAAUCUGAGGUUAUAUAUAUGUACUAUAUGUCAGUGAUAAAGUGUUUAACAACUCAUAAUAAAGAUGCAAAAUCUCUAAUUAUAUGUCAGAUUGUAUUCACGCGAAUGUGACACCAACAAGAUUCUUCUUAUUAUGUGUUAGUGAUCAGUGAUAGAUCAACAACUUCACAAAUAAUGACAUAUGCACAAACUUGAUUGAGACUUUUCUUCUCUAUGAGGGUUUCUCUACUGGUUAAUCUCUAUAUAUGCUGGACAUAAGUUAACACCAAUUUGCCUUAUCCUCUAUCAAUCCUUUAAUAUGAGGUCUUGCUACCUUAUGAUUUAAUCUCUACUGCCUGAUCGAACUAAAAUUUCCCAUAAUCUUAUAUUCUUCAUCGCAUAUAUAUGAAAUAUUGAUCUGAAAUUCUGGAUCUGAUAUGGUGAUACUGUGAUAGUACGUGGCUGACACACUAACUGUAGAUUGAGAAGUGGUUGGCCAAAGAUAGCAAAGAGUUAAGGAUCCGAAACAGAUUUGAGAAUUGAGAAGAAGGUUUCCCAAGAAUAAGAACAGUUCACGUGGGAGUGGCUGUCUCGACUUGACUCUCCAUCAGGAGAUAGAUCUCUGGUUUUGUUGUUGUUGCAGGUAACGUACGACUACAGGCGUCGUCCUUGAACUAAGUGCCUGUUGUUGCGCAGCGCGACGAUCUGGGUGUGCUGCUAAGGACCUAGCUAGCUCAUCAUACCCAGCUCACGUUAGUCCCGCUUCUUCAAAUUUAACACUGUCUGGACGUGUCAAGCAGCUUCACACCUGGCCAUUAUGGCUCUCAUCUUCCCCUCUAGGCCGCCUCUACUGAUCCCUAUCCACCUUUACAUAAGUUUAUUCCAGUCGUACUUCUCAGUUCUCGCUCUCAGACCCCUUUAUUUCUUUUUUUAUUAAGUAAAAAACUUAAAUGCUACAACUAAUAUUUUAUAAGUCGAACUCACAACAUCUGACUUAAAGAGACUAUGCUGCUAGACUAAAUGAUAUUGGGUCUGACCUAUUUUUUUCUUAAUACUUGAAAGGAUGCGGCUAUUGUCAUCCCACAAACCACUUUGCUCACCCUACAUGUGAUUAAUUUAUUGAAAGACCAAAAUAACUUGAUGUAAAAUUACGGCAAGGGACAAUAAGUUGUUAAAAAUUACAAAUUUUUAUUUUUUUAUUUUUUUAUUUUUUUGGUAUGAACAUGUAUGUACUCCAUAAAUCUUAACCCAAAUUUAUCAUAUUCGAUCGUUCUAGGUCUGAAGACGCUAGCAUUCAACCUGAAUAUGAGGUGAACUAUUUGCAUUUCUUCUUUUUUUCUUCUCUUUUUUUCUUUGUUGACGCUUCCGUCUAUCAUUUUACUCAUUAUUUUUCAUAUCAUCUUUGUAUGUAAAUUCUCAUGGACAAUUGUACCGUAUUUAUAAACAACGCAUAGAUCAGUUUAAAACACUCAGAAUUAUGGAGUAAUGGAGAAGAGAAUGUAUGGUGAACAAAGUAUAAUUGAGAAAAAUGUAGUUUAGGGAUUGUAAAUGGAUGAACAAAGUAAAAUUAGGAAGAUUGUAUUUUAGGUAUUAUAAAUGGGUGAACAAAGUAGACUUAUAAUUAAAAAUAUAUAAAUAGGAUAUGAAAAAAAUGUGGGGUGAGUAAAAUGGUUUGUGAGAUGGCAAUAGACGCACCUUACUUGAAAUGCUAUUUGUAUGGUUUAAGCUAGAGUAGGUAAUUAAAACUAAUCAAAGUAGCUAUUGUUUCUAUAUAAGAAGAAACUUAAUAUUGAUCCAUUGUUUAGCUAAUGAAUCUUAGCUACUUACUUUAUUGAAGGUAUUUGGGAAAAACAUAAUGUUGCUUUCCGGAGUAAAUUUAUUGGUUGUCAAAUCGUAUUAAGGUUUUGAAAAUCAGUUGGAGACCGUUAGUUCUCGGUCUCGAUUCUCUGCUCAGAUUUUACGUAUUGGUCAUUUUACACAAGUUUCCAAUCAUCUUGUCCUUGGUAUUUGACUUAUUAGGUGAAGUGCAGUCAGGCAGAGUGCAUUUAACAACAUUGUUUGUUAUUAAAUGACUAGUUUUAUCGUUUAUCGUAUACAGUUACUCAGUUGGAGACAGUUAGCAUCUAAAACUAACGAAUUUCUUUGAGUUGUGUGGUUUUUAACCUUGUCUAUUGUUCAGCAUAAUUUGUCGAUUCAAUAAAGUAUGACUCGUACCACCCUUACACCUGCAUGUUGUCACCUGAGACAAACAUCCCAACUCGUAUCACCCUUACGUCCGCUAGAGCCCAUGUACAAGCUAGCCUAGCAUAGAGCGAAGGCCCUGCUUGAUCUGAAACCCCAAAAUAAUGUUGCCCGCCUACUCCCCACGUCUGGACGUAGCCAAGCGACGUCAAUUCAAAUAUCGAUAUUCCUUAACCUCACACAAACUAGGCACGCUCGACGUCACCCCUGAUUUGUCCAUGUAACUCGAAAUGCUUGACAAAUAACGAUGUCAAAGGGGUGUGCCAUCAGACCAGGCAUGAGAACUUGUGUAGAGAAGACGAGUAAUUUGUUUCUUCUAAUAAUUAUAAAUUUGUCAUAUUGUUGAAUAUUACUCAUCAUAUAGUGUUUGACGAAUUUUUUAAAUCUUUUUUUUUUCUUAAUUUCAUCCCACAAGGAGAAAUAAUUUAUUCAUCACAACCUAAACUAGGUUGUUGUUGCAUAUAUACUAUGUUACUCAGUUCCUAUCUAGAGCGAAGCUUCACUAUGAAAUUAAAGUGUGAAGUUCCUUAUUUGACUCAUUUUUUUGUCAUAUUUCCACAUCUCCGUCAUUCAUAUUAUUGAUACUAAUGUAUAUAUCAUUCCUAUAAAAUUUCAUCAAGAUUGAUGAUCGUUUGGGUACUGAAUUAGAUCAAAUCAAUGAACGGACCAUAAAUUUUACCAGAACUGUUUGUGUAAAUAACGAUUACGAAAACUUAAAUGAUCAUCAAAUUAGAUGAAAUUUUGUAGAAGUGCUAUGCAUUAGGUUCUAUAAACUCAACGGUGGAGAUGUGGAAAUAUGACUAAAAAGUGAGUCAAAUAAGGAACUUCACACUUUAAUUUCAUAAUGAAGUUUCGCUCUAGAUAAGAACUGUCAUGUUGCUAUCAUAUAUAUACAGACAACUAGUUAGCGGUAGACCGCACAAGUGGUACGUACAAAUAAACUUACUUAUUACACUAUCAAAUGCGCAUAUCUCAAUUGAUUAAUUAGCUUGAAACAUCAAUUGAGGGUAAAAUUUUAACAUCUUCAUCAAGUUUUGAGUUAUUACUCGAAGAUGCUUGUAAACUAUAAUACAUGGAAACCCUUCGAAGCACCUACCCUAAUAAGUAAGUUUUGUGCAUGUACUCUAGAUAGCACAUUCGCAGCCACUGCAAGGAGGAAAACUAUUGUUCUUCCAAGCCACCAACUCUAGCCUUUGAACUAGAGAACGUACAUCAUGUUCUCUGCCAUUAAGGUUACAUCAUUAUCAGUCGAUAACUUAGUCGAUAAUGAUGAUAUAAAUCAAUUAUUAGGGAAUCUAGAGAAUAUUACAAUUUUUGGAGCGGAUUUUACGCACCAAUGUGUACUUGCACCAUUACUGUGCAAGUCAUCAAAUCGUCGUAUGCGAACAUCUAAUGAAGAUCAUAGACCCUAAAUUCCUUCAUUUCAUUUUCAUUUUUGAUCGGAUCAAAUUAGAUCAAAUUAAGCGUUUAUAAUAAGAGUACAUGUUAUUUGACCUUAGGUCUUCACCUCUUAUGUUAUAAAUACUUAGGACUAUUUUUUUUUGUUUCAAUUGUGUUAACGAUAUUAUAAUACAUGUAUCAUAAUGCGUCGUGGAUGAUCGGAUCAAAAUAUUACAUAUUAAUUGCUCGGUUCACUCACACAUUGAUACGUAGAAGAAUUUUCGUUUUUGAAAAUAAUUCGAGAAUAAGAAAAGGCUUACGGACAUUUCUACCAGACGGUCGCGAUUCUCCUGUACGUGUCAUUCCCUGGUUGGUUACUUGUAUGAGAAGAGAUUUGAGAUUGCCCGCCCUUGCUAGUAACGAUAUCAACGCAUACGUGGCUGGCUACAGAGAGAGACACAUAUCCUUUCACAUUGUGUCGCGCCGCACAUGAUCACAAAUGCGGUAUCUUAAACUGCAUCGUUUUGAGACAUCGAUUUAUACCGACACAUGUGUCAAACUAGGGUGCGGGGUGGUGGGACCACAAUAUCUAAAAGAUCCUCUGUGAUGCCUCAAUCAAUAGAGUGGACGGUCAUAAUCAUUGGACAAAGUACACUAAUGAAAUCUGCAUAACUAGUUUCAUCGGUCCAAACUUCGAACUUAGAGGCUUUCCUACUGUUGCAUAGACCCUAUCUUUUCUCGUGUUAAGAGGCUAGAAAGAUCAAACAAUCCACCUCUUGUGUGAGUGUGUUAUGCGGGCAUAAAAUAAGAAGUUGUUCUAAAGAUUUAUAAGGGAAUGUUAAAUAAUGAAUCAUUAUGAAAAGUUUAUGACAUGUUUAUUUACUUCGAUCGUGAAAAGUCAUGAAUCAGACAUUUAUAAUGUAAUAAGUCAUGAUUCGGUGAUAACUAGAGUAGAUACGAAAACAAUCAUUCAUGAACCCAUAUCCCCUUUAUUAUAAAGUUAAGAGUUAUUCAUGAAUCGAGAGAUGAUACCUACACUCAUUCUGAUUCAUCCAUGUAUUAGUAACGCGUUUUUACUUUUCUAUGUGGAAUCAAUUUGAUUAAUAUUCUUUUAUUCGUUAGUAACCACAUGAUUAUGUUUAUCUUGUAAUCAUUCCCUCUACUUUUCUUGAAGCGUAAUACCUUUCAUGCUAGUCACUCAUUCUUAAAACCAGUAUUCUUAAGACUAAAGAGCCGGGUGUAACCAUUCCAAAUACGUAAACGUGCUCUUUCCUUGACCAACUGACUAAAUAUGUAGUCAACUAAAUGAUUUGCAGAUAUCUAACUUAGAUUCAUGGACCUACGUUACUGUUUUCAAAUUGUACACUAUGGUUGACGGAUGUUUCUACUAAAUUUGGGUUUCUAUGUUAGACUAUGUACAUGCUAGUCCUACUUUGACAAUUUGAUUUCUACGAGCAUGGAAAUGAUAGAGACUGACAAAUCUAGCUAUGCAUGAUCUAUUGGGUUCGUUUUGUUUUUUUUUAUUUUUUAUUUUUUUAUUUUUAUAAAAUACUGACAAGGAUUAUGCGAUAUUAGCUUCUUUGUAGCAGUCUGGUGAUUGACAGAACACCCACUCUAUCUUAAAGGGGAUCGCUACAACCGGAAACCCACCGCACGUUCCUAAUCAGAACUUUUAUUUAAAAUAAUAAAAAAAUUACAUAAAAAGAGGAAUGGGUUCUUUCAAGUUGAAUGAAUGAAUAUUCUUGAAUCAUUUGCUUAUGUCUUUUGUAUUCGUUGUUAAAAUCUCAUCCACAAUUCCAUUCAGAUUGCUCAUUGAUCCACAUACAUGUACUUUACACCGUCCUUGAAAAAUGUAAUAGAGAGAAAGUAAUCAUUCGAGCAUAGAUAUGGGUGAGUGGCAGAUAUAGUAUGAUGCAAGAUCAACUAGCUAAUCAUAUAUGAAGUUCGAUCACUGAUAUCCGUAAGUGGUAUUUAUACAAUGCCUUUCAUAAAGAAUUAGAAGAAAUCCAAAGGUUUUUGGGAGGACGCAGUCGUGGGAUGACCUCUAUGAUAUAAAUAAGCACUUCCAAUUGAAGGUGAUUGAUCCCAAACUUGUUUAAUUAAGUGUGUGUCAUUUUCUCAGAUCUCUUCCCAGGUUAGCAUUGAUCUAACAGUUGAUUUGUAAAAAGAAAGUGGAGAGUGUAAAUAUAUUAUCACUAUUAAUACUAGUUAAGUUGGUCAAAUGGACGCGUGUGACUGUGUGAGUGAAUGGACGAUUAGGCAUUCUCCUACUGAGGUUGCAAAAUCUUUUCUUAUACAUGAAAAUACAAUCCCAUUUGAUACUAUUCAUCUAAAUAGUAGGUUAUAUAACCAAGAGUGGGUCGGUAGAAUGACUAGUUUAGAACCCCCAAGUCUAGAGUUCGAAACCCCAUGAGGCCUUAGUGGCCAGCCAGUGAUGAGGUCAUGUGCAUGUUUGCGUUCCUGCCCUAUAAUGAUGCAGUGAAAUAGUCCAGCAAUUGUUGGGAUACUCUGCAUGGGUGUGUGUGUUACUUAAUCUAACUAAGGCUAACAACCACCCCCCUCUUAUAAAAAAGAAAAUAGUAGGUUCUAUAAUUAAAUCAACUCCAACCUGCCAAUAAGUAUCGUUUAAAUUAGUUGUGAUUAAUAAAUCCGGGGGGUCUACUUUGCCUUUAGCUUGAGCAGGCAAAUGUUCUAUUCAAGUUCCAAAUUCAAAACUUUAGUUAGUAUUUUAGAACUUUAAAAUGAAAUUGUUAUGUUUUAUUCCAUCAAUUGAAGAUGGGUUUUGAAUAAAAGUUUCUUUAAUUUAGAUUAGAACCAGUGUACUAACUACUAACAAUCUAACAUCAUAUCAAACGGGCCCAGGGAUGUACCACCCAAUUGUGAAAGAUUGGAUUAAGAACAUGAAACCCAAAGGCCCAAACCCAACAACCAUCUCCUAGUAACUAAAAUUGGAAGGCAAACCACACUCCCAUGUAUCAGCCUUAAACCAGCCAACCUACCUACAAAUCGACUCAAAAAACCACCAUCGGCUAAUUAAAUCCAAUCUCAGAUCACCCAACACUGCAAUGUAAGGAGUAAAAAAUCGAUAAUUUCCGCGAUAUUUCACAGAAAUUUUUCGUUUUUCUUACCAACGAUAUAUCUUUACCCUCCCGAUAUAUCCCGAUAUUUUCUGAUAUUUUCUGAUAUUUUUCACAAUACAGAGAGACGAUAAAGAUAGUGAAAAUUUUGUAUCACAUAGGUCUUCUACGUGGUUUUAAAAUACUCAUGUAAUUCUAUGUGAAAUGUAUCAUAUGUAUAUAAGACGUGAUGGCCUAGCCUCCAUUUAGGUUUCCAACCAUACAAAAAAAAAAAAGAUGUUUAAAGUAAACUUUUAAGAAUUAUUAACGGUUCAACACUAACAUUUCCACCUUAACUUACUACAACUCCCUAUAGAUCAAUGUUUAUUUAAGGUUUUCAUUUCAAAUAUAGUACAUAAUAUAGAAAACAAACAUCUCUUAAAGUUUGAUUUAAAAUUUCCUUAUUUUUCUUCAAAUUCCGUCAAUUUUCUUAUUUUUUUUACUGCAAUAGAUAUUUCCUCGAAUUUUCCAUAUUUUACAUAGUCGAAAUUUCCUUAAUCAUCGAAAUUUUCUUCCUUGCUGCAAUGUGUCACUAAACCACCAUACCCUAAUUGAUUUUUUCUUGAUUACACCGUAAGAACUAAGAAGGGGCAAACGAGGAUUUUUCCCACCUCCGUGUGCCCCCAUCCCUGUCUAAAAUUCCUCUGCGCCCCUAUUGAAUUUCUUACAAAAAUACAUAAAACAAUUAAAGUCCUAAAACAAACACUUCUAAUCGGAUUAAAGGGCAACAAUGCUACAUCUUCAAUGGUGGUUUUUAUAACACAUGUACAACUUUAUGAAUUUGAAACAUCUCCAUCUGUCUACGGAAACCUAGUAUGUUCUAACUUCUUACCCAAAGUAAAAAGUAAAAACACAGCAAAUUGUGUGCGGUUGAGAUUGAAACUUUGAAACUAGUGAUUCAUCUAGUCUCCCGCUUCCCGCCCUUUCACAAACCCUAGUUUGGGGACAGGUGGCACGAGCUCGUACAGAAAAGCUCAUCACAUUGAGUCAUUGACGACACGUAAACGUCAAACACGGUUAUGUGUCCCCAUCGCAACCACAGAUUGGAAAAAAAGCCCCUCCCCAAGCAAGUAGCUCCUUCUCGAAGACGCUUUAUUUACCUAAAAAAGCAACUUCCACCGUAAGCCAAAGCCACCAGGUCCUUUUUCUUCUUCAUAAAGCACUCUUUUCCCUCUACCUUGUACACGAUCCUUCUCCUUACACUUGGAGCUUCAUAGUUCACAGCAGUAGUAGCUAGACAAAAAUGGUGAUGAUGAUGAUAGAGAUGGAAGGGGAAGCGGGUUAUGCUACGCCCAAGAGCUUGAGGAAAGAAGAGGCGGGUUACUCUACGCCCAAACGCCGUGAGUGUAGGAUUCCUGAGCGGUCGUUGCCGCCUCCGCCGCCGAGGAAGAAGCCGUUCUUUGUGGGGGAGAAGAAGCCGGAGCCGCCCAAGGAGGGGUACUUCAACUCGCCGGAUAUCGAAGUCUUCUUCGCAGCAAUGACUCCCAGAAGCCAUACUAGCUUGGCUUAGUUCAGAAGCUAGCUAAUUCCUCUGCCUUUUUUGGUAGUUUUAGGAGGGUUUCUUUUUUGUUGUUGUGGAUUAUGUAUGUAUAUAUGGUGGUAUUGCUGAUUGACUUGUUUUGUUUGGGUCAUAUGAACUUGAUUCAAGGGAACCUUUAACAUCAGCAAGAAAGGCUUGUAGUUUGGAAUCAAUAUUUAGAACAUAUGGAAUUUUUUUUGUACUCUUUUUUUUUCUUCUUGAAUUUUAUGACAAUGAGUGGCUUGGGCAUUCUGUUAAUUUGGUAUUCAAUAAAUUGGACCGGGCCUGGACCAGCAAGAGGCCCCAUUUAGCGAUUCAUGAUUUUUGGGUGAAUGCUUAUAACUAUUUUACUCAAUCAUGGCAUACGUAGAUACGAUCGGCCAAUCAUCUUGUCCGGUCACUGUAUAUGCUGUAUAUGCAUGUGGGUGUUUUGGGUAUUCAUACAUGAGCUGUUUUGCAAUAGUAAAAAAUAAAUAAAAAACAUGAUUCACCAGACGUAUCACGUGACUUAAUUAUAUGUCGUGGCUUAAUUAUAUGUCUAUGUUGCGUAUCAUAUAUGUGGCUUAAACGAUUGUUGUUUAUGCAUUUUUCAGUUCGUCUAUUUUUAUGUGUUUCUGAGUAUGGGUUUUCCAGUUGAAAAAAAAAAAAAAAAAAUUUAGAUUUGAAAGUUUGAUGCUUCCAGAUGUUUGAACACGAAAAAAAAUUUGUUUGUUCGGAGAUUUAAACCGUAAAGAGUGUAUUAUCUUGAUAAGGACGUAGUGAAUUAAGUAAAUCCGUCCAGUGCGAUAUUCAUUUUUCCUCUACAGUAACGUGUUUUGACUUCUGUUUUGUACACCCGACUCAAAUGAAGCAUUAAGAUACAAACUGCAUUCGUGCAUAUUUAAAAAUGAUCCUUCUUUAGCCUGAGCAAUGUGAGGCUUCAAAUUGAUCCCUCUAGAAAUUGCAUCUUCAUCAAUACUUUAUAGUUUAUACAGAUAUCUACACAAGAACGAACAAAUUCAAUAGUGGAUCUUUGGUUUCUUAAUUUUUGGUAUCAUUGGAACUAAUAAGUGCCUUCUUCUUGAAACUGGUUGGUGCUGACCUUAACCAAGCAUUGGCAUCAAUCGAGUCCUUUGUCAAGAACGGUUCGACUUCUUCGCUUGUAAGGUCUCGUGCCCAUUCUACUCUUUUCGAUGUCGUUGCUCCUCGUCCAGAACAUUUAUACUGCCCAUAGUAUACGGUGCUACAAAAACAAGAACAAGAGAGAUGAGAUUUGCAGAUAUUCAUCUCAUUUCUAAGAAUGAAAUUUUAUGAGUUUCGAUCAUGAAGUACCUUAAUUGGUUGGCUGAGUUUCCCCAAUCGUCCCAACCUUGUGGUAGCACGGCGCUAGUCAUGUAACUGAAGGCAAACACCACUCUUGAAUAUGUACCCCAAGGCCUUCCCAACACAGCCGUCUUGACGCCGGUGAUCUUGCACCCGAAGAACGUGAACCCCGUGUCCUCAGCCGGAGACAUUCUUCGUUGAGCCGUUAUGGCACCGGUUCCUAGCGAAAGAGAAUGCAAAUGGCACUUCUCGUAGAAAGAAGCAGCAUUUCCACAUAUGAAGUCGACAUCUCCUUCAAUGUAACAGUUGUUGUAGUAGUGCCUCCCAGUAUCAUCAAGUAGGGUGUCUUGACGAGACAAAAUUCUGCAGCCAUAGAAUGCUGCUCUAUCCCCGGACACCCUUAAUGCCACAGCUUUUCCACCUGAUCCAUAUGUAUUCUGUCGAUCGACGAUAUAUGAUAGUUAGAUCCAACUGUUAUACGUACAAAUAUUAAAGAUCGAGCAUGAACAUGAACAUAUGUGAAAAAUAAAAACGAUAUCUGUACCUGAAUUGUGAGGUAACGCCCUACAAAAUCAGAAGCCAACACAGAGAACGUUGGAGACUCGAAAAUCUCCCCGCUAUCGUUCCAUGUUAUAACCGUGUCAGCUGCCUUUGUGCCACUUAUUGUUAUAAACGGCUUGUCCGCCGGAACUGUAACUUUUUCUUCAUAAACUCCGGGCUUAACCCUAAUGAACACGAGCUCUGCGUUGUUGGACGCCACUGAAUCAAUGGCUUCUUGUAUUUUCUUGUAGUCACCUUUGCCGGAUUGAUCAACUGUUAUGAGAAUCGCUGAAGCACUCGUGUUUGUUCCUUCGGCUUGAGAAUCCGAAAUAGCCAUGAAAGCAUAGAAAGCAAUGAAAACCAAGUUGAUCAUAAAAGUACCACCCAUCUUGUACAACUGUAGUCUAGUAGCUAGAGAGCAAGUUGUCUCAAAUGAAUGAAUCAAAGAAUCAAAGAAUAAAGGAAGAAUGUUUUGCAGCCGUGAAUGACAAUGAUGAGUGUUGCCGUUAGCUAGAGAUUAUAUAUAUCGUGCCAGGUGAAUGUCAAAGAAGAAUUUGGCGCUUUCUUGCCCAUAAAGCUUUGACAUAUUUUUGAACCAGUUUCGACGUAAACGAGUGGAGGCCAGGCAAGAGGAAAAAGAAAAUGACUUGGUUUCCAUAGGUAUAGAAGUAGCCGGCAGCAAGAGAUUUGUGCUUGAGGGUGAAGAAACAAAUAAAUGUUUGGAAAAAAAAUAGAGAGAGCAAAGGGUUUGGGAUAGUUUAGUAUGAAAAAUCGUGAGAGAGGCGGCGGUAGUGAAUUAUUGAUGCAUGUUACACAAGUCUUGUGGUAGCUUAAGAACCAGGUUAGGUAUGUCAUUUGUGUGCGAGUUAUUGUUGCUCACCCAUGAAGUUAUAUGUUGAGCGGCUACAUUCCUUGGAUUGGGGCUUGCUCUUCCCCCAUGACUGCCGCCGUUGGACAAUAGAUACGACCUUUUAUAACAUAAGGAAGAAAAGAAUGCAGUUCUAUGCUACCAAUAACUUUUUUUAGAAGAAAAAAUCCAUAUAUUAUGGUCUAAUUAUGGUGGAAAUGAUAUGGUAAAAAUAUAAUACUAUAUAUGAGGCCGGAUCCGGAGCGGAUGUCCACACCGGCCUUAAAGUGUGGACGGCCGUCCGUUCACCACCCUCCGGCGCCGGCGACGGCACGCCUCCACCCCAAAAGACUCCAGCAUCGUCUCCGACCACUUUCCCUCCCCGGCGAGUUCGUUCUUUUCCAGUUUUCCCGCGAGAUCACCCGAAACUUCAAACAAAGUCGAUGUCGCCCGAAAACUGGAAAAAAACAGAGUCGCCGGGGAGGGAAAGUGGUCGGGGAUUGGACGCUACUGGAGUCUUUUGGGGUGGAGGCGCGCCGUCGCUGGCACCGGAGGGUGAAGAACGGACGGACGUCCGCACUUUAAGCCGAGUGCGGACGUCCGCUUAUGAUCCUCUCUAAAUACUAUAUAUAUAUAUAUAUAUAUAAAUGUAUAUAUAUGUAUUACACUGGAUGAGUGUGAUUCUGGAUUUCUGGACAACAAGAUGAAAAAGUAGCUAGUAUCACCUCUUAGGGGUUUUAACGAGGAUCACUAAGUUGAAGACUAGUUGAAGAAAAUUACAAACUAAUGUGAAUUCCACCAGAGUUUUAGAAACAGACUAAUGCUUUAUUUACCGUUAAAAUUCUAUGAAGGGGGUUCCUUCUAUGAAUUUGAUGCUUUAAGUGAAAAAAUUAAACUAAAAAAAUGUAAAGAGAAAUUUAUGUAACUGACAGAAUAUUUUCAAUUAUUGACUUUGUUAAUUAAAUCAAUACAACAAUGUUUUUAUAGGUGUUGGUAUGACUAAGUAUAUGUCACAGUGCGAAGCUGCUAAAUUUCUUGAUCUCUAACCAAUCUAAUGAUAACAUGCAUGUGCCGAAGCUCACUUAAAUUUAUUGGUGUAACAGCCUUAAGAUCAUUCAAUGCUAGAAUUUUGUAAAUCUCAUACGAUCACCCUCGCUCUAAGUAUAUAAGUUACAAAAUAAAAAUGUUGGGAAGAAAAAUGUAACCAAACAAGCGUAGCUACUUUUCCAAUUACAAGUAUAUCAUAGGUACCGAUUAUAAUAUGUAUUGUUGUAGUGAUUAUCAACUCAUUCAAUUCCUCGUUGACGGAAUAAUUUAUUUAUGAUAUAUGUAUGUGUUUAAGCUCAUUUAAGUGUUAUCACACUAAGAGUUCUAACUAAUGUUAUAUUUAAUUUCCCCGAAUAUCUUAGAGUCACAAAUCUACCAUUCCAAACAUAAGUCUACCGUUCCCAAUUGUUUGAAACAUAUAUAUACCCUUAAAGUUAACUCGACUCAUUGAUGGAGAGAUUGAAAUAUUCAAAUAUAUACUCUCAAAGCUAACUCGACUACUCAUCUUCAUUUCAAAUACAUGAUAAACAUUAGUUAUAUUCUAAUUACUUUCAUGCAAUCGACAUAUAAAAUGUGACAACGUGCAUUGGCGAUAAGCUCGACUAACACUGGCGAUAAGAUUCAUUAUAAUCGUAAAUAUGCAGAUUUACGUCAUUAAACCAUUGUUUAUACUUUAUAAUAUGCUUAGCAAAUGCUGGUCACAUCCGAUGUGGUGUGCUUUUACAUGUAGAGUUCUCUAAUUGCCUACUUUCUGUAUACUACUAUUUUACAUGCGUCUUGGUCUCUUUGGAUGUAAUGUUUCAUGUUCUGGAGUAUCACAUUUUCAGUAUAUUCAUAGGAGAUAAAAAGCUAGUAAACCAGGAAUUUGUGCUAAACCGUAUAUGGAUCGAGUCCGUGGUAUAUAUAGAACUUUAGUCGAUAAAUUUGAAAUUUAUUUUUGCAUUGAGAAUUUGUGAUUGGAUUGUGUUGCCAGGAUGUUGCUGGCCUAUUCCUGGUGGCGAACUCGGCCGCCGGAGACCUGGUCUUCAUCGGUAUAGUGAUGGUGGUGACCCCAAUGGGGUUUCGUGUACCUUAGAUUCUGGGCCUUAACAAGAUCAGUGCCAUCUGGACCAGAUUAGGGGGCCAUGAAAGGGUUUUCGAGCUUGGGCCUAGCCAUUAGUCUCAAUUCAUUGCUUUGGUUUGAUAUUUUUAGACCAUAACCAACUAGGCAACGACAACUGGUUCUUGGUCUCUUGGAUGUUAUAUUUUUCAUAAUUUUCUCCCCAUUUUAGUCUUAUUUCACAUCAGUAUUCAGCGACCCAGGACUACAUUAUACCUCUUUAUUUUUUAAAUACUAACAUGGACUCAUGUGGCUUGUUUUAAGUUAUACUCAUGUUUGGUGUUGCACGAGAUUAGAAAGUAGUUUGCUUAGUUUAUGGUUUAGAACAAUGUUGUUAUCUACGGAUGACCAAGUUGGGUACCCACCAAAACACAAUCUAAGGAGGCCAGAAUGAAAAUAAAAUGUUAUAUUAACCCAUGAUUUUUGUACCCAGGAGUGACACCAAAUAUGGUAUUAACCAAACUCAACUCCUUAUUUGGUAUUGCUGUGACUUUAAAAAAAAAAUUGAUCCUGCUGUUUUGUGAAAAUAAUCAGCUGUGAAUUAAAACAGUUUUGUGUUUGGUAAAUAUUAGUUUUAAAAGUGCUGCCAAGAUAAAAUUUAUUAAUUUCUAGUGUUUUUAGUGACAACUGUUUUUAAAAGUAACAUUCAGGUUGCUUCUAACAGUUGCUGCUAGUGACAUGUAAUUUUCAAAAAAAACUGUUUUUCUUUAGUUUACCAAUUAAACACUAUAAAAUCUAAAAGUUUAGAUAGAAGUUGAUUUUUUUAAAAGCGAAGUUGUAUCAAACUAGGCCUUAGUCCAAUUCUACUUAGAGCUAGUUUGGUAUUGCUGUGACUUAAAAAAAAACUUAUGUUGCUGUACUGCGAAAAUAAUCAGCUGCGAAUUAAAGCAAUUUUGUAUUUGGUAAAUAUUAGUUUUAAAAGUGCUGCCAAGAUAAAAUUAUUAAUUUCUAGUGUUUUUAGUGACAGCUACUUUUAAAAAUAAACCUUCAAGUUGCUUCUAAAAACUACUGCCAGUGAUAUGUAAUUUUCAAAAAAAACUGCAUUUCUUUUAUUUACCAAACACUAUAAAAUCUAAAAGUUCGGAUAGAAGUUGAUUUUUUAAAAAGCGAAGCUGUACCAAACUAGGCCUUAGUCCCAACAAACAAAUAUGCAAAAGUGAUACCAAACUGGUUAUGCCUUCUUCAACUAUGAGAGAUACAUACGCGAAUAUGACACCUAAAAAAAAUGUAAAGACCUACAAAUUUCACCAACCAAAAGGUUCAUGUUCAAGCACCAUUGGAUGUAAAGUCCAACGGUCAUGAGAAUUACUGUUAAGUAGAGUUGUUUGUUUCAGUUAGUUUCAUGCAGAAGCAACCAAACGGGUCCAUCCAGACGGGUACAAUAAAUGUCGAUACUCUCCCUGUUUUAGCCAUUGGAUGUAUGACUCUCAAGGGCAGAAUCAGGAUUUGAAUCUUAGGGGGUUGACAUUUGAAACAAAGAGAGUAUAGAGGAUAAUAAUGUUUUAUUUAACAAGUUUUACGUACCUUAUUAAGUCUAUAAAAUAAAGUAAUUGAAUAAAUUAGACAUUAAUAUACUUAAUUACAAAAUAUCCUAAUUCUAGGCAACAUUUACAUAUUUCUUUCUAUAAAUUAGUAGUACAUAUUGAGUAUUAAUAGUUCUAAUUUUUUCUCUUUUAAUUGCUCUUACUUGUUUUGGUCGUUGAUUAAGGGGGUUGGGUGAUGGAAUGGAAUUAACACUAAAUUUCUUCAUUUAGAUGAGAUUAUGUAGUGCAUAUGGGAAGUUUGAAAAAUGUUGACAGGGGUCUGGACCCCUUCAAGCCUGAAGGUAGUUCCGCCCCUGAUGACUCUAAUCUAAACCAUAUUUUUUCAAAAAGAAAUUUUAUUAACACAUCUCUAAUUAUUAGAUACGUAUCUCAUACUUAAUACACCACCUAUUAACUUUAUUAUUUUAACAUUUUACUAUAUACACAUACCCAAAUUUCCCACAAUACCUUAUUUAAAAGACACUAUUCACUAAAUAUACAACUCAUUCAUUAAAUACACAUACUUUUCUAGAUCUGCUCCUCAAUUAUUCUAAAAAAAAAUAAAAUCUCAUUAGUAAGAUUUUCCUCAAAAUGUUUCAUCUUUCCUCACAGUAAAAUUUAAAUUUCCAAUUUCAAAUUGUACUAUCUAAUCAAACAACAAACCCUAAAAUCUAAAUUUUGUAGUAGAUCAAACUAAUCAAAGAUGAUGACGUCAUACCACGCUUAGGGGUUGAGAAAUACACUACCAGAACAAGCACUUUAGCUUAAUUGGUCGGCUAAGAUCUUAGCCGACGAAGGCUCGUCGGCUAUGGUUUCGUCUGGAAAGAGUCGUCGACGAUGACUUUAGCCGACGACAUUAGAAGACGUCGUCGGCUAAAGUAUGUAAUAAAAAAUUUAAAAAAUAACUAUAGCCGACGAAACAUAGUCUGUUUCGUCGGCUAAAGGUUUCGUCGGCUUUAGAAGGGUUUAACCGACGAAACAUGCCAUAAUUCAUCGGCUAAACCUUAUAAAAAAAUUAAAAAUACUAUAGCCGACGAAUAUCUUACAUGUUUCGUUGGCUAUAAGUCCAUUCUAGUAAAAAAAAAACCUGAAAUUUCUAAAUUACCAUUCAAAGCAACCUGCAAAAUACACCAAAACAAUUCAAUAUAACCAACAACAAGCACAUAAAACUAUAUAAUUGAUCAACUACACAAAAUUGAAGUUGUUUCUUACUAAAGUUAGCAACUUUCUGAACAAAACCACCCUAAUCACGCAAAAUCAUCUCAAUUUUGAAGAAAAAAAAUAGCCAAAAACUAAACCCUAUAUGCACAAAAUUAUCUCAAAAAUACAAAUUAAUAAAUUCAAACAUAAAAGGGGAUAAGUAAAACCCUAGAAAUUGAGAAACCUGGAAAAGCGCUUUUGUGAGAAGCAGAUUCUGGAUGAGGAUCUGCCUCGCUUGCUGCUGGUUCUGUUCUAUCAGACUCUAUGUUUCACAAAACGAAGCAAUUGAAACACCAACAUUACUCCAAUUGGGAAUUUUCAAUUUCGUGAAGCAAGAUUAAGUAAUAGAAGUAAAUUCGAGAGAGGGUUAUAUACCUUCAUUUGAGACAUGAUUUCGUAGAGCUGGUUCUUCGACAUUCCCGCUAUAUUCGCCGGUAGGCCGUCGCCGGAGGUUUGAGGGUUGCUAGAGGUUCCCUCAGAUGAUUCAGACAUUUGGCCCUUCAAACCUUUUGUUGAUCUAAAAUUAUUAUGGUACAGAUUCGAACCAUCAUUUGUCAGGUAAAAGUUGAUAGGAUAUAAUCCAAUGUCAAAUAGACCAAGCCAAGAAAAGCAUGAACAACCACAGUCAAAACAACCAAGGAAAUGAACUUUUUGUUAUUUCAGUGGCAUUGCAUAUCCAUUGCAAUUAUAUAUCACACACUUAUCCUUCUCUACUUCUCAUGAAAGGGAUAUGUAGUCAAAAGAAACAGCCAGCAAAAACUAGUGACAUUAUCACAAUCCUGUUUAAAAUAUUAAUUUGAAUCAAGGCUGAGGGAGAAAAGAGUUACCAUUUGAUGGGUGGAAGUGAAAACAAAGAUGAGGAAGAUAGUGAGGACGGUGAAGAGGAGGAGGGAUCGGGGCUGGAGUAGAACGGAGAUGGCUCGAGGAGGAGGCUCGAGGACGGCUCGAGGAUGCUAUGGAGGGCUCGAGGAGGCGGUGGUGGGUUUUUUAGGGUUUUUUGGAGCGCUGUGGAGGCUGUCAAGCGCUGGGUUUAAUUAUAUACCCUAUAUCUUAGCCGAUGAAAUAAAAAUUUCGUCGGCUAAACCUGUGAAGUUCGUCGGCUAAAUCUAUGAAUCUCGUCGGCUAAAAUAAUGAAAUUCGUCGGCUAAAUCUGUGAAUCUCGUCGGAUAAAGUAAUGAAAUUCGUCGGCCAUAGUACUUUUUAUUUAAUAUUUUCAAUUUAUUUGUUUUAUUUUAUUUUAUUAACUAUAGCCGACGAAUUUUCAAUAAUGUUGUCGGCUAUAAUACUUUUUAUACAUUCAGCACAUUGUGAUUGUGAUGAUCAAACUUGAGAAACGAAAAUCUGACCGUCAGAUCUGACCAUCAUCAUGAUAAAAUACAUGUAUGGGAAAAAAUUCAACUUGAUCUGACAAAGUUAAGGGCUCGAUCUGGACAGUCAAUCCCGUAAGUUAAACCCCUAAACGCACGGAAAAGGUUAUUGGACCGUCUAAAUUACGUAUUUUGGCUGGACCUUCAACUGAAAAUAGUUUCAAAUCGAUGAGACGCAACAAGUCGUAUAAAAAUUUUACGGAAAAUAACCACCGAAGAUAGGGCUACUCAUAGGGAGAAAGAAUGGAAAAUUGCAUUGUCCGCAACUAUCGGCACCAAGACUUUACCAGAAUAUCGUGAUUUUUCAACCGUAGACGUAUUUCACCAUUUUUGUCAUAUCUUAUUUCACGACUUUUUUGCGUUUGAAGGUUCUACGUAUAGUUUGUUUCUGAAACAGAACAUUUACUUAACACUUGUAAACAAGUUAUACAACAUUAGUAGACAUGUUGUGAUUGUGAUGAUCAAACUUGAGAAACGAAAAUCCGACCGUCAGAUCUGACCAUCAUGAUAAAAUACGUUGUCUUCAGUUUUUGCUUAAAACUAUGGUUGUUCAUGAUAAAUAUCGUUAGUUAUAUCUGAUUAGGGCUUAGUAUCUUCACACACGUUCUCGAAGAGGAUAAAAAAACUCUUAAGCGAGAUAUUUUAUUAGAUUUAUUUACUUUUAAUAUGAAUGUCUCUUUUGGUAAUUUUACAUAUUCACCAAGUCUUAUAUAAUUUGUAUAAAAAAAGAUAUGUGUAUCUAAUAUUUAAAGAUGUGUUAAUAAAAUUUGCUUUUCCCGAAUAUCGGAAAAAUAUUUAAGACUUGAACUCUCGGUUAGUCAAUUGAUUUCUCUCCAAUGGAAUAUCGUUAUUAUCAUACUCCAAGUUGGAAUACAAAAAGCAAAGCCGGCCUGGUUCUAUUGGGUCCUAAAUUAUACAUCUUGUGAAAAGUUGGAAAGCUUGUGCGAUCUGGGUCAUCAGGCCUAGCUAGAUUAUACAUUCCUCCCACGUGUAAAAAGCCAGAUCCUCAGGCUUUUAUAUAGAAAAGCUUGCGUUCACGGUUCACCACUAACAAGUGGCACCGUGUUUCUCUUUACAUAUAAACCCUACAAUCCCUCCCUUCGGUCUCUCCCUUAGAUUUCGAUUCGCAGCAAAUCUAUUGCUUCUGCUUUUGUUUGAUCCAUUAGAAUUUCAUUCAGGUGGAUCUUCCUUCUGUAGUUCUCUGUAGUAAUGAUUCAUAGAAUAGCUUUUCUCUGCUUUACUCAAAUCCUUUCGGACUUUGUUUCUACUUUUACUUGGUGGAUUAAUUUGUCUUCUUUUUAGGGUUAGGGUUUCUGCUUUUCCAUCUGCAGUAAUAUGCAUGGGGGCGAUGAUCUGCGCCACUCGGUCACAGUGAUACUAGUCAGUUCUUGGUGGUGCGGCAUCAUCAAGAUUCACAUACUUUUAACCGAAAGGUUCAUGCCAUUGAAGUAAGUACUGAGAAUCUUGAUGAUGCUGCAUCAGCUAGUACAUGACUCUAUAAGAUUGAGAUAUUCCCAAUCUCUCCCCAAUUUGAAGCAGGACCAGAUCAGAUUCAUCUGAUUGAGAAGAACAUGGUAAGGGUUCCAGCCCUAUUUCAUAAAUAGGUUUCUUGUAAUUUCAGUUGAUUAUAUAUAUAGCCUAUAUCUAACUUGUUGAUUGUUUCCUUCGAUUGAAUUGCCUUACAGACGAGUGUAAAAAUCAAUGAUCUUCUUUCAUUUCUUUUGGCCAAUACAACGAUCUAAUUAUACCGGAGUUUUUUUUUUUUACAUAUAAUUUUAUCUAUGCAUAUAUACAAACACACACACACACACACACUCUCUCUCUCUCUCUCUCUCUCUCUCUCUCUCGUAUAGUAUAGUAUGGUCCAGAUAAUUUUAUCAAAUUCUGCAUUUUUAGUAUGUUUAUACAAAUUGCACGAGGGCAGGGUAAUAUUGUAUGAAUAUUGCUUCGAUCGUAUCAUUAAUCUUGAUUUUCACUCUGGCGCAAUCAAGCAAUCUAUUAGGCUUUCUAUUUAGUUGAUCAGUUUGAAAUAUAAUGUUGAUUUUUGAAUCAAACCAUUUCCAGGUUUGUUUCAGACUUUCAUAUUAUUAUUAUAUCCGAUUGAGGCUUGUUCUUUUGUUGUUAUGACAUUUUUAUGUAGCUUGGAGUUGGAGCUCAGAUGUUUGUUUGACUCCUAGGUUGCUUCAAAGCCCUUAAUUUAUUGGUAUAUAUCUAAUUUAGGGAGUUAUCCAAGAAUGUCAGGAAUCUGAUGUCUUAUGUUUCAGAGAUUUCAGGUUUCCAGUAUAAAAUACUGUUCAAGGUAGAUUACAGGACACUUACACAUGAAUAUCUUUAUUAUGUAUUUGUUUAUCUAUAUAUAUAUGAUGGAUUAUAAAGCUCCUAGCAUAAUCUAGCUAGUUACUGUGGAAGAUAGAGUGAUGAAUUAAGUUGCAAACUAUAAAAAGGAGAAGAGUUGAGAUUAAUACAGUAAAAAAUACUGUGGAAUCUGAUGUUUUAUGUUUCAGAGAUUUCAGGUUUCCAGUUUAAAACACUGUUCUAUGCAGAUUCCAGGACACAGAAUAUCUUCUAUCAUAAACUAGUUACUGUGGAAGAUAAAUUGAAUUAAGUUGCAAUGAUAAAGGAGAGAGAGUUGGGAAUAAUUAAUACAUUACAUAUACUUAAACAUUUUGACAACUACUGAAAAUAGGCUCCGAAUAGUGAUGAUUUCUGCAUAAGGAUGGUUUUACCAUUUUUUUUUAACGCAUGAAGGAUGUUGAAUAUAUUCUCUAGUUUCAUGCCUGCGCGCAGCAUACGUUUUCUAAGCCAGGCAACAGUACUUAGAGUUGAUUGCAGAUAUUUUCUUUGACAGCUAGCAGCCUAAACAUCAAAGAAAGUUUUAGAUUCGGGCAUUUCCUUGACUCAGACUUCAUUCUUCAUUGUGACUGCUGUUUACAGUAGCUUGUUACAGCUUCUUCGGUACUAGAGGUCAGUGUUACCAUGCCACUUCAAUAUAACUUUAAUGUCAACUUGGACUUUAUAAAGAACAUUUGCAUUGUUGAUCCAGCUACGUACUCUAUAGCUAAGUUCUUUGAUGCCACUAUUACAAGCCGUGCAUCAGGUGCAUUAUGCCUUAUUAGUCCUGACUCGCUUUGUACUCCUUGCCCUGUGCUCAUCCACAAACAGAAUAACUGAAAGUGCUACCAGUGACACCAUUGCUCAUCCACAAACAGAAUAACUUGAAAGUGCUACCAGUGACACCAUUAUAUAUAGAUACUUAAACUUUCCUUGUGAUGUUGAAUAUAGCUAGGUUAUAGCAUAUACCGAUUGUUCUAAUAUGUUAGAUAUCUUUGUUCUUAAAUCUAACCUGUGUUAGCGGACCAUCAUGGUUUCCUUAUAACUUCAAUCCUUCGUUGCCUUGCAUGAUAUCAGAGCGUGAUUUACACAAUGGCUUAGGUUCAAACCUCCAAUCUCUGUUGAUUCUGGAGGGUGUUUGGUAAGGCUUCACCCUUGAUCUUUGUCUGUUCCUCUUUGACCCUCUCCAUGUUAGGAACGUCAAUCGGUUGUCUUCCCAAUUUUCACCUGCUAUUAGUGCUAUAGCAUUUCAAGUCUGGUUAGGUCUCACUAUGUAGCCAGAUAGUCCAUUUGUUCCCGAGUACCUUGUACGUUAUUACUACUGCAGUUACAUGAAUCUAUCCUCUAGGCUCAAAACAAUCCUGCCGAGUGAAACGGUAGUUUUGGUAAAGAACAGUGGAUGAUGGAUUAUUGUUCAAUAUUUCUACCCCAUUGCCAACAAGAAGGACAACAUUCAUGAGGGGUUGGGCCCUUUUAUGCAGUGGGGGCUCCUUCCUCAUUUGAUCUUAUUCUGCCAACAGAGAACUAGUCAAGCACAGAGCCAGCAAGCACAUCUUUAGUGGGUUUUUCUUGGGUCCAUUUGCAGAUCUGGGAGUGACACAAAGUAAUAAUGGACCCAAGCAACUGGUGCCAUUAUCAGUUUUGAUAUCUAACCUCUGCUGCAGUAAUCUCAAUGUAUGAUCGUAGCCACAAGAAUGACCACAUUACACAACGAUCCUCAAUGAUUAUAUGGAGUUGAGAGAUUCCUUCAAGGGAUGAGGAUGAUAUUCUAGAAAAGAGCUCAAGAAGGUAACUAAAGCCAAGAGAGAUUACAGAUCACUGAGAUCAGUGACCUCAUAACUAGUCGUCUCCCCCUAAUGAAAUUGGUUUGGAGGUUCCAAAACCGCCUGGACUAUUGGUUGUUUCGUUUCUGGACUAACUUUAAAGCUCAGUGUUUUCACAUUUCAAUUUUAAGUUGUUUUUUUUUUUGGAUAAUUUCAAUUUAAAGCAGGUAGCCUGUAGCCAUCUAGGGUUUCAACUUAGCAAUACAAUUGCAAAUUUCUUUUAAGCAUUGUUUCAGCAGCUUUGAUUGACAAGAAUAGUGAUGUGAAGACUCUGUAACCUCUUGUUCUUACAUAGACUAACUGUGAUCGAGGUUUACCGAUUUAAAAUGUACUAAAAUAUGUUAAAAUCGAAUCCGAGAGUGGAGAUAUUACGAGUGUGGAUGAUCAACCAUCGUUAGUCUGCGCGGGCAAAUCAGUCAUCGCUCAGUCGUUAUUAUCAUAGGAAGGAUGAACAUUACCUUAUUAGGAUCUAUGUGUAAUCGAUCAAUAAACGUACAUAUGAUACUUGUUAAGUAAGGCAGUGAUAGUCGAUCGGUCAUGUUAUGUGUGCUUGGUCAAGUGUGCACCCUUUGAAGUUUGAAGUUAUGAAACAAACCCAUCAAUGCUGGCAGAAAUCAGAAUAAAAUCGAACCCCGAAACCCCCCAGAAAAAUAUACAGCCCGAUCGAUCGGUUUCAAACGUCAGACUGACAUUGUUGUCUCUGGGAGCCAAAAUAUGAAUUUGGCCAGCAACACUGUGAAACGUGAAGACCCUCUUGCAGCUUGUGCUGUUUAAAUUUUAAUUAAACGAAGCUGCAUAGACAAAAUCAUAGAGGUGUGGGGAUUGACCAGUUUCGUUUGAGGGUAGAAGAAAGGGUCCACGCCCUUCUAGGGUUCCCAUCUAAUGCUGCUCACAUGUGUGCAUGUGGGUCACUCCCCAACUCGAUCCCAAAUGCUCAUAUUCUCAAUCCCACAUGACUUAAUUUUGAACCAUCUAUAAUAACUUGGUUCAAAACAAUAUUUUGAACACCCAUUUUUGCUAGAUGGAAAAGUUAAAAGGGAUGCAUUGUAUACCAAUCUCAACAUAGCAUGUGAUGUUUAUUUGACCCACGAUCAAACUUUCUUUGACCAUGUACUCAAUUUUGUUUUGUCAUUGAUUAAUUCUAGAUAUUAUGAGGUUUUACAUUGCUAUUUUAGUCUAGUGGGAAAUUAAUAAAAGAUAGCAAACAGAAAGUUGUUUUUUUUUUUUAACAGUUGGGUGUCAAUCCAUUAAAAGUUCAAAUCAUUAAAAACUAGAUAACUCUAUCACCCUAAGAGAGCUACAAUACGACACGAUUGAGUCAUUCUUUGGUGACCAUAUUGAUCUAAAACCACGAUGCAAGCUAAACAAGGCCACCUAGAUGUUGUAACAAUUCAUCAAAACGAUAAAAAUCAAGAAACUAGAGAUAAUAAUUUCCUAACAAUGCUAGGAGAUCAAUAUAUUGAAAUGAAACCAAAUCACUCCUAGCUUAUUCAAAAACAAAAAAUUACUUAAGUGUCUUUCCUGCUUGCGCUUCAGCACACAUCUCAUCCAGCUAGACAAUUUUCGGAGCCUCCACAUUAACCAAUUGUUCCCCACCAUUAGCCUCCUCAAAGAUCAGAGCUUUGAUCAUAUCACAUUUACGGCGAGUGUUGAGAUAUGAAUCCUACAUUGGAAAAAUGAGACAUUGCAUGUGGGUUUAUAAGGGUUUGGGUCACUCCAUCUAUUCCCAAUUAGUUUUGAAUGUGAACCCCAUACUACUUUAUCAUGGUAUAAGAGCGGGUUACCUACGUCCACGUGUGAAGCCCAAUGGUCACAUGAACUCCACGUCACCCAAAAUGUUGUCCACGUGUUAGGCUUGAAAAUUCACUACAAGUGCGGGGGCGUGUUGAGAUAUGAAUCCCACAUCGGGAAAAUGAGACAUUUAAAUGUGGGUUUAUAAGGGUUUGGGCCACUCCAUUCAUUGUCAAUUGGUUUUGAAUGUGAACCCUAGACUACUUUAUCAGCGAGGUUUAAUCUCACGUUGCACACCAUCAAGCUUAGGGUUGUUCAUCCUACCCUGAGGCCUGUCGGCAUUGGCUUUAUUCGUUGGUGAAACUAUAAUCACCCUAUUUGUAAUUUUGAUAGAAAUCUCUAGUUCGAAACUUAGGUUAACCUCCUCAAUCUCAAACUUAAGUCAUCACCAUGUUGGCACGUUUACUGUAUUAUACCCAAGUGAGCACUGGCGGAGGUAUUCAAGGACCAAGGGGUGCCAUGACACCCCUCCAUAUUCUAUCUCUUUGUGUUUUCACUACUAAAAUUUGGCUGAAGUGAAUCAAACCUAACUCAACCCAUAUAUAGUGGCACCCCCACCCCCGUGUUUUAGUAGCUCUUUUGGUUAAGGGGUCUUAAUUACUUUUUUUAAGAUUGGUUGAGAUUUAAUAAAAAUAGAGAAUAAUAAAAACUAUUUAUAAAGAAAGAAGUUAAUUUCGUCCUAUUCCUAGUACAUUUAUGCUUUUACCCUACAAAUUAAUCUAAAUAGAUCACUGAAACCUAGAUUUUGUAAAUUUGUAUUGUACUCUAUGACCCAUUNNNNNNNNNNNNNNNNNNNNNNNNNNNNNNNNNNNNNNNNNNNNNNNNNNNNNNNNNNNNNNNNNNNNNNNNNNNNNNNNNNNNNNNNNNNNNNNNNNNNNNNNNNNNNNNNNNNNNNNNNNNNNNNNNNNNNNNNNNNNNNNNNNNNNNNNNNNNNNNNNNNNNNNNNNNNNNNNNNNNNNNNNNNNNNNNNNNNNNNNNNNNNNNNNNNNNNNNNNNNNNNNNNNNNNNNNNNNNNNNNNNNNNNNNNNNNNNNNNNNNNNNNNNNNNNNNNNNNNNNNNNNNNNNNNNNNNNNNNNNNNNNNNNNNNNNNNNNNNNNNNNNNNNNNNNNNNNNNNNNNNNNNNNNNNNNNNNNNNNNNNNNNNNNNNNNNNNNNNNNNNNNNNNNNNNNNNNNNNNNNNNNNNNNNNNNNNNNNNNNNNNNNNNNNNNNNNNNNNNNNNNNNNNNNNNNNNNNNNNNNNNNNNNNNNNNNNNNNNNNNNNNNNNNNNNNNNNNNNNNNNNNNNNNNNNNNNNNNNNNNNNNNNNNNNNNNNNNNNNNNNNNNNNNNNNNNNNNNNNNNNNNNNNNNNNNNNNNNNNNNNNNNNNNNNNNNNNNNNNNNNNNNNNNNNNNNNNNNNNNNNNNNNNNNNNNNNNNNNNNNNNNNNNNNNNNNNNNNNNNNNNNNNNNNNNNNNNNNNNNNNNNNNNNNNNNNNNNNNNNNNNNNNNNNNNNNNNNNNNNNNNNNNNNNNNNNNNNNNNNNNNNNNNNNNNNNNNNNNNNNNNNNNNNNNNNNNNNNNNNNNNNNNNNNNNNNNNNNNNNNNNNNNNNNNNNNNNNNNNNNNNNNNNNNNNNNNNNNNNNNNNNNNNNNNNNNNNNNNNNNNNNNNNNNNNNNNNNNNNNNNNNNNNNNNNNNNNNNNNNNNNNNNNNNNNNNNNNNNAAAACUGAACGGCGGAGAUGUGGAUACGUGACCGAAAAGUGAGCAAAAAAAGAUAUUCACACUUUAAUUUCAGAGCGAAGCUACUUCUGCCAAGUUUCAUCCAAUUUAACAAUCGUUUGAGCUUUCACAAUCGUGAUUUACACGAACAAUUCUGGUUGGACAUAUUUUAGUCUGUUCAUGCAUUUCACACAAUUCGGCACCUUAAUGAUUAUCAAAUUGAAUGAAACUUAGCAGAAGUGAUCUAUACAUUAGGUUCUAAAAACUAAAUGGCGGAGAUGUGGAUACGUGACAGAAAAACGAGCCAAAAAAAGACUUUCACAGUUUAAUUUCAGAGCAAAGCUUCGUUUUGGAUAGGAACUGUAUAUAUACACACACACAAUAUCGACGAGUCAAUUGAGGUAUAAUUUUUUAAGACUUUUUAUAAUAAUAAGUUUUAGCCAUCAAGUUUUUUUGUUUGCCCCGGAAUUAUAAUAUAUGGCUCCGAUAGGCUCAUCAACCAGAACUCCGAUGGAGGUGGUGAUGCAACACGAAAGACUGAUGAAGAGAUCUUGCCAAACUGACAAGUCAAAGUCUCAUAUAAUCGUUCUUUGUAAAUUCAGUGAAAGCCUUUGGUUGCAAAGUCUCAUAUAAUCGUUCUUUGUAAAUUCAGUGAAAGCCUUUGGUUGCAACACAAGAUUGAUUGGUUCAGAGUGAAACCUCAUCAACCUUGGUGCUUGGAUGGAAAAUCAUGAAAUGGUGUCAUACGUGAGUGACAUGCUUAAUUUUGUACUUGCGUAAUUUAUGAUCGAAAUUUGUAUGUCACACUUUCAAGAUAUUAAGCAUAUCACUCACGAGUUUAGAUAUUUCUAUCACAAAAUAAAUGAUUGAUAGUUUAGUAAUUUUGCAUACUAAAUCAUCUAAUUUUUUUACUUUUAAUUCGACAUGGAUACCAGGCACGUAGUACGGGUGCCUUGCGCAAAAAAAUUUCUUCACUAUGAAUCACUUUUACACCGCUAAAAUUAAAAUGAACAGACAAUAUGUACAGAAAGUCAUCUGCUGGAGAUUGAUUUUCCAGGUAAAUGUGUAUUAGCCAAGGAAAUCAUAACUCGGUUAAAGUUACUUUUAUCUAAAACUCAAAAAUAGUUUCCUUUUGAAGAAAAUUGUCAGUGAUUAUACAAAGACACGACCCAUAUCUAAGGUCGUGUUUAAAGUCCGUGUAACAUUCUUACCUCCCGUAUGACAUACAACGAAGUAAAAAUGAAUGACUGAAUGUACAUAUGCAAAACGUAUUUCAUGACAAAAAAAACAUACGCCCCUUCCGCAGGAAAGCAAGUUUACCUUACCAGAGACUUGCUAGGGUUUACUUGUACUUUUCACUAAUAAUUUACUUAAUCAAGUUGAAAUUUAUUGAGAACUCGAUCCCAGUUCCUCUUAUGGUCAAAUAUUCCCUUAACAAUGAUUCAAAGCUUCUGUUAGGGUCACAUGCGAAUAGUACAUAUUUCCCUCUCAGUCAUUCACAUAGGUCGAUUUUGAUUGGUAAUAUGUUCACAUUAAGUUUAUUUUAUGACAAUUAUUUUUCAUUAAGUCUAGUACAGUAGUACCUCUCCCAUAUUUGGGAAAAUUGUAGAAGUUUGACCAGUCAAAUUUUCUAUCAAACAAAAAUAAAUGUCUGGUUACAAGAUUCCCCUUGCCCAUUUUCUUUCAUUUCGAUUUGGGUUAUCUUUUCAAGUUAACCUGAAGGGCUGUAGGUACUGUGUACUAAUUUUCACCAUUUUGCGUUUUUCAAUCACUAGCUAGGGUUAAUUUCAUGUACGUGGGAAGCAUGGAGAUUUUAGGAUUUUGGCGUCUUUUCCAUCAUUUGUUGAAGUUAAACCACUAGAUCGCUCACAGAGCUAGCUCUCCAAGAGCUUCCCUACAACAUCUAUCAACUGUUUAUAGAUCGAAAAGCUGCAAGAGUCUCUCCAAGAAAUUAUAUACGUACUUAGGUACCUCUAAUACCCUUCGAUCGCAAGCACUACAAAGAACACCGGUUCCGGUUCGAGGCCCUUCCACACUGCAAGCUAGGAUUGAACAAACCUACUAAGAAAAUUAACCCUCCAAAUCUUUGUUUGCAAAUCGCAAUCAUCACCGGUAAACAUAGAAAUCAAACUAACAGAUCGUGGGGAGAAUCCGAACAAAGGAUCAAGAUCUUAAACAGGUAUUGUGAAGACUGGAGAGAAAAACCUUCGUAGAUCGUGAUCGCAGAAAAGAGCGUCGAGAGACUAUACUAUACGGAAAGACAUGAAGAGUAUCACAAGUAUUAUGUAUGUUCAUUUUAUCUUCAGCAUUGAUCUAUGUUCCUAGAGGAAACAUUAUGAACAUUGUCGAGGAGUCAUAGAAAUUUUCUUCCUUGGUAUGCAAGAUGAAGGAAAGCAUAUAUAAGAAAAUAAAACGUUAAAUUGCCUAGGUACAAUUCAAUUUCAACAUGCACAUGAAGGAAUCAGCACCAAUGAACACCGCAGAAAUUGAGUUCUUUCAAAAUUGUUUACUGCAGAAGGCCAGCCACACCAUGAUUAUAUAUAUCGCCCAAGAUUUCAAACGCUCUGACUGCUGCAUGCUGAUCCAAAUGGGUGAUACAUGUGCAUGACAAUCCUAACCUCUUACAUGCACAUUAUAUAAAACCUGCAUCCUACAAUUCUUUUUUCUACGAUGAAAACCCGUUUAUGCAGUAGUACCUUUCGAUUCAGUGGUAUAGUUAAGUCGUUAAGAUUAUCUUAAUUAGCCCGAAAUUACACCGAGGAGGUAUCUGUGAGACUGUGACUAAUUGAAUAAUUAUAAUUGAAAUUACACAGACUGUGCUUGUUUUAAUAUUAAUUAUUAGUAUGGAAGAAGAACAAUAGGAAAGGGCUAAGAGUUAUUGUUUUAUUUUGAAUUAAUCCAAUCUGCAGGCAAAUAUGAACAUGAAGAAUGGGUCAAACAGAAACAAAAAGCUAGAGCACACUGCUUACAAGAUUGAUUACAUUACUAUUAUUCAAAGAUCAACUUGCAAACCCUAAAUUCUAAUAAGUUAUAAAUCAAUCAUUAACACUAUGCAACUCAAAAGCUUGAAGGAAAUUUACAAAUCUUAUGUAUCACCUGAAAGAAAUGCAUGGUAAUUACCUAGAUUGGAUUUGGAGGAAAAGAGAAGGCAUUUGAAUUUUGAAAAAUGAGAGUACUCGCUUGUAUUAUGGAGGAAGAAUAAUUGGUACAGCUCUAGCUUUCACAUGAGGAGAACGAUUGAAGUGCAGGGUCCCCCGGCAAGUGUGUCCUCUAUUUUCUCAGAACUUGUGUGGUUUGUAUAAAUUCUAUGGACAUGGAUUUUAACAUGGGGCAGAAGAUGUGUCUCUCGGCAUCGUACUUGAGCAGUGUUUCGACAUCGAAAUUUAGCAAAGAGUGAAUCUCCUCCUCAAGAAUAAGGUACACAACGUUGAUAUACAAGUGGAAAGAAGAAGAAAAAAAAUCGAAGUUCCAAAGGAAAAACCCAGCGAAGCAGUCAAUGACAGUGAGCUAUUUAUAUGACUGUAAUAUCAUCAAUGUUCACAUGUCUGUAUCAACCACCAAUAUAUAAGAACUACCAUGCCAGCAACCAGCCUGCUUUCAUUUUGACAAGCCUGAAGUAAAAAUGAAAAAUUAAGUUGAAUUAGGGCUAAGUGGAUAUGUAAAAUACUAGUCUCCGUUCUUUUUUACUGUCUUCAAAAUUUCGGUUUUUGAUUUCGAUCUUGCUAAUCAUAUAUAUGUCAAACAUUCAUCAAUGUUGAAAUUGUGGUCAAUACAAUUUUUUGUGUAUCAAACUCUCGGUACUUAUACUGAAAAUUGAGUAAGUUUUACAAUUAACUGAAUUAAGAUUAUUUUAAAUCAUUUUGACUAGCCUGAAGUAAAAAUGAAAAACUACGUUACAUACGCAUGCGUCCACUGAAAUUAAGGUUAAGUGGAUUUGUAAAAGACUUGAAGUUUCCGUUCAUUUUUACUGUCUUCAAUUUCGGUUUUUGAUUUCGAUCUUGCUAAUUAAUUAUAUUUCAAACAUUCAUCGAUGUUGAAAUUUUAGUCGAUACUUGUAAUAAAAAUUGGGAAUCAUAAUUAGGUUUAGUUUAAGUCAUGAGCUAGUAAGAACAGAAGAAGUCAUGAGCUAGUAAUAUAGAAAUACAAUUGGAUCAGAGUAUUUACAGGUUUAUUUUACCACUAAGGUCGAUCAGUGAAAUUAUUACUAGUAAAUGCCGGUGUAGAUUUUGAACAGAAAUUAAGAUAGAAUAUCAGCAUAUAGUAAAGAACAGCAGAGGGUCCAAACUCAAUAUCAUGAGUACGUAAUCACCCAUACAAUUGGUCAGACUUGUGCUUUAAGAAUCACUUAAACGAAUAGCUCAUUCUCUAAACCACACUAUAUAUGAUAACACCAUUAACCACCGACCCCAUACUCUCUCACACCUCUGUUUCUCUCUCUCUCUGGCUAUCAGUCUUGUUCCUCUAGCUAGCUCUUCUACCUGUCUCCAUUUCAGACCUACAUUCACACAAAGCAACCAAAGUUUAUCUAGCUAGCUAGCUAGAUCAAGAUCAACCUCUAAGGCUUUGGAGCAUUAUACAUUAUUCUCACAUAUGGAUGAGAAAUGGAAGCUACCAAAGAAGGAAAGCGGUUCUUCUUCUUCCAAGUUCGCCUUCACGAGAAGCUCCUCCACAAGAAGCACUUCUUCCAAUGCUCCACUUCUGUCAAGAAGCUAUUCCCAGAAAAGCAACGUCGUGUCUUCCAGUUCCAACUCCAAGUGCCCUCCUCUUCCAAGGAGCUUCUCGCAAAAGAGCUCUUCCAUGAGCCGAAAGUGCAGCAGCCUCGCCAAGGAACACAAGGCCAGAUUUUACAUCAUGAGGAGAUGUGUGGCUAUGCUUGUUUGUUGGCACAAGCAUGGAAGUGAUUCUUGAUAAACAAAAACCACUUCGAUUUUAAGUCAUUUCCUUCAUAUAUGUCAUCAUAUCUUCCUUUGAGAUGGGUCGGGUUUGUUAAUUUUGAACUCAUCAAAUUUUUUGCCAUCGGAUCAAGAGGAGAAUGAUUGCACAACUUUCUCGUGUAGUUUACUUAUUUUCUUAAUUACCCGGUUUAAUUAGGUUUUUCAGUUGUAAUUACUAUUGAGAAUACAAUGUAAGAAGAGAUUAGCAUAUAUAUCAAUACUAGUCUUUAAAGCAUAAACCAGUAUGUUUGAUUAGUUCAUAUAUAUUUGUUUGAGAUUCAUUAUGCUAAUCCAAUGACUCGUAAUGCUUUCAGAAGACUUAUUAAGAACGUAUGGCCAUAGAGUUUGAGAUUCAGUACAAAUUCAAUUAUCAAGUCCCCACAGUACCAAGAUCCGAUAGAAAUCAAAUCUCAUAUCACUGACCCAAUUUUCUCAGUUUUAUCUUUUAUCUUAAAAUUUGUUUUUAUUUUUUGUGUUUUGAUCGAAGAGGGAAAGAUUCUCUUUGGCUGGUUGGGGGGGGGGGGGGGGGGGGGGGUGGGGUGAGGGGGAGCCUCCUGCACUUCUAUAUCUGCCUCGGAAAUGCAAGUCAUUCACACCUUUUCUUUGCUUUGGGAAAACUUCAGUGAAAAAUUCUCUUAAAAGUGAAGACAUGCAUCAAACUUAAGUUCGAUCUAAUCUAGGAAUGUGCCUUUUUCUAACAUUUAUGAUCUCUAUGUACUUAUCUCAAUGUAACUUCUAAUUGUUCUACAGCUAAAAAAAAAAACUUCUAAUUGUUCUAUGCUGGUGCUGAAGUUAAUUAGAUCUUCUAUUUAUCUAGACACGAAGCCACGCCAAAUAAAUGAUCAUGUACCAAUCUUUCGGAUCUUCUAAUUCUUCUUUACAAAAAAAAAGAAACAAAGGAAUCAAGUAUCAAAGUGUAAAUUAAUCUUUUAAUGAAAUAUGAGAAUAAGUAAACAAAUUGUAAUCACUUUCAUUAGCUUUUUUCAUUUUCAGCUACUCUCAGUAUUCAUAUCCAUUCCACUCUUUCGAUUUUCUAAUCCGUUCUUUUCUAGUUUCUUUGAUGUUUAACAACAAAUCAGCUUUUAUUGAUCAUUUCAUUUAAAAGAAACGAUGCAUUAAAGCAUUACGCAAAAUACCUAAUCUCAGAUGAGUGUCCAAAACAAUGAGCGCACUCACUUUCAUUUACCAUGAGAAACAAAUUGUUCUCCACGAAGAAAUAUAUUUAUGGAAAGUCUUGAAAUUGGUGUUACAGGCAAGAUGCAUAUGCAAUCCACGAAGCAAAUUUUGAGGGCUGUGACAUGAUGGUAUCGAUGAUUCAAAGUUUAAACUUUUAAGAAGCAGUCUUGGAAAAGAUACCAAUUAUUGGUAAUGAAAUCAGUUGAAAUUUGGAUUUUCAAACUAGACUAUCCUAGCAUAUGACCUUAAUGUUUGAGCAAUCGAAUCGCUAGUUCCCUUAGGUAUAUCAAGCGACGUCUCUUUGUUAAGAUAGAGGAAUUCGAUGACCUCGCAUAUUACAAUGCGAUGCACCAAACAUUGCACGAACACAUAAAACCAAAAAACAACCUAUUGUUGGGCCUAUGUGCCUCUUGAUGUUGAGACCUAUGUGUGUCUCUUUUGUUAGGGUCUUUAAUACCUCUUGUUUAGUGUUGUAUUAGGUGUUACUUGUUGCAUCAUCUAAUACAUUACUUUUCAUUGACCAAAAAAAAGAGUCAAGAAUAAAAAAAGAAGACCCUACACUGAAUCAAAUUAACCUACACAAGCUCUGAUCGAGGCUUAGAUAUGGCUGGUAUGGAGUACAUCACCACUAAUCGGCACAAAAGCUUCAACCAAUAAUUAAGGAGAGAAACACGAUAAGGGCUUUAUUCCAAAUUACAAAAACAUGCCUAACUCGCAUGGGAUAGGGUAUCCAUCUCCAAAGCUGUCACAAGAUCUACUGUUACAACCUUCGAAACAUAUACUUAAGUUUGUUUCGAAGACCAUGAGGAUGACCUAAUGACCUAUCUUCUUUUCCGGCCUCCCAACUGCAAUAAUCGAGAUAUCACCAACCCCGCAUAACACAUCACGAGUUCUCGCCUGUUACCCAGUCACCGGUCCUGACCGGCCGCCUAGAAGAGGCUUGGGGUUUAGGCCCAAGGGCCAUUGCAUUUGAUGACACCACAUUCUCCACCUUGAUGAGUCACCAUUGCGGGAAAUAUAUAUGGUAAUUAUGGGUAACAAGCUAGCCCACUCCUAACCCUACAAAUACAUGUCUCUCCUCUCCAUUAUUGUAAGUCUCUAUUCUCCACUUCACUCUUGCCUAACCGCUACACUCUCAUCAAUUGAUCUCAUUUAGCUGACAUAGUUAGGCAUCAAAGGGUUGAAGGCUGGCCAGCCCGAUCUUCUUGUUGACGUCGUUUGCACAUGACUGACUUUGUGGACAUCGGAGAUGGAGUUUUCUUUCUGGAUUCUAUGUAGCUCCGCCCCGCGACGCCUACUCGAUCGGAAGUCAGAAACAGAUCACUUGGAGCUAUGGCCCAGUUGUGUUUCAGACAUUUUCCGUUCAGCAGAUAGAAGACCAGAAGACUAUUAACGCCCGCUGCUGUCCUCAGCCUCACUGCCCAAAACCAUAUCCUUACUACCCAAUUUCAAGAUAACUCAAGUACUCGACCCAAGUCCAAUUAUCAUAUAAUUGUAACACCCAAAUUACAUAAGCAGUGCAUAUAAGUAAUUACCAGAAGCCAUCUUACCCUAGCAUAUUACCUUUAUAUCAAGAAUAAUAAUGCUAGAUUGGUGAUUCAAGAAGAUUGAACUACAGAAUGAUCGGUACGUGUGAUACUGAAUAAUGCUAGGUUGCCACAUUUCCGAAUACUACUGCCAUUUCAUCUCAUCUAUAUAUCUUAUAUGAUCGAUAUAAAUUAAUUUCAAGUCAUGCCAAUUACUUCCGUGGAAGUGAUUUCAAUCUUCGAUACUUUACCUAUUUAUGCAUGCACAUGUUAGAAUGAACUUAGCAUUAUAAGUCCUAAGGCACGACAACUUCUAUAGAAUAACAGAAUGAACAUUGUGAAAUUAUUAAUUGCAUUAUCAUGAUAUGUUUAUCUAAAUGAAAUGGUUAGAUAAACAAUGAAAUACAUUUGAAUUAUCUUGUUAUAGGCUAAUAUUGUGGUAUUUGUGUGACACUCAAACUCUUUGAUGGUUAAGAGUUUGAGCUAUCCAAAAUGCAGUAUAAAAGGAGGUUUUUGUGCACACUCUAACUUACGCCAAAACCUAAUCUCUCUCUAUCAAAGCUUUGGUACUUGAGUGUUGCGCAAAAGAUCCCUUUUUGGAAGCUUCUUCCCACCUCUCUUCAUCCCGAUGGUUGCCCUCAACAUUGAGCAAGCAAGCAAGGUACUAUUUCUGUUCCUUGAGUAUAUAUAUCAGUACAUGUACAUAUAUGUUGAUGUAUGUCUGAUGUCAUGAUCUGUGAUCUUGUUUAUGUACAUGUGUUUAUGAUAAGUGUUUUGUCUUUGUGGUUGUAGUAUGUCUAAGAGCACAGUACAUGCAUGGUUGAUUGAUGAUCUUUGUUUCUUGCAAGCCAAACGCAAUUUGAAAAAAUUCAAUAACAAUUGAACAACGUACAGGUCGAUCUACGCGAUGUUUGACAGGUGAUAAAGGUCAUAAAACGUAAACUUAUAUUGGACUGCACUUAUUGUUUCACAAAUGCCACACAACCAAAUUUGUUCAAGUAAGUACACUAAUUGGAACUAAUCCCAGAUCAUAACAACUGCUAUGACUCCCACUCCAAGAAGCACAGCAAGAAACUUGUAAGAUGGAGUGUCAAAGUCGCAUUUGGUUUGUGGUUUAAACCCUUUGGCAAUGAGAUGAUUGAUUGCAACAUAGACGAAAACUCCACAAGCAAGUCCCAUGGAAAUUGCAUAUACCCAAUCAGCUGCAGCUCCUUCAGUUGUGGCAUCAAUGGCAAUCCCUAUGCCUACUCCAACUGGACUUGAAACAGCAAAAGCAAAAGAAUAAGCUGCAGUUACUAGAAAUGCUCUCUUUGGUAGCAUCCUCAGUAAUGCAAUUCCCAUUGCAACGGCUGCAAAAAUCUUGUGUAAUGAUAUCGUCCAUAGAUUCCUCCAUGCAUCUCCCUUUGUAUCUGCAAUGUUACGAACAUAUCGACAACUUAUUUUUGCUCGAGAUGAUCCUUUAAAAAUUGAAUGAUUCAUUGUAUUGGAGGAACAAACUAGGUAUAUAACCAAGAAUGUUCACAAAACUAAGUUCAUGUACGUACGUAAUGGCUCAUAGGCAGUUAAAUCCUAAACUUUGAACAUGCAUAUAUAUAUGCUAAUUAAUGGCCUGGAGCAAAUCUAUGGUUGUUGCAUGUAGGGUUUGGGCAUCCAAGUUCAUGAAAUCAAUAUAUAUUGAGUGUAUAUAUGUAAAAUGUUCAGUGUAGAAUUUGCUUACAAAAAAUCUAGCAUGUUUUAUAUGCUGUCAGUUCUACACAAUAGAUACAGAAAGCUAUUAGUGAUCGAGUACAUAUGUAAUAUAUGGCGGAUAAGAGCCAUUGGAGUUUGUCCAAUUAGUUAAGGAAUAAGGGGAAUCAAUUAGGGCAAGAAUACAAAGUACGUACCUGCAACUCCAACAGCAAUACCCUCGAAAACUGAAUGGAAACACAGCGCAAGAAUAAGAAGUAUGGUGUCUCCAAACGAAGUUGUUUUCAAGAAAGCUGGGUUGAGCUCAUCAUGUCCAGUUGGAACUUCCUUAUCCCCAUGCUCCUCAUCCUCAACCCUAAUUCCCUCCUCCACCUCAACUCUAGCUUCUGUUUCACUGGGCCUAGUCACAAACAUCACCACGCAAUCGCCAAACAUGGUCAGCAUAUAACCAGCCGAAGCUAGCAUGAAUGCGAAAGGGUACGUUUUGGUGGUAAGGUCUCCGAAUGUCUCAGCUGCAUCGCUCAAGAAGUGCAUCAAAGAGGUACCGAGAAAAACACCACCAGCAAAUUGAGUUCCCAAGAGAAGAAAGCUUUCGUUCCAUCGAUAAAAAUAGGGAGAUAUGCCACCAAUGAAGGUGGUCACAAGUAAAAUGAUCAAACACCAUACUUUCACCAACACCAAGCUCUUCGAAUGCAGAACUACGUGCUCGUCGCUGCUGCUAUCGCUGUCAUGGUCUACGCCUCCAUGACCAUUGAUUAGGAGCGGUUGCAGGAGUAGAAGCGCACAAAGUGAGACAGAGGUUGACUUGAGAGUCUUGAAGAUGAGAAAAGUGGAAGCCAUGGAUGAGUUUGAUGAAGUUUCCUAUCCCUACCCAGUACGUAAUGGCUUCUGAUAAUUAAGUACUUGUUUGGCUGUACAAAUCGGCCAUUUUCUCUUUCCAGUACAACAUUGACUUUCUUAUUCGAAGAUCGUAUAGCUAGCACUGUACUGCAGAAUAGACAAUAGUUUAGAAGCCUGAGAUGAGUUGAGAUUAAGCGCACACUCGGUCCAGCUAAAAUUAAAAAUUGACUAAUCAAAAAUCAAUCAUGCACCAUAUAUAAGCUUAAAAAUAAAUGAUACCAAAUUAAUCUGUGGAAUUAUAUAUUAAUUUCACUUCCUUACCCCUUACAUCACCCACAAUUGACAUGUUAUAUUACCUUCUUCCUUGUGUACUAAUCAAGCAGCAUCUAUAUCCAUUUAUAUUAUCUACUCUUGUACAUAGACAAAUUAAAAAAUCAAAAUAUGUUAUUAGCUGUAGAUCGAUUUCUAUGGCUUCUGCAAUAGCUAUAGAUAUGACUAUAUAUAUGAGUAUGUCCAGCGAUCAAUACCAUACUUCAAACCACCCGUCAGCAAUAUGCAUGAAAGUUGCAUGCAUUAUGCUAGCUACUUAGCUGAGAGAAGUAUGUUUCUGUAGGAAAGCAGAACAGCACAAGUUCGUCGAUGGCGAUCGAGGAGGACAAGAAUGAGCUAGAGAGUAAGAAUGUUUUGGCGUACUCCUGUCAACAAGAUAACGCCUGAGUGAUUGAGUCCCUUUGAUCAAUACCAUCCUUCAGUGUUGUUGAUGUCUCCUCGCUUUGAGUGAUUGAGUCCCUUUGAUUUAGGUACCUAGUAACUCUUAAUUACUAUAGAAAUUUCAGUAUGGAGUGAAGAUGAAAGGUAUAUAUUGGAAUGUCGCCGCUGAAUAAAUAAAGAAAGCCAGACCCCAUCACUGCAUAGAUUGAGUGCCCAGGAGGCCAGGAGAUCGAGGAAAGCUAGCUUUGGUUUCAUUGAUUAAAGUACAGGGAGAUGUCACCAAAUCACCAAUGAAGGUGGUGAUAGUAAGUAGAUUUUACACACCACACUUUCAUCAACAAUUCAACAUGCACCACCAAGCGUUAUGACCGCAGAACUACCGUGCUCAUCGCUGCUGCUAUUGCCAUGCAUCAUGCAUGACAUAUGGCAUAGGCCAGCAGGAACGGUCAGGAUAUAGAAUCAGAGAAAGUGAAAGAGAGGUUGGACGUACUUGAGACUUAGUGAAAGGAGUUGAAAAUGAUGUUCCUAUAUUCUUAUCCCAAGUUCCCAACCCAAUAAUGGUUUGUGAUAUGUAAUGUGAUGAAGCCGUGGUGGGUUACUCGAUGGACUGCGCGGGUAUGGCAGUGAACACUGUUGCUGUUUUGCCAGGGACACAUCUGAUGAAGGUGCAGGCUGCAGGGUAGCUUUGGCAGCGGUCUUGAAGCCUUCAACCAUGCUUGCAUGGACCUCUUGGGCUGGUUGACUUUAUUUGUGUUUGGCUCGUUGUCUUUGGGCCUCUCUCUGAUCUCCUAGUGGAAUGGAUCAUUGCAUUGUGCAUUAGAUUUGGCUAGGAGAAUACCCUAGUGACUUAAUUAGUUUCUAUUAUUUUUAUUUUCAAUUGUAAUUUUAGUUUUAUCUUUCCAAAACCAAAAUCAAUAUUCACUCCCAUUGUUCAUAUCACUUUGUAAUUACGUGUAUUUUUAUACUCGUAAUUACUACGUAAUUAAACACUAUGAAUUAGUUAAUCCUCAUAGCAAUUAAUAUGUAAUUAAUUCAUUUUUAUUUAUUUUGUAUGAAAUAAUGAGAGUUGCGGAAAAGAGCCAAAAUUGGAGUAUAUGGAAAAUUGAUGAAAUAGACAAUGCCGGUCACCCAUGUUCGUGUCAUCAAGAGAGCAGAAAAGCAUUAAGCAAAUUGAAGAACUUGACGUUUAAGCGUCAAUGUUUUAUUGGCCACCGAUGUGUCGUUUUAGUCUUCGAAUUAACGAAGAAAAAAAGAGUUGGAUUGUUUUCUAGCAUAUAUCAUAGUCAUAAACAACCCGUCAAUCGACUACAACAAAGAUUUUGGGGUUCCAAAUUUGAAAACCUUGGUCGACCAGGCUCCUAAGUGUGAUUGCAUUCCUAAUACGCACCUUGUCAUUCAUACUUCAUUUUUCAAUUCAAGGACCCUUGUCACCAACUCGCACCAUACACUUUGGCAAAUCUGAAUCAGUCCAAGCGAUGAGAUCAAAGAGACGAGAUCGAGCUGUACGUGUUCAGACUGCUUAGAUACUCGUCAGUCGUCAAUCACGUCUAGCAACUUGGACUCUUUCAAAGACUAUUCUUGAUGACAAUGGUAGUCAUGGCCUCGUGGGACCUAUCAUAAGAAAAUGAAAUCCCAGUUCAGAAUAGCCCAAUAUAUACAUGUCAUGGUUAUCCUUCUUCUUCCUCACCGAUCCUCGAAAACAAUGGCUUCCCUCUUCCAUACUCUACUGUCUUCUUCGUUUUCCAUGUUAGCUCUUCUUCUAUGCAUAUGUCUGAGCGUAGAGUCUGCUAUAAUUCCAAGCAUUACCACUGACAAGGAGGCUUUGAUCUCAUUCAAGGAGGCCUUGCUCAGUGCCCCUCCAUCUUUAAGCUGGGACCAGAAUUCAUCACCUUGCAGCAACUGGACUGGAGUUGUUUGCAGAAACGAUGGUCAGAGUCCGAGAGUUGUUGGUCUUGAUCUUUCAAGCUUGGGACUUACAGGUAUGGUCUGAGACGCAUAUCCAGUAUCUUAAUUUCGAUACUAUCUACAUACUUUGCAUUAUUGUACGCAGAGGUUGUCUACGACUUCUUUACUGAGAUGUAUAUGAUCCACUCAUUUUACAACUAAUUCAACCAAAAUUACUAAUUGAUUGAACCAAGUUCACAACAAUAAAAAUAAAAUUAGUACAUUUGUUUUACAUAUUUAUAUAUAAUUAAACUAAAUUACUAUAUCGACAACAAGAAGUUUGAAGUGUAAACUUAAUAAAAAAUAUUGUGUAGUUUCACUUCUAUAUCCUUUAUAUUUCUUUGAUAGUUGAUAUAUGUUGCUUACAGGGACCAUAAGCCCUCAGAUUGGUAACUUAUCCUUCCUCCGUUCCCUUCAACUUCAAAACAACAAGUUAACAGGAGCAAUUCCUACUCAACUUGUUAACCUUUACCGCUUGAGAUCUCUGAACCUGAGCUCCAACACCAUACAAGGUCCACUACCUUCAAACAUGAGCAACUUGAAUGCACUAGAAGUCCUCGACUUGGCUGGGAACAACAUAACAGGGAGGCUCCCUGAGGAGAUGUUCAGCCAAAAGAAACUUCAAGUCUUGAAUCUGGCACGAAAUAAAUUCUUUGGUUCUGUUCCUUCAUCCAUAAGCAACCUUUCAUCCACACUCACAUCUCUGAACUUGGGUACAAAUAGCCUCAGUGGGAUCAUACCUAGUGAGUUGGGUCUACUUAACAAUCUCAAGGAACUUGAUCUUUCUGGUAACAAGUUCACUGGGACUGUUGCUCCCUCCAUAUACAACAUUACUUCAUUGGUUCUGUUUACUGUUGCUUCCAAUCAACUUUGGGGUGAGAUUCCCAAAGAUAUUGAUCAGACACUUCCAAAUCUUUUAUACUACCGGAACUGCUUCAAUCUAAUGACAGGGAACAUUCCUGCUUCUUUGCACAACAUCACCAAGAUUCGAUCAAUUCGAAUGUCAAACAAUUUUCUGGAAGGAACAGUUCCACCAGGGCUUGGAAACAUGCCAGACCUUGAAAUGUACAACAUUGGCUUCAAUCGGAUCGUUAGUAAAGGCAGUGAUGGUCUCAGUUUUAUCACUUCAUUGACAAACAGCACCAACCUGCAGUUUCUUGCUUUCGACGACAAUCAGUUAGAGGGAGUCAUUCCAGAAUCACUUGGCAAUCUCUCGAAGGUUCUCAACAAAUUGUACAUGGGAGGGAAUCGGAUUUCCGGUAAUAUUCCUGCCUCAGUUGGUCGUCUUACUAGUUUAACUUUGUUAAAUGUGAGCUACAAUUCAAUAUCUGGUGAAAUUCCUACUGAAAUAGGCCAAUUGGAAAACCUACAAGAGCUUAGUGUAGCAGGAAAUGAUUUGUCUGGUCAUAUUCCAAACUCCUUGGGAAAUCUCAAAAAGUUGAACAGCAUUGAUUUAUCUGGGAAUCACUUUGUUGGCCAAAUACCCUCUUCUUUUUCAAACUUCCAGAAUCUGCUUUCCAUGGACUUAUCAAACAAUGAGCUCAACGGAACCAUUUCCGGUGAAACUCUCAACCUCCCUAGUUUAAGCACCACUCUCAAUCUGUCCCAAAACUUUCUAAGUGGACCUUUGCCUUCAGAACUUGGGUCCCUAGAGAAGGUUGUUACUAUAGACCUCUCUGACAAUGCUUUAUCUGGAGAUAUCCCGGGAUCAAUAGGAAAGUGUAAAAGCUUGGAGAGAUUGUUGAUGUCAAGAAAUAGAUUUUCAGGUUCUAUUCCCAAUGGUGUAGGAGAAUUGAGAGGCCUUGAGUUUCUAGACCUUUCCUCAAACCAGCUUUCCAGCUCCAUUCCAGAGAAUUUUCAAGACCUACAUGCCCUUCAGUACUUGAACCUAUCAUUUAAUCACUUAGAAGGAGCGAUUCCUAAUGGUGGAUUAUUUGUUAAAAAUUUCACUAAUGUUCAUCUUGAAGGCAACCCAGAAAUUUGCCUUAAAUUUCCAUGUGUGAAGAAUAGUAAUGGUCGUCGAAGCAGAAAAAUACUAGUCCCAGUUGUGAUCAUUACAACUGUCUUAGCAACCAUAGCAAUAUGUGUUAUAGUGGGCUGUUUGGUCUAUGCUAAGAAAAGAAAAGGUUGCAAAACAAAAAUUACAGGAACUUGUGAUGACUUCGUGGUAAAAGGGCAGCAUCAAAUGGUUUCGUAUGAAGAACUCCGUGGCUCAACAGGGAAUUUCAACCCAGGAAAUUUGGUUGGAAGGGGGAGCUUUGGUUCUGUAUAUAAAGGGUUUCUUAGAGACCAAGGAAUUGAAGUUGCAGUCAAGGUGCUUGAUAUAAGACCAAAAGGGUCUUGGAAGAGUUUCUUGGCAGAGUGUAAUGCUUUAAGGAGUGUGAGGCACCGGAAUCUUGUCAAACUGAUUACUUCCUGCUCAAGCUUAGACUAUAAGAACAUGGAGUUUCUGGCUUUGGUGUAUGAGUAUCUGAGUAAUGGGAGCUUGGAAGAUUGGAUCAGAGGCAAGAGAACAAAUUCAGACGGAAGCGGUUUAAGCAUUGUGGAGAGAUUGAAUGUGGUGAUUGAUGUUGCUUGUGGAUUGGAUUACCUCCACAAUGAUUGUGAAGUUCCAGUGGUUCACUGUGAUUUGAAGCCAAGCAACAUUCUUAUGGACAAAGACAUGACUGCAAAGAUUGGAGAUUUUGGGCUGGCAAAGUUGCUGAUAGAGGAAACAUCCACUCAACAUUCUAUUGGCUCCACCAAUGUCCUCAAGGGUUCCAUUGGAUACAUACCCCCAGGUUAGUAAUGAAUCAAUUUGCUAGCUAGCAGUUUUCUUAUACAAGUACUUCAUGAGUUCAUUUAACAAUUAAAACGAUGUUCUUCGCUCCUUCAGAAAGUGAUCCUCCUACUUAAUAACUCGAUGAUUAUGAAAAAAUAAUGAACUCUCAGUGUUGAUCAAAUGACUGUCUGGGAUUGUGGAUAGCAUCUACCUAUAAUAAUAUGGUUGUUUUAUAAGUUGUUGUCCUUGAAAAUGAAAUAUAUAAUAUUUGUGUACAAUGCAGAAUAUGGUUUUGGACAAAAACCCUCCACAGCUGGAGAUGCAUACAGUUUUGGAGUAAUGUUGUUGGAGCUGUUUACUGGAAAAAGUCCAACCGAUGAGCGCUUCACAGGAGAAGUUAACCUCGUUCAAUGGGUGCAGUCAUCAUUUCCUCACAACAUUGCAGUAGUACUAGACUCUGAGUUGUUACAUUGUCAGCACGACGAAGGCUCAAAUCUCAUCUCAGAAGAAGAGCUGCAUUGUCUGAACUCAGUUAUCGAGGUUGGGCUCUCUUGCGCUUUCACCUCUCCUGAUGGACGCAUUAGCUUGAGGGAUGCUCUUCACAAACUUCAAACUGCUAGAGAGACUUUUUUGAAGCUUGCUCACUUUGACAGUCCAGAGUGCAACUUUCAACAAGAAUAGGAGGUUGAGGUACUAUUUGUUAAGAACUGAUUGUAAUAUAACACCUGAUGUAAUGAGUUCCUGUCCAUACAAGGUACCAAGAGCUCGUUUGUAAUCAAGUUCUAUAAAUAAAUAAUCACACCUUUCAAAAUAAAAAUUAUCAAACAAAAUGCUGCUUUUAAUUAUCAUCCAAAUUAAUUCGAGCUGAAACUGGCCUUCAGCUAUAAUGUACUGAACCAAGCAAGGGAUACAUAGCCUAAGAUACUCAAUAACCCACUUGAGGUUUUCUAUUUUCUUCUGGGUGAUGAAUAAUAGAGGCCAGGAAGUUCAUAAGGGAGGGUCAUUCCUAACUGGUGAAACAAUUAAUCUAGUGGAUUUCAGAUUCAAGGGGAAAAUCUCUUUCAAGAAACUAAAGAACUGCCAUUCUUGUCAAACUCCAACCAAAUGCAAAGGCCCUGCUUUAGAUAUUUAUUAUACAUCUAUAUUUGCACAAGCUAGGCAUGAGUAGGCAGGACUUGACUGCAGUAGAUGGCCAAAAUUUGAAUGACUGAAGUCCAAUAAAAUAGCAUGAGGUUUUCCCACACAGCAUUGCACAAGUACUAGACUCUGAGUUGAAUACACUAUGAGCACAAGGAAUGUUCAUAUACCAUCCAUGAAGAAGAGAACUGAAUUGCCUGAUCUCAGGCCUGCACUUUAGUUUCCCCUUAAAACGCAUUAGCUCGAACAAAAUGAUCAGAACUUUAGCUUCACAAACUUGAAACUGCUAGCUAGUUUCUUGCAAAUCUUUGAGAGUUCAAAGUUUAUAUUUCAACAACAAAUGGAAGUUGAUGAUCCUAAUAGCUAAGCACUGAUUGUGAUAAUCUGGAUCAAGAUUCCUUUUCAUUUAGAUAUCCACUUGAAUUUUUUUAAUUUUCUUUUGGGUGAUGAAUAAUAGAGGCCAGGAUGUUCAAUAUGGCUUCACUCCUUACUGAUGAAACAUAUAAAUUUAAACUGGUGCUCUUCAGAUUCAUGGGGAAAAUCCCUUUCAAGAAAAUAAAGCACUGGUAUUCUUGUCCAGUUGCAACCAAAAUGCAAAGGCCCUGCAUUAGACAUUUAUUAUAUCAUCUGUGUACACAAGCUAGGCAUGAGUAGGCAGAUGGCCAAAAUUUGAACGAGGUAACUUCAAUGGUGCCAUUAUCUUUUAGUUUAUUCCACCCGGAUUUCUUUAAUUUUCAAAUAGGAUACUUCAUAAUGAAAUACAAGACUUCUGGAAAAGCUUUCUUCACAUUAGCCCCUAAAAUGGUUGCAAUUGAAAGAAAGCCUCCCAACUAGAAUUCACACUUGGAAUCCAUACUGACACAUUAAUAGAGCCAUUGAUGCUACGACUGUAAACAAAGGAAAGGUUGACUGUGUUUUAAGGCCUCUUUUGCUAGUUGGUGUGCAAAAAAGAGAUUGUAUGAGAAAAUUAAAUAAAUAAACCGAGAUAUAUAGAAUCAAAUCCGAACACUCAGAUUUGUAUUUAAAGUAUUCCUGAUUUCAAAAAAAAUAUUAAAUAAGACAAGCGUGUCACCUGAUAUGUUUGUCUCAUCGAUGAGAUACGUAAUGUCUAAAAUAUGACAUGUAAUUUUACAUUAAUACACGCGUAUUAUUAGAUUUAAUGAUUUAACCAACAGACAAGCUUAACUGUCCAACUUCCAAAGUAAAAAGCAUUUUCCCAAUUUAAAGAGAAACCCUAAUAAAAAGAGAUCACUCAUUCCGUCAUAGCAAUCAGUCGGCACGUUGUUGGCGCCAAUCAGCCAGCUAAGCUACACAAAAGAUCUUUGAUGAUACCUAAUUUUCAUCACUCCCGAGAGAUAUGACACUGUUAACAUAUCAGUGUGUGUAGCUCAAUUAUUUGAGGCCACUAAACUCUCCCAUACCAAGUGCCACAUUUUCUUAACAAAUAAGCCAAAUACCACAUUUGAACAAACAAAAAAAAAAGCCAAAACUAAUAUCUUUCUGCGCCAGAAGAAGCUGGAGCUUGAAUUAUACAAUUAAGAUUGAAAAUGAAAAUGCUACAAUGUAGAGGCAAAUUUGCCCUAAAAAUAUAUACAGUGAUGAAUAUGACCAAUCUGUAGCCUGGAAUGAAUAAACUUUUCACAUAUCCCAAAUCCCAAUCCAAAAAAAUCUAAUAAAACAAAAGAAAGAAACAAAAUUGUGAUCUUUUUGUAUUAGCUGUAAAAUCCAGCUUUUUUUUUCUAAUCAUCCAACACCCAAGCCCGGCUGCGCCGCUGCACGUACCGCCCGAACACCGAGUUUGAGUGGCUCCGACUCCGACUAAAUGCCUCCGACCCGGUUUCUGACCCGGUCCUCGAAGACGAAUUUGACCUAAACCUCCCAAAGAACGACGCGAAAUUACGAAAAGCCCUCCCAAUCCCGCGGCUCUCUCUUCCUCUAUUUCUCGAUGCCCAUAAUACCCUUCUCGGCGCCCCGCUUCCGUUGAACCCUCCGUCCAUUUCCGUGUACACAACCGGCAAUUCACGCUCCCCGGGUCUUCUCGCGCCCGAGAACCGACCCACGGCGAACCCGCCUCCGGGUAAUCUCCAGAUGGUUAACCCGGUUGCCUCCUCGUCGUGACCCGGCUCCGAGUUCCGGUCAACGGGCAGCUCGUGGCGGCAGACCGGGCACGAGUUUCGCAUCGAGAGCCACGGCAGGAUGCAGUCGGAAUGGUAUAUGUGGCUGCAAGGCAUUUCUCGGGCCUCCGACCCGAAUUCGAAAGCUUCUUUACACACCGCGCAGUGCGACUCCGACCCGACGUGAGACUCGUCGAUUUUAACCACCGGCAUCGACUCCACGGCUGAUUUAGAAGCCGGCGGGUUCUCGGGUCGGCCCAACCCGGUUAUCUCAAUCUGCGCCAGCUGCUCCAGCAGCCGAUCAAACCCCGACCCCAUCAGAAACUCCGACAUGGUCGGCGGCAGCGGCCGGAGCCCCGACCCGGCGGCGUCGUCGUAGUAAAGCUCGAACGAGCUCGACUCGGAGUCGUCGGCCGCGCCACGUAGGACGAUGACCGGAUUGAAAGGCGACCGGUCGCCGGAGCUCCGGCGGACCCGCCGCGACGUCGGGGGCGGGUUCUGAUCGUGAGUAUAGGAAGGCGGGAAGCGGCGGUGGAGGUGAGUCGGGGCCGGCGGCGGGGUGGUGUCUAUCUCUUCGAGGAAGCCGGUGUCGCAGUAAGGGCAGGUGACGGAGGCGUCUUGGAGGAGGAUGCGGACGAAGCGGGUGCAGCGGUGGCACCAAUACGACGUCGUCGGAGACGGCGAAGACAUGGCCAUGGUAGAUCUGAGAGGGGAAGAGUCAGAGAGAGAGAGAGAGAGAGUUGUAGAGAGAAGAAUGAGGAAAUGGGGAAAGUGAAGGAGGGAGGCUUUUAUUGAGACACGCGUGGAAUGUGAAAAGAGGACGAAAUAGGGUUCCUUUGACGCGGCGCGUAAGUACACGCGGAAACGAUUUGGGGAUGGAUUCACAGGGAGGGUUUAGUCCACUAAUGGUAGUAUUAGAGGACAAUUAAGAGCACCCGCGUCAGUAACAUAACUGCUCCACUACUCUGAUUAACUCAUUUUAAUUGGAUUUUUGAGAUCAACGCCGGAGAACCGGCGAGUAAUCGCAUUCUCUCCUUUUAUUCUUUUUACUUGUUUGGAAUGAUCAAGUAAAUCACAUUCGUAUAUGUAAGGUAAUGUACAUAAUUUCUGAAUAUUGUUUUUUCUUAAUUAAGGAAGUAAUUCUAUUAAAAUUAUCACUCAAUCGAGCGAGUUGAAUACAAAUGUAUCGUAACAUAUCCAAAUAACUUGUUGGGAUACAAAUGUAUCGUAACACAUAACACAUCUAAAUAACUUGUUGGAGCGUCAUCAAAAUAAGAAAAAAUUGUGUUAUCAUCAAUUCAAAAUGGCGAUUGCAUACCCUCACGUUGUCAUAUACAAACAGAACAAAAAGUUAACGUAAUACCCACAGUGAUACAUAUGAAUAGGGUCCAUUUAUUCAACAAAUCAAACUUCGCUAUAGGUUAACUUGAAUCCUCUUUUGGUACUACGUCAGAAGAUUCGCUAUGACUACUUGUGUCAACCCAAAACAUAGUUCGUGUCAUACCUUCAGAAUUCCAUACACGAAACGCUAGAGAAUUAGAGUCCAUUAUCCUUGUCUACAAAUGGACACCCAACGUGUUUCAACAAAUCUUGGCUUUUGACAUGUAAUGGGUCACCCAUUGGGCUUUGAAUUUGAUCUAGGCACCCACCCAAACAUUAAAUGUUGCUCAAACCCACUCGUCGUCUGUCGAAAGAGAGGCAGAUUAUAACAAGAGACUCCAGCCACCACUUGUUGAACCUUCUUCGAAGUCCAUCUUUGUAUGUAAGAGCAACUAUCAAUGUCGGUCCACAUCAAAACCCGUCCCAAAUCAUACGGCCAAAUCGUCCUUCUAAGAUUCGCCGCCUUCCUCCACCACUCAAGCGAAUCAAUCAUUGUUGAGUGUCAAUUCCGACCGUCGACGAUUCCUCCCUGUCCUCGAUUCCACAUACCUCGACACACCCCGGCGCGCAUAACCUUACGUUUCAGUCAUCGGAACGAAGCCUAACAUUGGAGGUCGGCGAUUUUCUCCUCAAGGUCAUUAGGUAGUCACUAGAAUUAAUGAAAUCAUAGUGACUGCCUAAGAAAAUUACAAAUCCAUUAUUUGUAGUAUAGAUUAGCGAUGUAAUUGGGUAAAGUAAUUUCCCAGAAAGGAAAGGGAUGACAAAGUAGUAUAAUGACUAUAAUCAGUAGCGCAGCGCGUGUGUUGCGGGAGUGGGCAAAGCAUUUAAAAUAAAUCGGCAUGUGAUUAAAUGAUAACAAAAUACGGUAAAACUACGAUAAGUUACUAAGUUAGAAGCUGAUCGCGCGUGAGGAGCGUGGGUGUGAGACGUUGACUGGGAGCGAGGUCGGACGCCGAGUUUGAAAAUUCAAAUAGUCGCCGGUUUGGAGCAAACAAGAAGAAGAAGGAGGAGCAAGGAAGAUUCCUGAACGAGGCAGAAAACAAAUUUUAAAGGUGCGUCGCGUGCGCUCGUCUCUACGGACAAUAUUACAAAUAUGGGCUAUGUCUGAUUGGGCCCUACUUGAUUGCAAUUAUGUAGUCAAAUCCAACUGUACUGUGUUGCUGGAUUCAUUUAAUUCAGUGUAAAUAAUGGUUUUUCAUUAACAAAAAUGAAAAUUAGACAUAUGUCAUUAAGGUUUUCUCGAUUAGUUUUCUAAGUAUUUCUUAAAUGAGAUUAGUAGAUGUCUCUUAAUCAUCAGUCAGCUGACGCCAGAAAAAUAUGGGACGGGUGGUAAUAGGAUUAGAAAAUUUAUAGUAGGAAUUUUAAAUCAGUAUUUUAAUUAUUUUUAAAACAAUUUAUGUGUUAUUUAGUGUCUCAUGGUUCAAUUUAUAUAAUUUAAAAGAGAUAUAUGUUUGUUAAUUUACUUGUUUGUUUGUGAAAGUGUUCACAUUAGAAAUUUAAUUUAAUGAUCCAUGAUUUAUGUCUUAAAAUGUCGUGUAGGUCAAAUUGGCGACUGAUCAACUUGUUCAUGACAUGAAUCUUAUGUUGCUUCACUAUGGAGUUGCAUGCUCUUCUCAUAGCAUGUUCCAUUUUGAAGGAUGAAAGCGGUGGAAAAGCUCUUAUUCAUCCAAGCAAAAGAUCGGUCUUGCAUUCAUCUAAUGUCAAAAUUAAGCAAGUCGAUAUUCAUCCAAUGUGACAAUCGAGCAGGAAUAAUGAGGUAUUCGGUAUUUGAUAUUCAAUAACGUUAACAAAUUACAACAAUUACACAUCAUCAACCUCUAAAAAUAAAACAUACCGUUAAUCCUUAUUUGCUUUUAUAUUUUACAUCACAUUAUUCACUUUUAAGCGGCUAUUGUAAACUUCUCGAAAAGUGAAUAUGAUGGGAACCAUGUUCUCUUCCAACCAUAGUACGCUCCUGUUGUUCUAUCUCCGUUCAUAUUGUCCUUACAAAAGUAAAUAAAAUGUGUUCUUUAGUGCAAAAUGCAAGCAUAUGCUUGGUGACACAUCAAUCAGGAGAAAUAAUUUGGCACCAUGUUUGUGUCUCUUUCUUGGCUUCCCGGAGUUCCCUCCACAACAAUCAUGGUGCAUAUUUUGCUUUCAGUUGCAUGCGUGAAAAGACUAGUAUACAUUUCAACAUCCUCUAAAUAUGCAUAAUGAUAGAGUGGGUAUCUUAUCACAUUCUACUUUCUGGCAAAUUCGUUAGGUUAAACUUGAGCACCAGAAUGCCAUACAACCCACGGAACCACGAUCCCAUCCAUGAUCCAUCUCUACUGUGGAAGACUCAACUCAAAGGAAGCAUCAAGGCCUUAAGGAGUUGAGGACUUGAGGGUGUAGUUUAAGUGUUUAACUAAUGACAUAUCCUAUCAAAAAAAUAAACUACAAGAAAUGACACUAAUGGAGAGAAAGAGUUGCAUCAAUCAUUUUUAUUAAUUUUUUUUUUUUAGUAUUACAACAUAAAUAAAAGAGAACCUAACUCUUAUCUGGAUCCAGCGUUUGUUUAUGUUUUUUUUUUCUCUCUCUCUCUCAAGUCUCAAUAAUGUAAAACCUUAAAACAAUAGGCUAACGCUCACAUUCAUUUUCAACCUGUCUAUAAAAAUACAGACUACAAAAGCACUUUCUUAGCUAAAAUAUACACCGCCUAAUUACAUUUCCUACGAUACAAUUCAAAGUUUGAUCUAAAAGUUUAAGAAUCUGCCUACGAUUGCAAAGUAUGCUGAGAGAUGAUACUAAAAAAUGUAUUCAACAAAGGUGCCAUGUCUUAUCUUGUGCGUCUACUAAAUAAAGUUGCAUUAGCAAAAAGAUCAAGAGAUGAUGUGGUUUCUUAGACCUUUCCCUGGUGCCAUUUCUUCUUUUCGUUACAUGGGAUUAUGCUUAUUUGAAUGUCAUCUUUCUUUCAUCACUUUUCCAAGAAAAUGAGACAGAAUUGCUUUCUCAAACGUAAUAUUAGGGAAUUGCUUUUCAUUUGUGUUAGUGUUAGAGACAGAAAGCUCUUUCCAUGAUCUCUGCUACUGUUGCUUAGACCAGCCUAUCACCAUCAAAGUGGUUCUGAGAUCACGAAUCCAACCUCGGUUGUUUUGGAAAAGGAUACAAGGACCUAGUCCAUGCCUCAGUUUUCUAUGAUCAAUCGAUGGAUCAGUUUGAAUCAAACUUUGAGAACAUAAUUUUGAUACAGAUGAGGUUUUUUUAUUUUUAAUAUUUUUUUUUAUAUUGCAGUUCAAUAAAUUAGAACUCGUCAACUCUUGGAUUUGGAUUUGCAGUUCAAUAAGAAUCAUAGUUGACAGCAUCCUUUCAUGCGUCUCGAUCCAUCGGAUGGUAUAGUACUAGUAAUUUAAACUAUAUAUUCAACAAUUUUUUCUUUUUUGUUAUAACGGAGAAGACCAACCAUUUGACCACUUAAGCUAAUCCUGAAUUCAGGGUUACUGGGUUACGAACAUUAAUUCAAGUCUGUUGAAAGCUUCAUGAUCUUUUUCAAACUUCUGAUUUUGAUGUUGCACUUCUGCACGUACGCCCAUUCAUUGUUUUCAAUCCUUGCCUUAGAGUUGGUCAUGCUCGCUCAUCUCUACUUUUUUCUUUUUGCUCAACACAUCUUGCUAAUGAUUCUAUGCAUAGAGAUUCUACGAGUAAAAACACAUUCAAUCAACCUUCAUAGUUCUUAAAAAUCCAUCAAGAACUUGCUGCAUGUAGACCUCCAGAUGGUAUUCAGUUUUACUUCCCAGUUCGAAUGGGUCAUCAACAAUCCGAUAUGGAAAAUGCUUGAGACACCAAAUAUUUAUAUAAAAAUUGGAUACCGAAUGACGUGGUGACCGCCAUGUCAACAUUUGACAUUGAAAAAAUAUUGAUGAAGUGGAAUGAUUAAUAAUUUGUAUUACAUUCGUUACGACGGAAAAUUAAAAAUUAAAACCAGUGUCUUCACCAUUCACUUAUGGUUUCCUCCCCUGUCACCAUAUCAGUGCUACGAAAGAAUUCAAUCUAAAGUUCUCUCCUAAUCGAUGAAACAUCAAAAAAGACACCCGAGGAGAUAGAAAGCAAAGAUGAAGAGAGGACUAGACCUUAGAAAAUCCUAGAUUGGACAAUUGCCUAGGGUUAGGUGAAGGAGGUCAACCAUGUUGAAUGAGCAUGUUUGUAUGUAUAGGAAGAUUGUUAAAGGAGAUCAACCAUAGAAACACCAGUUCGAUCACCAUGAUUUCCCAAAUUACCAAAACCCAUCAAGCUGCAAAUCAUUGUUCACAGAUAAUAAAAUAUCUCUCAAAUGCUCAAUUGAAGUCCUCGAAAGUGUUGUUAUUGACAACUAAUCUCAUGAAAUUUGAUGUUUGUAGAUGAUUCCAUGGUGGCAUGGCAGUUUGAGUUUCUUUAAUAUCUCCAUUUUAUGAGAUUAGGGUUCCAGAUCGAUUUUUAAAAGGGAAGGAACAAAUUAAAGGAAUUUCAAUUUUUAAUUGUUUUAUUAAGCUAAUAAGAAAAACCAUGUCCCCAAAUAUCAAAACAAAAAUGUUGAUGUGGCAAUGGCCACAUCAUUUUGUAUUCAUUUUGGUAAAAAAUUUGGUGUAUGUGGCACUACUCAUCCGAUAUAAACCUUGGAGACAUGUGAAAAAAAAAAAGUUUUCCAACUUUUACAAAGAAAAACUAAAAACAUCAAUUCGACGUUUUAACUUUUUCAGUAUCUUAUGAUAUAUGAAAAAUAUUUUUCACACUCAAUUGCCGAAUACAUUUUUAAAAUUACAAAAUUACUAUCUCAUUUUCUCUUUUUUAUUUUAAAAAUUAUUUCUCAAAAUCGCUUUCAAAAGCGUUAGCUUUGUUUUUCAGAAAAAAAAAAACGAAAAAAAAAAUACCUGGAAGUUCUUUAAAAUAGUUUGGGCCGCUGUCAUCUGAAAACAUUGCCCAAAACGUUGUCCAGGGCCCAACUUAGACGCUUGAAAAUUUAGGGUUUCUGGAGUCACCACCCCACAUUUCCUAUUAACUACAGAGGCAGCAGAACAGAACAGAACAGAAGUGAGCAGAGAGAGAGAGAGACGGUAAUGUAAAUUAAGUGAUGCACACGUUGGGCCAUUCAAUUCAAACUGGAACAUAUCUAGACGAAGAAGGCAAAGACACUGCCUCUCUUAGAUCCUCUUGUUCUAAACAUAGCAAUGGCUUUACAUCCCUCCUCAAUCACCCAGUUGCUAUUUGCUGACACAAUGACCUUUCCUAUCGACGAGGGUUUUUGCUUCAUUUGGUGAUCCAAUUCCAAACCAAUUAAAUUGCUUACUUCAGGACCCUGUCAUCCUAUCCAGGCCAUGCUGUUCUGUUUUGGGUUCUAUUGGCCUAAACUGCCACUUCCACCAAUACCAUUUCUGGGGCUAGCUGUUUCUCUAUUUCUCUGCAAGAUAGGGACACACUACUGUAACUUUCUUUUUAUCAUUUUACUUUUAGGUAUAUGUAUGACAGUUUCACCGGCUUGCAUACGAUUUUCACCCCUAAAUGUUUGCGUAACUAGUGCAUGAGUAUAUGUUGAUGUUACUGUUAGCUAAAUGACUGUGUCCUAGCUGUGUCCUAUUUCAGAUUUUCAUUAGAGUGUCGACCACCGUAUUUUUUGUUUCACGACUAAUAUGUCUUUAAUUAAAUAGAUAAGAUAAAGUAACAAAAAGAUGUUCAACUAGCUUCGGAUUUGUGAUCAACACCUGAGCAAUGUUAUUGAUGAUAAGACUUGUAUCAAUGAGAAAAUGAAUAACCAUGUUAAAUAUAUGUUACUAGACAGCCAUACGACAAGUACAAGCAUGUUGGGUUACCCGUUACAUUAACUAGGGUUUUGCACUACAAAGUCUUAUUGUGAAACCACCGUGUUUAUAUAGAUAUUAUAUAUAGAAUUAUAAAAUCGUUGACAAGUUUCGACAAAUGACAAAUCGAUAUAAAAUUUUGAUGAUAUAGAGGAAAACAUGUAAUCAUUACACAUCUUAAGGAAUAAUGCUCAAAUAUGUAUAAUUACUUGUAAAUCAACAAUAUCAAGUUAGGUUUAUAUCUAUUUGCACCAAAAUGAGUUUAUACUUUAUCUUUAGGUCCAUUCAGCAUAAACAUUACAAGUUAAGUUUUUUUUUUUUUUUUUUUGUUAGAAAGAACAUUACAAGUUAUUUCGAGCUUCUGUUUUUGUUAAAUAUUUCGAGCCAUUUCCACUUACAAAUAACAAUAUCAUUGAAAUUUGUAUGAAGUAAAAAAAAAAUUACUAUCAAAAGCAAAACAUAUAUUGGAGAGUAAACCCAUGAAAUGCCCAGAGUCCAUACCCUCCCAUAUGGUCCUCCUAUACCUCAAAGUCCUAGUUGAUAAACUUGGUAAGUGUGAUCCUUAUUCCUUAGCUAGAUAACAAAGCACAAUCAAUGACAGGUGACACACCCACCUACUUCCAUACCCAUCACAACAAAUAUCUGUGGAAUUUAUUUUGUUUGGUCAACAAUGCCAUGCAGCAUAGGAAAAAAGAGCCAGGUACCAUAGUAAAAUUUUCCAACCUUCGUAGCAAAAUGACUCAAUUCAUUACCCAUUUAAUUACCUAAUUAAACACAAUAAACCAAAAAAUGGUUAAUGUCACCCUAAAAACUUACCCAUUUCACAAUAAUUCCACAUUAUUGCUCAUAAAUAUUCUAGCUCUUUUCCUGUCAGUUUUUUGCACAAGAAUUUAUUGUUUAUAGUUAAAAGUGGGGUAAAUUUGAAAAAAAAUCUUGAACCCUUUGACUAAUUAUUUAUUUCAUAACAACUUAUUACUUACAUAUGAUUUCGAUUAAGAUAUGGCAAAGAUCAAGAUUAACUAAAACCAAAACCGUAAAAAAAAAAAAACUACAAUUACAAUCCUAUAUUGAAGAAUUUCUCAAAAAAAGUCACAAUCUUCACCUCAACCAAAACAUAAAAAAAAUUCUCAAUUACCGCUAUAGUAGUAUAUAAAAGAAUUACUCAAACAAAGUCCGCUAUCGUAUUAUAGAGAAGAAUUUAUCAAACAAAGUCCAAAAACAUGUACAUGAAUUGAACCAAAUAGAUCUGAGUUAGAUUUUGCACCAUAAAAAGUAAAAAGGAAGAGAAAAAACACAAAAAGAAACAAAGAUUUUUACAAUAAGUUUCUACUGCCCAGUAGCUCAGUUGUCCUUGCCCUGUUUUCACUGGCUUCUAAAUUUAGGUUUAUACUGAGGCAGCGAAUCUUUAGAGGUGACGUGUCAGUCAGAGAUUCUUCUAUAGGAAGACGGAAAAAAACUAAAAGAAACAUCAUUUUCAUUAAAAAAAUAGAAUUUAUAAAUUAAUUAAAUUAAAUUAUUUUUGGACUUUUAUACAAAUUUGGAUAAAAACACAACAAAAGCCGUUAUCACCUGGUCAAUUAAUCCCCUAUUUCCCAGAGCUUAAUCAGAAUUUAAAAAAAAAAAAUUAAAAAUCAAAAAAGGAUUUUGGAAAAUAUAUAUUUAUUUAUUACUCUCUCUUUUAUUUGCUUUCUCUCUAACUAUCUCACAGUGUAUUUAAUCGGCUCCUUGAACUGGAACAAAACCCUAACAAGGGUUCUUGUAAGAAGAAAUCGCCGCCGUAUUGAUCUCCCGCCGUCGGUUUUCUCUUUAUUUCUAUCUGACUAUCUGUUUUUCAUAUUUGACGACACUGCUCUCUUUCUCUCUAAGAGCUCAAGGUCCCCUGUUUGUUUCUGUUUACUAUUUCCUCACAUCACUUUCUUCACAGUCAAUCCGCUUGUGUUUUCUGCUCUUGUUUUUGCCGUUAUGGGAAUUUAUGGGAUUGAAUUCUGGGCAAGGUAGUUUUGUUUACGAGCUCUGAUUGUUGUUUUGGGCUGAUCGUUUUUGGGUCGGUUGAUUUUGAGGGAGUAUGGAGUAGGUUGUGGAAAAUUUUGAGUCUUGAUCAGGUUAAAGGUUUAAGCUUUGAGCUUGUAAAUAAGCGGUGGGGCUAGGUUUUGGGGAUUUCAAGGGGUUUAUGGUUUGAUUACUGCGUAGUAGUUGGUAAUGAUUAGUUUAGGGUAGUGGCUCUUGAGGAUGUUGUCUGAAUUGGGGAGAAGACCAAUGCUUGGAGGUAAUGAGGGUUCGUUUGGGGAUGAAUUUGAGAAGGAGAUUAGUAUGUUGCUGAGGGACCAGCGUCGGCAGGAGGCUGAUGAUCGUGAGAGUGAUUUGAAUAUCUAUAGGAGUGGGUCAGCGCCUCCGACUGUGGAGGGUUCUUUGAAUGCUGUGGGAGGGUUGUUUGCUGGGGGUGGUGGUGGAGGAGGCGGUGUGGGCGGUGGUGUUGCUGGCUCUUUCCUAUCGGAGUUUCCUGGAGCUAAAAAUGGAAAUGGGUUCUCGUCGGAGGAGGAGAUGAGGUCUGAUCCAGCUUAUCUGAAAUACUAUUACUCGAAUGUGAACAUGAAUCCUAGGCUUCCACCUCCAUUGUUGUCAAAGGAGGAUUGGAGGUGUGCGCAGAGGAUGAAAGGAGGGAGUUCAGUUUUGGGUGGGAUUGGGGACAGGAGGAAAGUGAACAGGGCUGAUGAUGCUAGUGGGAGAGCCAUGUAUUCGAUGCCACCCGGUUUUAACUCGAGGAAACAAGAGAGUGAUGUGGAGCCGGAUAAAGUACGUGGCUCAGCAGAGUGGGGUAAUGAUGGGCUAAUUGGUCUGCCUGGUUUAGGACUUGGUAACAAACAAAAAAGCCUUGCUGAAAUCUUUCAGGUGAUUGUCUUCUGCAAUUGUUAUUGAUGUUUGCUAUAUAGUACAUGUGUUACUGAAGCCAUGCAUUCAUAUUUGUAGUGUGUGAUCGUAUUUUUUGAGAAUGGUUUUGCAAGACUUUAUGUUUCUUGAUUUGCCGUUUUGACGUUUAUUAUUGUUGUGGUUGAUCUUUGAUAUUUAGAACAUGUGUUACUGAAGCAUUUCUCUUUUUUCUUUCUUCCUCUAUACUUGCAUUUGAUAAUGUGUUUAGUAUAACUUUUUUUUUAUUCUUAGAAUUCAUGUGACUUUAUUGCUUCUGUGUUGUGCUUGAUGUUCAUACUUAGUACAUGUGUUACCAAAUCUUCUUUGUUAGCGUAUGCAUGCUUUUGUUGAUAACUUUUGAGCAACACUUUUGUAAAUGUUCCUUGAAUUGCUGGUUCUGACAUUUAUUUCCCAUUGAUCUCUAAGAUGAUAUAAUGUAUAAUUUAGGUGAACAUAGAGUUAUGGGGUUCAAAUUAUUGCUCUGUAUUCAAAAUGGAAAUGUUUUCCUGGUCUUACCAGGACCAAAACGUUCUACUGAAUCUUGUCCUUAACCUUAUAGUUAUAUGAGAAAGUGGAUAUCUAGGAGGUUUACUGAGAAGGGAAAUUCUGUGACUAUGUUGAGACCUGGUGAAUAAAAUUGAAAGCCUUUAGAACAUAAAGAACUUUCUUUUUUAUGGCUGCAAGUUAACCAAGAUCACUCUCUUCAUGAUUGCAUCUUGGUUAUGGCUGUGUAAGUUGUACUCGUACUCUGGUCUAUCUCAUACAAUGCAACUAUCCCUUAUUCAUCUGCAUCUUUUUCAGCUACAUUCUCAAGGUUGUCAGUCUACACAUUGUUUGACCUAAAUAAUGUCCCACAGAGCAUAGUAGUAUGACUACUUCAAAUAAAAUUUUGCACAACCCUAUUUUCGCUAGGCCCUUGCUUCUUGAAUCUAAUUUAGAUGAGUGAACUUGUUGAGUCUUUGGUUUGAUUUAAGUACAACAUGGUAUUUUUUGCAACCUCCACACAAGAGUAGUAAACUACAAUCUAGCAAUGCCCAGGGGAAGUCCUUGUGCAAUUGCCUUUAAAUUAUUAAUUAGUACAUGACCUCUACUGUGCAUUAGAUUUUAGGAGCGUUUUCCAAAUCUUUGAUAUUUAUCUUACUAUCCUUAUUUUAGGAGUCUUUUCCUGGGAAAUGUUGACACACUGAUGUACUUUUCCAGCUUUGUGUUCUUGUGCAGUUCUUUGUUGUUGCCUGUUGAUUUUACUUAUGAUCCUCACUAUUGACCUGUUGUGCUGAUGCAUUUUUUCCCCUUUUAUUUUAUCCUGGAUUUAUCUCUGUACUCUUAUACUGCUGAUGCAAAGUUUGGUUGUGCAGGAUGACAUGGGGCGUACAACUCCUGUUCCUGGGCUUCCUUCUCGUCCCGCUAGUCGUAAUGCAUUUGAUGAAAAUGUGGAGGCACUUGGUUCUGCUGAAGCUGACCUGACUCAUUUGCGCCGUGACUUGAUGACAUCUGAUGCUCUACGAUCUGGUGCAAAUGGACAGGGUUCUGCAGCCCAAAGCAUGGGCCCACCUUCUUCAUAUUCCUAUGCUGCAGCUUUAGGUGCUUCCUUGUCAAGAAGCACGACCCCUGAUCCUCAGGUUAUUGCUAGGGCUCCGAGCCCUUGUCUUACACCUAUUGGAGGAGGAAGAGUUAGUGCUUCAGAAAAAAGAGGCAUUUCUAGUCCAAGCUCCUUUAAUGCUGUCUCAUCUGGCAUUAAUGAGUCCGGAGACAUAGUAGCUGCCUUAUCCACCAUGAACUUGUCUUCAAAUGGUGUGAUAGAUGAUGAGCCCCAUUUGCCAUCACAGGUUAAACAGGAUGUUAUUGAUCACCAGAAUUAUCUCUUUGGCCUGCAAGGUGCUGAGAGUCAUGCCAAGCAACUUGCUUACUUAAAGAAGUCUGAAUCUGCGCAUAUACAUAUGCCUUCUCCACAGUCAGCAAAAGGUUCGUACUUGGAUUUGGGUAAGAGCAAUGGGGUUGGCUCAGAUCAGAACAUCGCAUCCUCUGACAGGCAAGUUGAGCUGCAAAAAUCUGCUGUUCCUUCUGUUAACUUGUACAAAGGAUCAUCUGCAUCGAAUCUUAAUGGUGGAGGUGGAUUGCAUAAUCAGUAUCAGCAAGUGGAUAAUGCAAACUCAUCAUUUUCUAACUAUGGUUUAAGUGGCUACUCUAUGAAUCCAGCAUUGGCAUCCAUGGUGGCUAGUCAACUUGGUACUGGCAAUCUGCCACCUUUGUUUGAAAAUGUUGCUGCAGCAUCAGCUAUGAUACCUCCUGGAAUGGAUUCAAGAGUUCUUGGAGGAGGUUUGGCCUCUGGACCAAACUUAGCAGCUGCUGCAUCUGAUUCACAUAACCUUGGUAGAUUAGGGAGUCCGAUAGCUGGGAACGGUCUCCAGGCGCCUUAUGUUGAUCCUAUGUAUCUUCAAUACUUGAGGACAUCUGAGUAUGCUGCAGCACAGCUUGCUGCUCUGAAUGAUCCCUCUGUGGAUAGGAACUACUUAGGUAAUUCAUACAUGAAUAUACUUGAACUUCAAAAGGCAUAUCUUGGAGCCUUGCUGUCACCUCAGAAGUCACAGUAUGGAGUUGGUGCUCCCUUGGGGGGCAAGAGUGGUGGUUCAAAUCAUCACGGUUACUACGGAAAUCAUGCCUUUGGCAUGUCUUAUCCUGGAAGUCCCAUGGCAAGUCCUGUUAUUCCCAACUCUCCAGUUGGCCCUGGUAGUCCAAUGAGGCACAAUGAUCUUAAUAUGUGUUAUCCUUCUGGGAUGAGGAAUUUGAAUUUGGGUGGGAGUGUCAUGGGACCAUGGCAUCUGGAUGCUGGAUGUAACUUAGAUGAAAGCUUUGCAUCUUCACUCUUAGAAGAGUUUAAGAGCAAUAAAGCCAAGUCCUUCGAACUUUCAGAAAUCGGUGGACAUGUUGUGGAAUUCAGGUAUGAACUACCGAUUAGUUUUCUUACAAUGCCAGUUUUAUGGUUUGAUAGAUUUUUGGUUGUAAUAAUUAUGCAUUUUGGUGAGCAGUGCGGAUCAAUAUGGGAGUCGUUUUAUUCAACAAAAACUUGAGACAGCCACUACGGAAGAGAAAAACAUGGUUUACCAGGAAAUCAUGCCUCAAGCUCUCGCUCUAAUGACCGAUGUAUUUGGUAAUUAUGUGAUUCAGAAGGUAAAUCUUUUUCGUGCUUCCAAUCAUACUUUUUGUUUGUUUUACUUACUAGGUACAUUACGUGUAACAUUUGUUCUCUUUGUAUUCAGUUUUUUGAGCACGGGCUUCCGUCUCAGAGAAGGGAGUUGGCCAACAAGCUUUUUGGUCAUGUGCUGACACUUAGCCUCCAAAUGUAUGGUUGCCGGGUGAUACAGAAGGUACAGCUAAUUUGUUGUCGUUGCUACGUUGUCGCCUGCAUUUCCUUAAUUUGGAUAUCUAUUCCUAUUCUAGCAUUGAACCAAUAACUAUUAAGUCAUUACAAUUAGCUUUCACACUCUUUGUCCUUUUCUCUAGGUUUCUAAAAGGUAGAAUAGUCUUUAUCUCAUUGGAACCUGUAUUUAAUUUUGGAAAUGAUGGUGUACUGAGGAAUUUGCUCAAGUCAUCAUUAAUUGUGGUUCUGAUGUGAAUGAUACUGUUUGUUCAAUCUAGCUUCCGCUAAUGACUAAAAUAAAUAUAGUUACUGCAGUCUCUCACAUGCAUGAGAAAAUGGUUAUUGCAGUGAGAGAAAAGUGAGAUAAAGUGGGUCAGUUAGUUUGUUAUUAUUUUGUUAUUGUCACAAUAUCCUUGAUAAUGAAAUUGAUUUCCAAAAUAUUUGAUUUCUCAAGGUCAUUUUGUCAAAAAAAAUUGUUCUGGUUGAUGUGUGUCUUCUCUCUGUUUGUUUUGUGACGAAAGCUGUCUUCUCUUAAAUAAUAGUACAAGCACAAUAAUUGCUACAGUAGAAGUUGUUGAUCUGGACAGUAGAAGUGGUUUUAAAAAAUUUUCAGGCAAUAGAAGUUGUUGAUCUGGACCAAAAGAUCAAAAUGGUUGGAGAACUUGAUGGCCAUGUCAUGCGCUGUGUGCGUGACCAGAAUGGGAACCAUGUGAUUCAGAAGUGUAUUGAAUGUGUCCCUGAAGAGGCCAUUCAUUUUAUAGUCUCAACGUUUUUUGAUCAAGUUGUGACCCUUUCCACCCAUCCAUAUGGGUGUCGUGUAAUACAGGUAGCUAGACUUCUUUCUCUUUUGUUUUUGUGCUUGUUAACUUCUUUUAACAAGCUGAAGAAUGUAUAACAAUUCCCUUAUCUGCAGAGAGUGCUUGAGCACUGCAAUGACCAGAAUACUCAGAGCAAAGUUAUGGAUGAGAUUUUAGGAGCUGUUAGCAUGCUGGCACAGGAUCAGUAUGGCAAUUAUGUUGUUCAGGUUCAUAAUUUUUCUUGAAUAUACUCUUUAUGGACUUUGUUUGGUCACAGUUAUUUAUUUUCAUGAGUUUUGUUUUUGAUUUGUGAUUUAUUGAUUUUCUUUUAAUCAUGGUUCAAAUUUGAUGUCAAAAAGUCAUUCUAAACAUAUUGUAGUCAUGAAGUGUGAUCAUAUGUAUUUUUUAUUGCUUUGGUUUGAGUACCAUAUCUUUGGUUAUCUAACCAACAGAGUCUCAUUACCAUAUAUCAGUCUUGCGCCUGUCAAAAACUAUUUAUCUGUUAGUUUCCCUAUUAGAUGAAGGUCACCUUUUGUUUUGUUUUGUUUUUCACCCCAUUACAGAUAUUUCACUUGCAAUAAUUAUUUGUUUGUUGUUUUCUUUUUGUUGUGAUCUCGAUUAUUUGUUCUUAGUAUGAAAUUGCAACCCUUGCGGCUUGUGAUAAAUGUCAGCAUGUCAUGUGUUGACAUUUGAAGCCUAAAUGAUUUUUCAUUGAAACUUGACUGUUCUCUUCGAACAGCAUGUACUGGAGCAUGGAAAGCCACAUGAGCGUUCUGCUAUUAUAAAGGAAUUAGCUGGGAAGAUAGUCCAAAUGAGUCAACAGAAGUUUGCCUCUAAUGUUGUAGAGAAGUGUUUAGCUUUUGGCGGUCCUGCUGAGCGUGAGUUACUAGUGAAUGAGAUGCUUGGAACUACUGAUGAGAAUGAGCCUCUUCAGGUUUGUCAAACUUCUGUGCUUAUUGUACACUUUUAUGUAUUUAUUAGAGUAAUGAAUUCAUCGUCUCCAAUAAAGGAUAACUAAGGUGUGAAAUAAGUAGUGGGUGAGGUUUUGUGGAAUGUAAUGGAUUUUAGUUUUGUAGAAACUCUCGUUAUGAGAACGCUCAAUUUAGAAUCUUGUGCUUUGUAAUUGGAUGUGUUAAAACACUGAAAUUUGAAAGGUUAUCAUUUUAUGAUUUAGUUUCAUAUACAUCAAGGGAAUGAGUAUACAAUGAAACUCACAAACUCACAAACACAAUUUUUUUCUUCCCUGAAUCUCCCAACCCUAAGCAUGAUCUCAGUUUAAUUUGUUUUUUCUUGUACAGGCAAUGAUGAAAGAUCAGUUUGCAAACUACGUUGUACAGAAAGUGUUGGAAACUUGUGAUGACCAACAACGUGAGCUGAUUCUUUCACGAAUUAAAGUUCACUUGAAUGCAUUGAAGAAAUACACUUACGGGAAGCAUAUCGUUGCUCGUGUAGAAAAACUUGUUGCCGCUGGGGGUACUUAUUCCUUCCUCUUUGCGAUUGAAUUUUUAUAACUGUGCUUUAUAUUUUAUGGAGAACUAUACACCUUUGAAAAUACAGAAGGCGGAUGUGUUAAUGUCAUAUCAGAAAGUGUUCAAAUGUUUUAUGAUUAUAUCUGAACAGUUGACUUGAUGCUUUCAUUCCAUCACCCUUUAUAUCAGAUUACUCUAGGUGAUUUAGUAUCUAGGGCACAAAGGUUAUGGAUUUUUUUUUGGAGUUAGUAAAUCAGGUUCAGGUUAUGGUUUUUUGUUUGGUUGAGUUAGUUUUUGUAAUAUGUUAAUCCUUACGUGGUUAUUUAAUGGAUGCAGAAAGGAGAGUUGCUGCUGCUGCUCAGUCGGCUCCUCACCCUGCUUAGGCAGUGUAGGAAAGAAAGUUGUUUGUACAGCUAACUGAGGCUAGUGUGUGUUUCCCUCUCUCCAUCGUUCGUAUCUUAGGAUCUCUGACUCUACCUAUCUUUUUCAAGACAGGUAGGAGGCAGGUUGGAAAUAAAGUUGUUGCUUUGUACUGGAAAACUGUACAUUGUGUAGUUUAAAAGUUUAUACAUAGAGUCGAAGCUAGCUGAGGUUCAGAUGUUGAAAGUUCGCUCGCACCUGAGGCCCCUGCAAGAGGAGAUAAAUGCACUAUACAAGUUUUUCUAAGGGUGUAAAAAUGAUUAAUGGUGAGUUGGUAGUCGUGACUGUACAAAAAUGUUGCCAUGUGGAGAGCUGUUCAUGAUUAGGCGAGGCCACAGUUUUUUUUUUAUAAUGUAUGGUAAUGACUUGUUUCUUUUUCUUCUAAUUACAUAAGGUACAGUUUCUAUCUGAUCAAGUAUAAUGAUCAAGGUUUAUCCUAUGUAUUUGCUGCUGUUUUUCAAUGCAUCAAUGAUCUUUUUCUUACACAAAACUAAUAUCUACUCCCUUUCAUCUUUGAACCACUUUUACGAGUAUAUCCAAUCUUGGGGCUUAGUUAUAAAAGUUUCCUUUCCGGUGCCUUUACAAUCGAAUUUUUUGUUGAUGUUUUUCCAAAGUGGGAUAACUAUUUGAGGAAAACACAAAAAAAAUUGACUCUUUUAUUUUAAGUUCACUGCAGUGUUUUGCACAUAGCUUCUUUCACUGAAGAUUUUGGGGAUUUGCAAAUAGAACAGUCUUCUGCACUUAUCUAAAUUGAGUUAAAUUUUCAGGUUAUGAUCUUUUCGAUUUUGAUUCCGAUGGAAACCUCUAUGUUGAUGUGAAGAGCUAGAAAGUCCUUUUAGUUCCAAUUUGAGUUUUGGUAAGGCGUGAAAUUUAGUUCAGUCACUUCAGUGUUUGAAAUUUAUAAGCAAGACAAACACCCCCAACCCCCUGCCGCAAGACAGGCACUUGUUCUUCGCCUAAAAGUCCCCCCAACCCUCCUCAUUUCUUCGAGGUCCCUGUCUCAAAAUUAAGGGCUCUAUCGAACUUGACACCAUCUCGAAUGUGUUCGAAUUGAAAACAUGGGAGCAAAAACCUUGGGAUCAACCGUUCAACAUCGCCGGCAUCAGAAAAAUGUCAUCGGCAAUACCAACUUGGUAAUGUUAAAUAUGUUCAGUACUGUUUUGAUAUAUUUCCCAAGUGCGCUUCUUGCAUAACAUUAUUUACAUCCCAAACUGAACAUCAAUCUCUGAGCUUUUAUAAGUUUUAUAGGUAAAAAAAAAAAAAUCUCUGAGCUUUUAUAAGAAAAUCACUGUUUAGGUGAAAUUUUCAAGCCUUUAUAAAAUGAAAACCGAAUUAAAGCGCUGGAAGGUUGAGUAACUACAAGUCUACAAGUUAACUGGCACUGCUGCCAGUGGCUUCAAGGGAAUCUACUAUUAACUCCUGGCUCAGCCACAUUACUUUGAAUUGUUAAGAAAACUUCAUAAUACAAGCUACAAAAAAGUUGAAAUGCUUACAGGAAGCAAGUGCAUACGUUUUAAUCAUCUUCAAACUCUUCAACCUUUUGUCCAAAUCCCUUAGGCCCUGCUCUUGCUCUCAGCCUCCUCUUCUUUCCACCCUUUUUCUCGUUAGCUUCCUCUUCUUUCUCAAUCUUCUCUCUCUCCCUCUUCUGCAAGUAAUCUGUCACACCUAGGUACACAACCUGAAUCCAAAACCCACAAAAUUCUCAAAACCCACCAAAAUAUUACUAAUUUAAGCAUUAUGAAAUUGAGAAGGCAAUUAAUUGUUCUGAGUUUACCCCAAUAGUGAGAAUGGUGAGACCAACAAAUGCAACAAAGAGAAGAACAGAAAUGGUCAUAGAGACACCAUCAUCACUAGUGGUGGCCAUUAUCUGCUGUGUGGUCUCAAUUGGGUUGGCUUCUGAAGCCACAGAUUCAACAGAGCUUGCAUAGGUUCUCCAAACUGGGGUGCUUCUUUGGUUGAUAUUGUCAUGUGGGUUGUGGAAAGUUGAGGUCUUUUUGGUUGAAAAAUUGGUUUGUGAGAGGAAAGGCAAAGGAUUUGGUUUCUGGGUUCUGAGAUAUUGGCAAUGGCUUGGUUUGAGAAUUGGGGGAAAAGUUGAUGGGGAUAGAGAUAUGGAUGUGGUAGCCAUUCCCAUUUGCUACCACUUUGUCUAUCUUCCUCUAGCCUCUGUAAUGAGUGAAGGGGUGAACUCUUGGGUACUACUCUAGUACACCAUUGUAAUGUGGUGCUCUGUACUGUUCUAAUCUCUGUUGGAAUGGUUCUUGAGAGGCCUAGUGCAGGAGGAUUGGGUCACAUUGUUCAUAGGCCCAAGGUUUUUUGGUUUUGUGUUGCUCAAUUGUGGGGUGUUAGAUUCAAUGGGCUGGGCCAUGGACUGUUGUCUUGCCAUUGAGGGUGGGCCUGGCCUAAGCGGUGGAACUCUUUGGACAGAUGGGUCGUUAAAAUGGUACAUGACCAAUCGUUUCAGAUCAAGGCGGCUUAUAAACGAGGAGAUGCUCAUAUUUGAUCGUCAGGAAAUGACUUUCCGUUGUUACCGCAAUUGUGAUUAACUAAGAGCAAAUGCACCCAUUUUAAGUGGGUUGGACCGAUUUUCAAUCCGGGUUAACAUACUAUUCAUCUAAAUCAGUCUUUGGCCGUAGGCUCGACAAUACAACAAUUAGAUUAAUCGAAUGACCAAUUGCUAUGUACAUUGUAGAAAAAAUAUUUUUAUAUUAACAUUUGUAUUGUUUUGGACCAACAUCAUAUGCAAAAUGGUGUGUAUAGACCCCCUGGAUUAAUCCGUGGGUUGAGGAUUACCCCAUGCAUUGGUCGGGUUAAGUGGGCUCCACAUAAGACCCAUGUCUAACCCAGACUAAUUCCUUAAUAGUGGAUGAUGUUUUUCAAUCCCAUCUUCGAUCCAAUCCCCAAAUUGCACCAUUGUUGCAUUUGCUCUAAUGGGGUGUAAAGAUGAUUAUACAAAGUUUCUUUGUUUGACAGAUUUCAUCGGCUGUUGAUCUAAUGAUAUGAACGUCUAUAUCGAUGAAACUAUAAAACAAUUUUUUUUUAUCAGGUUACAACUUAAUGAGUCGAACUCAUAACCUCCCACUUACUAAAGAGAGACUAUGCCGCUAGACCAAAUGAUAUUGGACUUAUAAAACUAAUAGCAAAUUACAUUAAAGUUACUAAUCAAAUUUCAGUUUACAAAUACAUCAAUUACACAUUAUCUUAUACAUUUAAGGACAAAAUUUAACAAAUUAGGACAAAUUAAUAUCCAUAUGCCAACUGUCACUACAAUUUUACCAAAUUACCCUUCAUUACAUAUUCUACUGCUACUGCCCACAACUCCAUGAGAAAUGUGCUACUGCCAAGUAAGAAGGUGCUACUACCGACGAAAAAUGUGCUACUACCAUCUGUCACUUCAUUACAUAUUCUACUGCUACUGCCCACAACCCCAUGAGAAAUGUGCUACUGCUAACAAAAAAUGUGCUAAUGUUGGCACUGUUGUAAUUGUUUUCCGACAACUCUCUGAUGCUGGCGUGCUGCUAUUGCCGACUCUGAUGCUUGAGCGCAACUCUAAUGCUAGAGCGCUGCUACUGCCUUCUGUAAGAUUCAUUUCUGAGCAUGUAUUGUAUUUGAAUUAGUGAGACAUUGAUUUUUUUUACUUUCUAUUUUUUGAAAGUGAAGACAGAAUCUAUGGGUGCUACUGUAUCUGGGUUUUUUGAACAUGUAUUUUUUGAAAGUGAUCGGCUGGUUUCCAUUUUAUGUUUGAUAGCACUGCUACUGACCUAUAGCUAAUGCGACUAUUACAUAUUAAUAGCAUUGCUACUAAGCAACAAAAUUAAUCUAGUACUGUUAUUUUGCUAUAGUUCCCAUUGCAAAGCAACACCCAAACAAGAGUAACCAAACUCCAGCCAACAAUAUCAGCAUAAUGCUUAGCCUCGGUAUCAAAACUAAUUUCAAAUUGCUAAUGAUGCCCAACAUUAUAUGCAAAACAUGGAAUUAAAUUUGCAAGAUAAAAAAUCGAACAAAAUUUUGAGCAAAUUGGGAAAGCAAAGAUUAGGAACCACAAGAAACGAUCUAUAUGGCUCAGAUUCCUCAACUUACAUGUAGCGGCAAAUUUACCCAAUCGAUAAGAACAGUUGCAAUUACCCUAUCAAGUAGAACAGUAGCAUCAAUUCCUUGUAGCCGUCUCCAUCGAUAGCCUCUGCGGCCAACAGCUUUCCCCUUGUACUCCGAAAAAACGAAGUUAGAAACCUCGAGCCGCUCUCCAGGCAGACAACAACGACCUUUUCUACAGCUUCUCCCCACAACACCACGACAUGAGAUCACCGCUCUGCUUCACGAUGUCGGUCUACUCAGUGAACCUAAUCGGUUGAUAGGAGGCGCAAGACUGACCUGAAGCUUGAUCCGAUNNNNNNNNNNNNNNNNNNNNGAGAGAGAGAGAGAAUGACAAGACCCACCCCGAAUUUCACCCUAAAACCCGGAGUAAAUCCUGUGGGGACCACCUCCAAGAAAGAUAUUACCGAAAAUUCGGCAUAACCUCCCUUGAAAAUGGACAACCCUUCUUAAGAAAACCUGCAAACACUUCCAAAAUUUUCAAUCCAACCUUAACUUCUGGAGCCUACGUGCUCCCUAAACACAACCACCACCAACAACAACAACCAACAUUAUCCAAACAUCAAAAUAUAAUUAUCCAAAGAAGAUAACAUAAAUCCUCCGACAAAUAUUCUAAAAUGUCAACAAGCCUUCGCCCACAACCGAAAUAAUAUUAUACAAUAUCCCCAAAGGAAAAUCAGAGCUACUAGACACUAGAGGAAGCAAGAAAAAACACAGGUAGGUUAAACAGGUAACCUACUGGUGAAAAGUGGUGGAAAUGUGGGUGACUAUGCCUCGUCUCCUAUUAGGUCCAACCCGAACUCUGCAGACUGGGUAUUUUAAAAGGAAGGGCCCGGGGGAAAACAUUUAUUAACGUUAGAGUGAGUGGACAAAAAUAAAUUAAUAAAAUAUUUAUGCUUCCCCAUUUUAAUUUCCAAAGAAAAAUAUACUGCAUGCGGCAGCUCAAAAGCGCUCAACUCAUAAACUGGUAAUUUCACGACUAGCUCCGGCUAGUCACCAACUCAAAUAAAAUGGAGUCUCUCAGGCUAAAUUAUAUAUAAUCAUAUAUUCGUAUGUAUUUACACUCGUCAGACUCCUUGUAUGAAUCCUAGAAACAAUUUAGAAAAAUAGAAAUUCAUACAAGACUACAACGCUGGCGUCUAACGCUCACAUUGCACCAUAAUGGUAUUUUUCCUCAUUAUGACCGAAGAGGACGGUGUAUUUAUAUACGUGUGGACUCCCUAUAUGAAAACCUAAAUAAACUAGAAAAGAAAAUAGUUUUCAUAUAGGGCUAUGACGCUAUGACGUUAGUGUCUAACACUCAUGUCACACCAUAAUGACAUUUUACCUCAUUAUGACGGACCAAACACGUAUGGCUAGCUAGCAUUUAUAUAUAUACUAUACUCAUAACAUCCAUAAACAUAUCUACCGAAAAUCUCAUUUUCGGGAUCUCUCCAAAGGAGGAAAAUUGCCAAAUAUCCGAGAAAGAAAUAAAUCUCAGGAAAAGAAAUAAAUGAUCAACAAGAUAAUUCAUUGCAUGCUUUGUAAUUAAAAUAAAGGUCCACUCACAAAUUAGGCCUAAGCCUGACGACGCUCCGAGGCUUCCUCUGCUCGGGCCUCCUCUCGUCCUGUUCCAAAUACAUAAUUAAUUUCCAACUAAAAAUCUAAUAAUUAAACACAAUGGGCAAACUUAAACGUGAGCCUCCCACACACUCAUCAUUGCCCAAGUUCGCCAUUCCUAACUCAAUAUGGCUCAAACUUUACCGAACAUACCGGCAGCCUUAAUUCAACAUUCUACAGAUUAAUGACUUAAAUCCUACGGCCGGAUUCUACAUUAAUUAACCGCCAAAAAUACCAUACUCCGGAAAUUCACAAACCUAUCCAAAACUCAUCCGAAAAUUUCAUAACUCACAUCAAUAUACUCCCCUUAAUAUUCCACAUUUAAAACCCUAAAAAUCUCCCAAGCAGUGGCGGCUCCGCCGGUAGCGUCGGCCGGAGGCCGAUUCCGGUGACCUCCAAUUCUUAUGAAAUUUUGAUAGCAUAAUCCUCUCAUCAUGCUCUACAACUUUUCUAACUAGCACAAACCCAAAAUCCAAGCCUAGCUAUGCCUAUCGAACAAAAACAUAAAAAACGCCCUAGAACUUCCACCUCAAAUUUCUCCUUACCUGAACCGGAGUGAGUCCUUUUAGGGCAAGACAGCUGGGUUGGAGACCUACAAAACCGUAUAUGGCUUGCCCGGAUUGGUGGCCGGAGGAGGGAGUUUCGACGAUGGAACCACCACGGCAGUCGCCGCUUUCGGGGGGAAGAACUCUUUCACGGCAGAGCUAGGGCAGCCCUCACCGGCCUAGAACGGAAGCUGGGUCGGAGGCCAACCGAACGGGACCGGUGUGGCGGCAGCUGGUGGCCGGAAGGCGGCUCACGGACGGCAAGAAAAACCGGCUGCGGGAGGGGCUCGGGUGGAAAACCGAGAGAGAGAGAGAGAGAGAGAGAGAGAGAGAGAGAGAGAGAGAGAGAGAGAGAGAGAGAGAGAGAGAGAGAGAGAGAGAGAGAGAGAGAGAGAGAGAGAGAGNNNNNNNNNNNNNNNNNNNNGAGAGAGAGAGAGAAUCAGAUCAGUGAAGAGAUAGAGAUGGAGUGGCAUAUUGAGGGGAAACGGGGCAUUUUCGUCAAUUCAAAUGUAAAAUUCGGGUCAGGCCUUCUACUAUUUCGUUUUUGGGCUGGCUUAUGUCUUAAUUUGUAUAAAUAUUAUGGUAAGUGAUUUUUUGUAUAUGGAUAUUCGGUCAGUAACUUAAAUGUAAUUUUCUCUAAAACUAAUUGCAUGUUUGCAUUUACUCAAUAAUUUCAAUUAACUUUCAUUCAAAAAGAAAAAUAAACUUGUGCGGGAGGUUGUGCAAUGUGUCCGUUACAAUUUUUUUUUUUUCCAAGAAAAAACUAUCAAACCAAUUCUAUCUAUGUUUUUUGCCCAAUCAAUCCUUUAUAUGAAUGGGACAAGAUGUCAUAACUUAUGAAAGAAAAUUGUACUUUCAUUAAUAUAGAAUUCUGAAAAUGAAAAUGAUGUGAUAAUCACCUAAUUAUUUCCAUGCUAUAGGCCUAAGGACAAUUUGGUGACAUACACAUGUGGUCUGGUAUAUAACACGUCACAUCACCCUCAUAUUUUGGUCAACAUUUUCUCCUCCUCCCAUUCUAAACCGUACGAUCAGACAUCUGUGAUAAUCCUCGGUUAUUAAAGCCCGCACCAAAGAAGCCCAUAAAGUACCCAACCACAACCUCCCAUAUUAAGUCCAGCUGUCCACCAACACCUCUCGUUCCCCAUUGGUCCACCCACUUGUUCUAAGCCCCAACCUUUUUAUUACAAAAAAGUCCCCAUUUCCAAAAGUCGGUACUUUUUUAACAAAACAAAAUUAUUCACUCCCCUGAAUUACCCAAACCGCCCUCCAAAAAGCGUGAUCGCUUUGCUGACAUGGACACUCCCAUCGAAUGACACACCUUUAUUAGAUUCUCACCCCCAUGGGCCUUCCCGUCAUUUCUCCUUGAGAUAAACCACACUCACGAAAGCGGAACUAUAGAGGCGUGUACCCAGUGAGGGAGCGAGUAAGGAUUCGAAUUAAAAGAGUGCGAGUGGGCAAGUGAGAUAUUUAAAAUAUCUGGCUAAGUCCGCCACGUCGGCAAGAGAUAUUUGCACUUUUUCCAGGCUUUUCCAUCACAAAUCGCAAAAAGUAAAAAAAAAAAAAAAAAAAAAAAAAAAAUUCUACCCCCUUUUUCUUCCUUCUUCUCCAAUUUUGUUCUCCGAAUCUCACGAAAUAUCUCUUUGUAUGAAUAUCGAUUUGCUUCAUCUUCUUCUUGUUUUCAGUCUUCGUUUCUUUCCUGAAUUUUCUCUCCAAUCGGAUCUCGAUCCCGACACGGAUCCGAAUCCUUGACCCGAACAAUUUACGGUAAUAAUAAUUUUAAAAAUAAGAAGAUAGAGUCUGAGCUUGGAUGGGUGAGGAGGUGAGGAUGAGCGAGUACGAAGGAGGCGGCAGCGGCGGCGACGGCGACGAGGAGAGAGUUUCCGAGUGGGAGACCGGGCUUCCGUCUGCUGAUGAUCUGACUCCGCUGUCUCAGCCGUUGAUUCCGGUCGAGCUGGCCUCGGCGUUCAGUAUCACGCCGGAGCCGUGCCGGACGUCGGUGGAUGUGAACCGGGCGUCGCAGAAGACGGUGUCGACUCUGCGCGGCGGGGCCCACUCGCAGGCGUAUUCGUCGAACUACAAGUCGUUUGACGAGAACAACGACAACAACAACCGGAGCGACGAGCCGAUGGUGGUGGAGGUGGACGAGACGGAGCUCUACGGCGGCGAGGGAUCCGAUUCGAGGAAAUCGAGGAAGGUGGACAGCCCCGAGGAGGCAGACUCGGCGCUCCGGAUCGAGAAUUCGUCCGGCGGCGGAGGCGGAGGGGGGGACGACCCGUCGGGUAGGGCGGUCAAGCGGCCGAGGCUGGUGUGGACCCCGCAGCUGCACAAGCGGUUCGUAGACGUGGUGGCCCACCUGGGGAUCAAGAACGCGGUUCCCAAGACGAUUAUGCAGCUGAUGAACGUGGAAGGAUUGACUCGAGAGAAUGUGGCCAGCCACUUGCAGAAGUACCGCCUCUACUUGAAGAGGAUGCAGGGUCUGUCCAACGAGGGCCCCUCCUCGUCCGACCCGCUGUUUGCCUCGACUCCGGUGCCGCAGAGUCUACACGAGUCAGGCGGUGGCGGGUCGGGUCACGGAGAAGGGCAUGGGAAUGGACACAUGCCCAUGUCUUACCCGCCGCCGGGAGCUAUGAUGGCUAUACCCAGUUACAUGGGCAUGCCCGGCGGGUACCAUGGGUUCGAGUCGCAUCCUUCGUAUAAUAUGAUGCAGCAACAGUAUGGUGGCAUGGUGUCGUACCAACCACAUGUUGCGCCUAAUGAGAAAUGAAAAUGGACUAGUGUUGCACAUUAAACUCAGGUAUGUCAGUUUUUUAGUAAGCUGUUACUGAUUUCACUGCUCAUAGUUCUAGCUUUUAUUGCUUUUUGGAUUCAGUCUCAUUGAAUUGAAAUUAGACCGUAAGUUUUUUGUAAUGGUCCGUUAGAAUCUAGACUGUACUGUGCAGUUAAGUAUUUACAUAUCAGUAAAUCAUGGCAAUUAUUUGGAGCUUUAAAUUAUGAUUUCCAUUUGAGUCAUUAGGCAUGCCAUGGUAGCUAGGAUCCUGUUUUAGGAAGGCUUAUAGUAGCUUCUCGGUUUUCUUGAGUCCAAGUUUCUUUUGUGGUGUAUAAUGCAGUUUUCUGUUGAUAACUGCUUACGAAUUUCAGGUUAUUUGUGGCAUGUUUUUGUGUAGAUUCAGAAGUUUGAACAAGUUGGCUGAAGCUAACUCUUGGAACUCAACCUGUAAGCUUGCUUGAUUGCUAAACUUGAACCUGACAGGCACGGGAAGGGUUUCUUAGGAAUUAUAUCAGACCUUUUAGAGGCAUAUUCCAAUAUCAUUUUGGGUCUUGUAUGAAUCUGGAAAUGUAACUAAACUUCCCUCUUUAAUCAAAUAUAUCUACCUUCCACUUACAUAACUGGGGAGGUUCAAUCCUAGUCUACAUAGUUGACAGCGAGGCAUCGAGUAAAUUCCUAACCUGUUACUAGUCUACAUAUGUUAUUCUCCAUUGUAUCAAUGAGGUAUUGGACCUUUUUUUUCCUGAAUCAAAGGAAACACUCAAUAAAAGAAGAAUAAAUUUCAGUUGGCUGUCUCUCUAUGCUCUGUUGAAUGUUUUUUAUCACCUUCUACUUUGAUCGUCAUGUUUACACAAUUAUGAACGUUUCUUUAUUAUCAGUAAAUUGGGCAGUUGCUUCAGUCAUUCAGUCAUCCUUUUUGUUCUCCUUUAUCUAUGCUUUUAGGAAAAUGUAAUAAUUCGUGGUGGAACAAAUUGUUCAUGAUUUGUGUACACUAUGCGUCUAUGCCUAGCUAUUGCAAUGCCACAAAUUGUUUUCCUUAUUUAUUUAUUUUUUUUCAAAAGGCCCUGAACAGUGAGUCAGUAGAGAAAUCUUGCUGAUGUUUUCAAGUGAUUUGAACAAUCAUGCUACUAGUUGGCAGUAUUUGUUUUUCCAUAUAGUGUGGCUUGAAUCAAUUUUCUCUUCAUCCGAGAUUGAUACAGGAACUUGCUGUUGAUGUAUUUCUUGCAUCCAGUAUCCUUUAGUGUCUUUGUUUUUACUUUUUAGUGGCAAGAUUUUGCAUUAUUUGCUGUUUAACUAUACAGAAAUUCCUCUAGUUUAUUAUUGGGAUUAGAAAGGAGGUUGAAUCAUGGGGUAUAAUUAGUUUGAUUUGUAAAACAUAAAGUGCUAUGUUAUUUCAUACUGUGUAAUUUAUCAUCUUAUACCAGAGUUCAUGUAAUUUAUUUGCUACUAGCCUAAUCAAUGGAUACCAGGAAGUUUUAGGAUGCUUAAACCCCAAAAAAAAGAGGAAAUAUGAGCAUAUGAUGAUAGGAAAAUUCUACAAUGUGUUAAUAUUGGUGAUGUAUCAACUUUGUCCUAAAGUCGUAAAAUGAGUCCUGAAAAUAGUAAUCUUAGCUCUCAAAGUUGUAACAUGAGUUCUUAAAGUUGCAAAAUUUUCUAGUUACAACAUUAGUCAUCAUAUGUCCUUAAAGUGGUAAAAUGUGUACUUAAAGUGGUAAUUGAGUCUUUAAAGUGAUUUAAAAAAAGUUGUUACAAUUUUGAGGACUUAUAUUACAACUUUGAGGAUUCAAUUACUACUUUAAGGACACAUGAGGACUAAUGUUAUAUUAUUUUUUUUACAACUUUAAGGACUCAUAUUACAAGUUGAGGACAAAGAUGAUGCAUCACAUACAUUAACACACCUUAGCCUUACCCAUGAUGAUAAUGCCCUAAUUAUACUGGCCAUUAACAUAAUUAUACUGGCCAUUAACAGCUACCACUUAGUUUUUUGAAGCCAGAAUUUUGUUGUGGAACUUGGGUUUAAGUACGGAGAAGCUUACCGAAGUACUUCUACAAGAAAGUGUUUCCCAUGAAUUUCUAAGUGAAAUUGCUAAAAUAUGGAAUAUAUGCAUUCUGCUUAACCCUGUUUGUUUGUUUGUUUGUUUUUUUUAAGAAACUUAUCCCUGUUUUAUAUGUAAUAACAUCAUAAUCAUUACUUUGUAAAAACUCUCCUUCAACCGAGUAGAUUUAGUUGAAAUGUUUGGUUCCUUGUUAUGAUUUUUGCCUUGGAUAUGAAAUUGAUAUGAUUGAACUAUUGUGUACAUCACUUGCAGAUGGUUCCACGGUACUAGAGUUGGACUUCAUCGGAAGAGUUGUAGAUGGUGAUAAGUGCUGAAUUUGCUGAUAUCCAAGGUGGCAUAUUAAGCUCCUAACUAUUCAUAGUUUAAGAUAGGCUGCUACUCCUGCUACCCAAGAUUAUAAUUGUUGUACUACUCGACUGGUUGUGAAUGAACUCUAUCUGUUCUUGUUGUAAAUUUGAGGCUGAAUUCUAGUUGAUGAAUAGACACUGAACAAAAAAUUGGGUCAUGUGAUUGGAUUGGUUUCUGAUGAUCAUUAACAUUUUAGCUUCUUGUUAUACCAUAAUAAUUAGAGGCAUUAGCAGUUUGUAUUCUGAAAUCAGUUGCCGUUGAAUGGUCAUUGUUGGUGGAGGAAACUUGAAGGGUCUGAGCUUAUAGUAGGUGGGGUGAAGAUGAUCGAUGGCUCUGAUAUGCUCUCCUAAUUGUUUGGGGAGACACUGAGAACCUUUUUCUUGUUAACGAAAUCUGGAACGAUUUCUUCUGUAUCCCAUCUGAGGUCUGAACAAUACCUUCGACAUUCCAAAGGUUAAGUGACUGUUGAAGUCCCAUUGUAUGCUGACCUAAACUUUAAAGCAACUGUUCGGUAUUGUUGCAGAUUCCACUUAUAUUUCAAUAGCACGUAGAAAAUCUCAUACUUUGAGGGUCUGCUCUGAGUUUCUUACCAUAAGUGAUUAAUAUCAGAACUCCAACAACCAAAAACACUUGGAAUCUGUAGAAUUCGCAGAGUUUGAAGGGUAACUUCGGCCAAGAAGGUUGAGAAGCAAACGCUAAGAAAUAAGUUAAUGCUCAGGUGCCUUGUACCAGGAGAUUUCCUUCUCUUCAGGUCUCUUCCGAAUGAGGAAUUGUACAGAAUCGUCCUUGAAAAGGCAUUAUAGUAUAUCAGGCAGCUUCCGUCCAGCUGCAUCCUGGUAAUUUCCUUAACUUCUUUUUCUUCAUCAUUUUUUUCAACCUUGCAACAUUUAUCCAGUUUCCAGCAUCCGCAUAUAGACUGGAUAAUAGCAAAUUGUUUCCUGCACUAUCCGGCUCUAGUUCUGAUAAAUGCUUAGCUGCUACCUCAGCAAGUUCAAUAUUCCCGUAAUUCCGACUUGCUCCUAAUAAUGCUCCCCAUACAAACAAAUCUGGCUCCAUAGGCAUCGCCUUAAUCAUGUCAUAUGCCUCAGUGAGAUUCCCUGCUCGACCUAGAAGAUCAACCAUACAUGCAUAAUGUUCUAGUCUUGGCAUGAUCCCAUGGUCUUCCUGCAUCAAUCUAAACAAGCUUUUGCCAAGCUCAAUCAUCCCAGCAUGACAACAAGCAGUAAGGACGGCAACAAAGGUCAAGUAAUCAAGUUUCAUGCUGUCUUCUGUCUUCAUCUUGUUGAAAAGCUCUAUUGCUUCAGUGCAAUACCCAUGAUUCGCGUAUCCAAAAAUCAUUGAGUUCCAUGUUACCGUGUUCCUUUCAGACAUCCUGCAAAACAAUGUCUUUGCUUCGUAUAUAAAUCCACAUUUAGCAUACAUAUCAACAAGAGCACUCCUCACAUAUACAUCAGCUUCAACUCCAAUCACCAAUGCAUAAGCAUGUAUCUCCUUACCACACCGCAAGUUUGUCACAGCUGCACAAGCAGGCAAGAGGCUACUGAUUGUAGCCGGAGUUGGCAAUAUUCCACUAUCCAGCAUCUGCUUAAAUGUGUGAAAAGCCUUACUAUUCUGAAAAUUCUUCACAAACCCAGAUAUAACCGAAGUCCACGACACAACAUCAGGUUCAAUCCCAUCCACGGGCAUCAACUUAAACAGCCUAGACGCCAUUGCCUCAUCACCCUUCUGCGAAAACCCAGCAACCAAAGUGUUCCAAGUAAUCAAAUUAGCCUUAAUCCCCACCACCUGCAUUUCCUCCAACAAAACCAAUGCUUCAUCCGCCAUGCCACGCUGACAAAACCCCGAAACAACAGCAUUCAAAGCCACCGAGUCUUUAUCAACCAUCAUAUCAAAAACCCGCCGCGCCUUCUCCACUCUCCCAUUCUUCGAGUACAUGUCAAUAAUUGCACUACUAACAAAAGCAUCAAACUCAAACGCGUGCCUGAGCACAACAGCAUGAAGCUUCUCACCGGUUCCGACAUCAGACAAAUGCCCACAUGCCUUGAGAACACUGGGAAUAACAAUCCUAUUGGGUCUACAACCCUCUCUUUGCAUCUCACUGAACACAUCCAUUGCCUGCUGGUAAAACCCAGAGCGAGCGUAGGCUCCGAUCAGAGCAAACCAGCGGCGUAUGUUCGUCUUGGGAAUUCCAUCGAACAGGUUCCGGGCUUGGGUUAGUUGGCCGCAGGCAGAGUAUAGAGCAAUGAGCUUGGAGGCGAAAUGGGUCAGACGGGCCAACCCGGUGGUGAUCAAAUGGGCGUGGAGUAGUCUUGCUGAGUUCAGUUCACGAUCACGGGAGUAGAUUCCGAUCAGCUUUGUGUACAGGUCAGGCGAGGAUUGAAAAGCACGGUGGGUGAAGGGAGUCAUUGGAAUAGUGAGCGUAAAGGGCGGGAAGAUGAGUGUGAUUUGGUUUCAUGUAAAGAGAAUGACUAUGCCAUGCAUUCUUCUGAAUUUUCCUUAUGACUAUUGGUAUGAACAUGUCCUAUUUCAGUGACAGACGAUUUUAUAGCCAUUAAUUGAAACCAACAAAACGUCCAAGGUAUCUAUGAUAAUUUGAACUGUUUAGAAAAGUAAAUGAAAAACAUAGUUGAGAUACCGGAGGUAAUUAAAUCAAAUUACUAGCACGAAGUGAUACAAAUGUGGUGAAAGGCGAGCUUCUAUAUGGUAGAAAUGUGUGAGACAAUUUUAAGGAUAAAAAAACUAAUAAAAAUAACUUCCUUCAAAUUUGAUGUUUUCUCAAGAUUUUAAUAACUCUAUAUGUAAUUCUAUUAAUUACAAAAUUAUUUAUAGAAAAAUGAUAGAUGUCAUGACUUUCCUUCGUUCUCAUGUAUGAGUGUGAUACUAUAUUUUGAAUAAAUGAAUAUUAUCAUUUCAUCUUAUAUGAUUUUAGUUUGAAAUUACUCAUACAUGUAAAGAUGAGUACAAUAUUAUUCAUUCUAAUUCAAAUGAGACAACAUAUUUAAUCGUAUGAAAUUAAAUCAUAUGUGUUAAUAUUUACUCAAUAAACUCAACUUUUAAGACCUCUCUAGUCGAUCUCUACAUAUCAGGCAGAAACAACUAUUCAUAUUUACGUUUUUAAUAAGUACUUGAUAUUCUUUUUUUUUACAAUUAGAACUUGACAUUUUGAGGCCUCUUCUACUAUGGCGGAAAUAACUAUACAUAUUUAUUUUUUCAACUCAGAAAAUAGAGAAAUGCCCCCACAAAAUUGGGAGAAAUAAUAUAGCCAAUUUUCCACAGCUAACAAAAUCUAACCGUUCAUUGGGCUCAACAGAUACGAACACCGGAGACACCCGUAUCAUCAUCGAUUUCCCAGACCGCCCAACACACAGAGCCACCCAACCCAAUCGCCAUAUACAAAGCUUAAGCUUAGCUUCUAGGGACAUGAAAGUAAUUAACCACUCCAGAAUCUAGUUUCACCAAGAACAUGCAUGGAUUUCUGGCUCUUCUGCCACAACCCCACACCCUCUAUUUCUUCAACCUCUCUUCUUCAAGAUCCCUUCUCUACCUCCAAAUCAGACCCAAAUCCUCCGCACCCAAUUUGGGUUACCCUUCAAAAACCAACCUGAAUCUCGUCGUCUUGUCUUCCCACUCUUCGAGUUUCUCAAGUUUCAGUAGCAAACGACGACGCUUUGUUACGAGAGCGAGCCGCAGGGAGUCUCCUUACGAAGUUCUGGGAGUGUCUCCUUCUGCUACUGAUGUGGAGAUCAAGAAGGCCUAUCGCAAACUUGCUCUUAAGUAUCACCCAGAUGUUAAUAAAGAGGUUCGGGUUUCAAGUUCGAAUUUUUAUUUUUUGGUACCUGGUUUGUUUUCUUGUUUGGUUUUACUGAAAAUGCAAAGAGUUUAAUUGAGUUAUCUAGUUAGCUCCUUCGUAAUCGGAAUUUGAAAGAAGUCUUUGCUGGAGUUCUGGUCAUAAAAUACAUGAAAAGUGUUAGCCAAUUGUAGAAACUAAUAUUGUUGAUUAGGAAAAGCAAUUACAUUCUUGACAUUGUUGAGGCUAUAAGCCUAUAAUGCCAAUCCAAUUUUGUGUUUAUGACAGCAACUGUCCAAGCACAUCAUUUUGUUUGCUAAAUUUUUAACUGUGUGUUGUGCUCUUCGAAAUUUCAAAUUUUCACUAUAUUCAAUAUUUUCAUUGCUUGGGAGUGUAGUCAGUCAGGGUAGUGGAUGUCAAUUGGUAUUCUGAUUCUGUGGUUUUAGCAUAUGGAUUUUAUCUGUAGUGAUUUGAACUUCUAGUAUAGUUUUGCUGGUCUAACUUUUCUAUGCUGUACAGGCAAAUGCGCAGGAGAAAUUUAUGAGGAUUAAACAUGCGUAUAGUACAUUGCUGAGUUCAAAAUCUCGGGGGAAAUAUGACUCUAGUUAUGGAUCUGACUAUUCCUAUUCUGGAUCUCAAAGAAGCCAAAGGAAGAAGGCUCCAGAGGAAGAAGAGUUUUAUGGAUUCGGUAAGUGAUUAGUAAACUUAAGUGCUUGUGGAAAACAUGUCUGCUCUUUUACAUAAAUAUUUUCAUUGUGAAUCAGUCUAGCUCAAUACCAAAUAUUUUUCAUUAAAAAAUGACAUGUUGCCAUUCAAGUAUCAACCUUGGCAAUUAUGAGUGAAGAUUUUAAUAAUUGGAUCAGUCAUUAAGCUAUCUUUUGGGCUAACUGCCAUUCAAAUCUGUAAUAUUUAUCCAAAUAAAUGGCUUCUUCAGAGAAGUAACGUGUCUGAUAGACCAAGAUAUUGUACCUAGGAGUCUAGGACCAAUCUAUUAUUAGGUAAAUAUUAGUAUGUUCUUAUUAUUAAGCCCUUCAUUGUGCAGGUAAUUUUGUGAGGGAUGUUCAAAUUACAAUAGGUAGAUAACUCUGUGAGACAUCAGACAGGCCUUAAUGUUUGCUUGCAUUGCCUCAUGUCUCAGCAAGCAUCAAUUUCAUUUAUCCUUUCUAUGUAAGUAAGAUUAUAGCGUGACAAGGUUUUUUGGUGCUACAGAGGACUUCUUUAGAGAUAUUCAAGCAGAAUUCCAGAACUGGGAAGAAAGUGCUUCUAAACAAGGAAAGCCAAGGAGUCUGUGGGAGGAACUGUCGGUAUGAUAUUAUAAAUUUCUCGCUGUACUUGAAAACAUGACCAUGUUAAUCUGUCUCCUUGUUGUUUAGAUUUAUGAUACAUGUAUGCAAAUACCAAGGUAGCAGGGAAACCUCACGUAUAUUCUGUAUUUACUAUUUACACACAUUGCAGGAAAUUGGAGAAGAAUUUGUGGAAUUUCUCGAGAAAGAACUCAACAUAACGGAUCCGGAGGUUGAACCAAAUAACAUCAAUGAAGGGCCUGAGAAGGGCAAUCCGUCCAGAAAUUCUGGGACAGAGAGAAUGGGAAGUGCAAGUAAAAAGGAAUCCACCCCGGGGGCUAGUAUUGAAGAGAAUAUUGAUGAGAUAGAAGCUACUCUUGCUCAGUUGAAAAAGGAAUUGGGAUUGUAGCACAGAAAAGCAGCUUUUCAAUUCUUUAGGAAACGUUUUGAUAAGAUGGAGGGGAAGAAAAUAGGAUAAGAAAAGGCAGAGGUAGAGGAUUGAUCUAAUACUUUCAAUCUUGGACAAAUGAUAGAAGGUUCUCAAGUCAAAAGAAAAAAUUAUUUCAGUAUUCUUCAAUUUCAUAUCAGGGCACCAUGUAGAGUAAGAUUACAGUGUUUUGCUUCCAAGAGUGUUUAGGCUUGUAUUGAAGCAUAUGGUUAUGAUUUCUCUUGUAUUCAGAUGUGGAUAUAUGAAAAUCAAGUGCUGUUCUAAGGAUUGUUACGCUGAAGCUUGGUCCUCGAUAUACUUGUAUCAGUUGUCUGUAUCCUCGACAGUCCCCAUGCUUCUAUGUCAUUAAAUUACAUUUUUUCUUACUUGGUAUUGUUCCUUCCAAGUACCAAAGUUUUGUUGCGUUUUGGUUGUGAUCAUUGGGUGGACAGUGUUAUGGUCGAGUGCAGUAGGAACGUGUUCUUGUUUUUUCAACUACUGUGCCCAGAUGAUCCUGCAACUUACAUACUGCUAUCAGAUGUGUUGUUGACAAGAGGCUAGAGGCUAGUGGGAUAAUACUGCAGGAUUAUGGAGCUCAUGUGUAUUUGUUAUAGUUGGAUUUGAUCAACAAAGGCGAUAUGUUUUCUUUAACUCUCUUUUUAGAGCCAGAGGUAUGAUGUGACCUGCAAGAAGCUCUGUGUUGCUUGGACCAGGGAAGGGAUACUACUUUUUCACAAACAAUAUCUGACCCAGGAUUUUCAUUUUUUCCCAAUUAGGAGGAUCCCAAAAGACGCAAAUCCAUUUGUGAUGGAAUGCAACGUGUGUUUGAUGUUUCUUUUACAAUCAGAAGUGUUCCCAAGCUUGAGGCAAAGGAAAAGGAAGAUAUAUGGUUAGUGCAUGACUUGGUCAAUUUCUAUUUCAGGAAAUAACCAUUCUUGUGUUGCAUGUGAAAAUGGAGCCCGUAAACACACCACCCUAAUUGACUUGUGGAUCUUGUUGGUCGUUUAGGCAAGAACCUCGGAAGAAAAUGGCAAAACUCCAUAAUAAGUAGAGGACAUCCAGAGACCAGAAUCAUUUCGAGGACAUCCAGAGACCAGAAUCAUUUCUACAGCAGAGGCACUAGUCCAAGAAACCCUUUUGAAUUGAAGAACUAUGGCUCAACUCGAACGUCCGCAAAGACAUGGUGAUGCUGAAGCUACAACGCCCUCUGAGCAAAGAAAACUUGCUGUUAAUCCUACUAUGGAACACUAUCUUCGAGGUAUCGUCAUGCCAUGUUACGAUCAUAUGGGAUGAAUAUUUGUCCAUUACCACCUGACAUAUUGUUGAAUUUGUUUAUGAUAAUUUUGUGCUUCUUACCAGGAACUGACUUUUUGAGGUCGUCAUCACCAACAUCCUUAUCAUCUCCAGUUGCGAGCCAUGAUGCCGAAGAUGAUCACAACCACCAUCAAAAGAAAUCGGUUCUCACCAAGGUGAUAGAGAAAGCUAAGAAACUGAAGCACUCACUCAGCACCAAGAAGAAACAUCAUGACAAUGAUAGCCAUGAGACCGAUACUAGCACCCCUGCAUGGAGUGCUAACUUGAAUGACAAUGAAGUUGAAGAAGAAGAUGCUGAAUACCUAGGAGCGCCAAGUAAUAUGCUUGUUCACAUUUUCUGAAAUAAUAUGCAACAGUUUCUUUUGUAGUUCUUGAAUGCUCCUUGCAUUGUUCACCUUUCUAAUUGUUGUGUUAUUUUCAGUGUACAAAUCAGAGACAGCACCUGAAGCAUACAGGGAGACCGCAAAGCUACCAAGUCCUGUGCUUUCUGAGAAGCAUGUUUUGUCGAGCGGUUACAGUCAGAACUCUGAACAUAAUAAUGAGAAGUCUCCUAGUUCUGACCAGAUAGUAGCCGAAAGCGUGAUCACAAAGCUUCCCAAUGAGAUAUUCACAGGAAUUGUUCUCACGAGGACUCUUAGUUCUAAGGAGACAGCAACUAAGGCUGCAGCCACAAAGCCUCAUAGUCCAAAAAAGUCAGUAAGUGCAAGUAAUUCCCCUCUCAAGCCUCACAGCAGUCCUAGGCAGACACUAACCGAAUCUGAGGCCACAAAGAUUCUUAGUCCUAAGAAGACAAUAACUGAAACUGUGACUGAGAAGUUGGGAGCAGGCUAUGCCACCGUAUCUGAGAAGUUGGGAACAGGCUAUGCCACCGUAUCGGAGAAGUUGGGAACAGGCUAUGCCACAGCAUCAGAGAAGUUGGGAACAGGUUAUGCCACAGCAUCAGAGAAGUUGGGAACAGGCUACAACACAGCAUCAGAGAAAUUAGGAACAGGCUACAAUGCAGCAUCAGAGAAGUUGGGAACAGUGACCCAUACAGCAUCAGAGAAGUUAGGAACAGUCAGCCAUACAGCGUCAGAGAAGUUAGUAGGACCUGCUUAUGCCACAGUAUCAGAUGCAACACAUGCAAUUGCGUCGAAGAUAGAAAGUCUCACUGUGUCACCCCCAUUUCCAACAAACAGAGAGAAUGCCACUGCUUCACGCCCGGAUCCCUCAAAAAUAAAAGGUCUCACUGUCACAGCCCCACCACCUUCACAGAGCAUUACAGCUUCUCCACAAGCAUUGUCAGCAUCAGCAGCCGAGCAUAGAUCUUUGACACGUGUAGCUCUAGAGUCUCCACAACCUUCAUCAGCCCCAGCAGGUCAUGGAAAGACUGCCGAGCAAAUAUGGGACAAGGGGGUUUCUGUAAAGGAGUACUUGAUUCAUAAGUUUGAGCCCGGGGAAGAUGAGAAAGCACUUUCACAAGUGAUAUCUGAUGUGAUGAGUCCGAGGAAAGGUCCAGGUGAAGCUGGUGUGGUGGAGAAGGUGAAAGGGGCUAUAACUUCAUUGCUUCGGAACGAUGAAUCCCCCAGAGCUACUACUAUUUCACAGUCACCAUUGUCCUCAACGCAGUCAGCCUUGUGCCCAACACAGUCAGUUGUGUCCCCAAUACAGCCGGCCUUGUCUACAUCGCCACGCAUUCCCAUCUCUACCAAUGCUUAUGAAGGUAACUUCUUGUUCUUUCCUUCAUUCAACUAUAUAGAGUGCAAGAGUGCAAGAGUGCAUGCAAGGUGGUUCUUAUAAAACUAAUGCUCACUUGCUAAAUAUUUGACAUAUUAGUGAUACUACACUGUCAGUUAAUCUGAUUCAACAAUUUUACUGAUAGUUUAACAACAAAAUUUCAUUUAUAGAUUCUCUACGUGACACCGAGUGUCAAGCUGUAACUUCUGUUGAGACAUGGCUCUGAUACCAAUGAUUCAUAUGCUAAUAUUGUCUCAUAUGCUCCUGCAUCAAUGAUUCAUUCUCAUAGUCCUUUUUCUAUGUGUUGCAGUCGUUGAGGAAGAAAAUCGGGGAAGAAUACCUCAGGCUAAUUGAAAGGUGGAAUGAAACUCAGAAACUGUUGAUAAUUAAUCCUCUAGAGUUUAGUACUAGUAUAUAUACAUGUAUCAGUAGUUAACAAGUAACAAACAUCAUUUAGAAUGUUUGUGUAAGCUUUGUAUUUGUGGACAUAUCCAGCUCCGGAAGUUCAGACAUGUAAGUCAGAUAACUGAACUGAAUUCCUGUGAGCAAUCUUUGCUAACUAAAUUGUUUUUAAUUUUAAUUAUUAAGGUUAUUCGUGAUGUCCUGAAAACCUCAUAUUCUGUAGUCAGCCACAGAUACAGUAGACAUGGAAUAGAGAACUCAGAAGCACUGUUAAGAACCAAUUCUUCUUUCUUUGAUUUAUAUGCAUAAGAUUCACAUCUGUGAAUUUUUAGGUUCAUCUCGCUUGGUAUGAGAAAAAGGUAGCAACAUCAGUAGCUAAUAUAUUCAUGAGAACGAAAACAAAGCACUAAAUUCCAUGAGCAAUGAAGUGUAGUUACAACAAAAUUAGGAAUAUCAGUCUAUAAUGAAGGACCAAGAAAGCAAUAUCUUCAUUUCUUCAUCUCCCACUCCCAUCAAUCUGUAUAAACAGCUUAUAGUUGGUAUUCGCAGCUACCAUCGUCACUCCUAGCUGUUGGGUCGAAGUUUGAGGCUGUUCGAUCAGUACAUCCUUCAGGAACUGGUACAUGAACUUGUUGGGCUGCCUGGCCUGCAUCACAUAAUUCAUGGAAAACUUUGAUCAGAAUCACUACUCUAAUUAAGAUAAGAUAUAUACGUACUGAUAAUGAUCAAUCAGGGAGAAGAGAGUAUAUUAAAAUCGCCCAUUGAAGGCUUUAAGGAUAAGAGAGUGCUAACCAUAGAAAUCUCCUCUCUUGAUAGAAUCCUGGUUUGCAUCUCCAAGUGCUGCUUGACUCAAGUAAGUCUCAGCAAGUUGAACUCUCUUGACAUUGUCCUGCUCUUGAACAAGCAUGUUACCAUACCCAAGAAGCUUCUCCAGUGUCAUCUUAGGCUGCUCAAAAGUUGGGAGACCUUCUUUUGAGUUCACAAGCUUCUUCCCAAUGCCGUCUACUCCAACACCAGAUAUCCACUUCCUCACUUCAUCAUCGUAGACUCGAGCUCGAAGGGCACCAAAGAAAUCUGCAAGAAUUGCAUAUGACAAGUUAUGACGAUCCUAGUUCACACACAUUUUCAUUUUCAUGUAAAGUUGAUCGAUAUAUAUAAUAUGGCAAACACGCCAUGCAUUUCUAACAUCUUGGUUCAUGCUUGUUUCAAUGUUUAAUCUAUGCUUACCAAUAGAUUGACCAGGGAAUGUGUCUACAAUCUUAACAACAUCCUCCUCAGGAAUAUUAUCAGUCUUGAAGAUUCCGAUGCAAACACCAAUCCUGUCUUCCCUUGUGGGAGCCCAAUAAAACUUCUCCAUACGACCAUCACGGAUAAGAGGCGCAUACAAUGUAGAGAAGUCAUUACCAGUGACUAUAAUCGGCACUCUAGCAUUGUCCUCCUUGUUGUACAUACCGGGGAGCUGCACAUUUGUUGGGUUAUCAGCAAUGUUCAUGAGGGUUGCGUUGACCAUCUGGUUAUUCACAGUGUACUGUGUGGUUCCACCCAUCCUACCAGCACCUGCAUCUAGAUCGUUGAUGAAGAGGGCACACAUUUUUCCUUUUCGGAUGAUGUCUGAAGCCUCACGAUAUCUUUGUCUGAUCAACUUUGCUGGUUCUCCUGCAUUCCCACUUUCUAAUUCUCCAGCACUCAUCAUGAUGGGGCUGAAAUGUAAUCAUUUUAUAAUUAAUACAAACAAAACUACAAAAGAAACAUAUCUUAUGAAAAAAUAAUAGCAGCAAAUGCAAAUAAAACUCACGUAAUUCCCAUCUUGGCAAACACAAGCUCACACUGGAAUGAUUUUCCCUGACCUUUUCCUCCCCAUAUACCAAGAAUGAGGGGAAUCUAUACAUGAGAAAAUAAAUUAAUAAAUCAUCCGAGGUAUCAAAAAUCGACAAUCACAAACAGAAUAUUGUCGAGAAACUUAUGUUUGAUAAUAAUAAUAAUACUAGAGGCAAUAAAUGAUUUCGCAUAAGAAAUGACAAUUUCUUAAUUCUUAGAAGUAACAGCAUAAAGUAUCCUAAUGCAUAAAUAAAUGAGACGCUGUCAAAUCAGUUGGGAUUUAAAGUAUAUGCGGAUUUAAAUUCUUGUAUGUAGGAUCGUCUCUUACCUUAAUGUUAGGCAGGCUCAUGAAGUUCUUGGUGAUAUGAACCACAAGCUUGUCCAUGAAAGCUGGAGCUAUGUAAAACCCAUCCAUGUUGUUAUCCAAGUUGUACCUGAAACACACAAUUCAGCAGCACUCUAAUCAUGACCACAGCCUCAAUUCUCUUCUAACAACACAAUUAAGUUUAACAUAUCAAUGGAGAAACUAGCAAGCAAUUAGUUCUACAUGUUUCCCUGCUUACGUUCGAAGUCCAGUGCUGACGUAAUCGUAAGAGCUCAUGAUGGGAUUGUGAGUCCCAGUUCCACUGGGAGCUUGGAACACAGUAUCAACCAUUCCCUUUCCUCUUGUAAUGUCUUGUUGGUCAUCAGAAAUGUCAUAAGCUAGGCCUUUCCACUUGUCUGUUUUCGACUGCUUUGUCUCAUCGAUUUCUGCUGUGAUUCUCAAGUUACCUGCAGAUACAGUUUUUUGGUAGGAGAGUCUUGUGUUGUUGACCUUCUUCAAACUGCUGCCCAAGAAAGCUGAGCUUGGGAUUGAGCUUCCAGCACCAGAGCUGUUCAAGCUCAACUGCAUUAAAUAUAGACCAACAAACAAGGCAAUAAUUCAAAUAUAAAACAUCACAAACUUUUCACUUGGUUUCUCUUUUGAUCGAGCAAAAACCACUUGAAAAAAAUAUCAAAACUCUUGUAGUUUAAAGAAUCACAUAGAAAAAUAUAAUAGAAAAACACUUUUGGGGUAUCCCACAGUAGAUUAAAAGAAAACAAUAUGGAAACAGUUGAGAUAUAAAAAUUUGGCGGGAAAGUACGGGUGUUCUGUUAACAGCUCCAACAGUUGAGACUGUGGAAGCCAUGGAUCAAGGUGGUGUUGAUUUCCAAAGAGCUUGUGAGUAAUGCAAUAAAGCUGAAGAUGUUGAAGUGUUGGUGGGAUGGAUAUUAAGAAGAGUAGGAGAUUAUAAGUGUGGAGUGAUUGAAAUAUCUGUGGUGUGGUUAUGAAGUCCCUGAAAGCCACACAAAUAGGAUUGGCUGAGUGACACAUGGCUUUCUCUGAACAAAAUAGGAUAUGCACCACACUUGUAAAACUUGGAAAAACACUAUUAUUGGAGAUCAUUUGGAGGCUUUUAGGCUUUGGAAUUGAUUUUUUGUAGGUAUCUAUUUAGUCUCCAAACAGAUUUUUAUUGUGUGGAAAAAUAUCUAGGGACUUUUAGAUUCUGGUCCAGACUGUGUUGGCCUUGGUUUGGAUAGAGUUUGUUCCACAGUUUUCACUUGGGUGUCCUGUAUUGAAUCUAAUGAAGAAUAGUGAACUCACAGCCACUUAUUUCUUUUAGUUGUUAUUUUGUUAGCUUUGGAUCCAUUUGUGAGUGGCCAUUAACUCCUUGGUAGUUCUUUGGUAACCAAGUGACCAAGAUUGCAGGAUUCUAAACACCAAACGAAUUAGACGUUUCAGUAUCAUAAGUUGGAGAGUACAGUUAAAUCUAGCACUGGAAAAGAAAAAUUAAAAAUAAAAACGUCUACUAUUUUUCAUCUCCAUAUCACGAUGAAUUGAGACCUGAUUCAGGUGCUCUGUGUGCAGUUAAAUUUGCUUUGUGUAAACUGAUAGCUCCUUAGAAUCUCAUUCAUUGGUCACUCACCAUUCCUUAUACUAAAGUGUCAUGAAAUUGAGUCAUAUAACGAUGUACAUAGUUGUGGAACAGAUUUACAUGAUUAUGUGAAUCUAUCUGUCCAUAUAAUAGAAACAAGCAUGGCUACAGACUGGUGAAUACAUGUCAAGUCGGGAAACUUACAAUGACAGAUUCUGGACGGACGGUUAGCCUCUAUUUCAAGAGUUUGGAUUCUAUUUCUUCCAAACUCAAACCUUUGGUUUCUGGGACGAUUAGCACAACAAACAGAAGAGAUAUCAAGGCGAUAGCCCCAAAAAGGAGGAAAAGGUUGUCUGCUCCUAGUGCCUCCUGCAGAAUUAUCAAAUGUUAAUGGACCACUUCUGUACUAGUCCUCCAAAAGCCCAGUCAUGACAUAUGAAACUAGUUUAUGCGAAUAGAUUGACAUGCGUUAUAUACCUUCAAUGGUGAGAAUGCAAAUGUAACAAGGGCAUUUGAACCGAAGUUAGUAAGAACUGCAAGACUAAUCCCUUUUCCUCUUGUGCGAAGCGGGAAUAUUUCAGACACCAUAAGCCAACUUAUAGGACCAAAAGAUAUCUGAAAAGGCAUUUGAGCACAAUAUUCAAUAAUGUCAAAAUCUGUCUUAAUACCAGAGACAAAAAAAAAAUAUGACAUUUAAAUUAGUAAGCCCCAUCCCCUUCUUUAUGAAGAAGUUGGAAUAGAGCUGUGGUGCAGGUGAGGGAGGAGUUUAUGUCGAGUUUUAAGAUUCUGGUUUACAGGUGUGACUUACCCGUACAACAAAAACAAUAUUGUGGUGCUAUUAGACUAUUCCAUUUAAAGAAAACAUCAUAAGAAGAUUGACAGAGCCAAAAGAACAAAAUACCUGGUAGCAACCAACAUAGAGAAGAAGAGAAGCUACAGCAACUAGUGGGAACCCCCCAAGAAAUUUGUAGUAAGCAGAGAGGAGAAACAAGGAAAGAGCCUGACGUAAAGAGAAUUAAGAACAAAUAGACCUUGCAUCAUCAUCAUUACCGUUUAAAAUGUCACAAAGUAGAAAAUAACAAAAAAAUAAUUAACUAAAUUAUUGAAUAGUUAGAAUGCAUACAAGACCACUGACUCCUAGUAUCAGCAAAGGUCUUCUUCCUAGAUCAUCAACUUUCAGGACAGCUACCCCUGUCAUCACGAACUGCAGAAACAGUCAAAAAAAGAGAAUAGUCAGACCCAAAAGUGGAGCUUCCUACAGCAUUCCCUCCUAUAUCAAAAUUAUCUCUGAAAUGAAUAUCACAUGUGCACCUUGAACAACCCAAUUAUAACCGAUACUUUGGUAGCAUCAGCAGCAGCGGAGAAUCCUGCACUCUUGAUUGACAAGAUGACGAAGAGUAUCACAUAGUUAGGCAAAAUGACAUCAAAGAAAACAAACUUUACACACCUGGAAAAAGUUACAAUAAUAGAAAAUUUGAUACCUGAAGAAUUGGACCUGCGUAAUAUAGGACACUUGGUUGCCCUGUUAUCUGAGAAGUCAGGUAGCAGAUUGGCUUACUAAUUCUUUAUAUUCUCUCCGUUACAUUAUUUUUUAAAUAAAAGAAAGUUAAGAAAAAAAAGAAAAAAAAGAAGAGAUAAACUCAUUUCAUUGUAGCGAUGAGGAAAGAUUACUUGUUGAAAAAGGACUAAACCCCCAGCAAUUAUGAAGGCCUUCAAACUUGGGCCUUGAAAGAUCUCCAUCAAACUCCCCUCUGAUUCCUCAUCUGCAUAGGAUGACUUCAAAGUAACAAAAGUCUCUUCUAUUUGUUUUUCAGACACUCUGUCACCAGGAGGCCGGCCUCUCAACUUGCUCAAGGCAAGAACAGCUUUUUCUUUGUAUUCUUUCACAGACCCUUUACCUUGAGCUGGCCUGAGAAGCAACCAUCGAGGAGAUGGUGGGAGAAUCCACAUGCCUAUUCCCAUAAGUAAAGCAAUGGGUGCACUUAUUCCAUACAUGUAACGCCACCCCCCAAUUGCAUCAAUCUGAAAGCUUCCUACUAAAUAACCCAACUGCAUACAGAACGUCUCACUUUAGUUUAGAAACUCAAUAACAAAAACAUCAACAUAAAAAAUUUGUUAUUUAAACAAUACCAGGAUCCCCAAAACUAUGAAGAGCUCCUUCAAUGACACUAGAGUUCCGCGAAUUUGAGAUGGACAUGUUUCAGCAAUAUAGAGUGGAGCCCCAUGCAUGGCCUGUCAAAACAAAUCAUGAAAGGUUUUCAUUUUUUGCUUAGUUAGAAGCUAAGGAAAACUGAAAAGGAGCUUACCAUGCCGAUGCCGAUGCCAUAUAAAACACGGCCUACUAAUAGAACACCAAGGCCUGGAGCACAUCCAGUGAUCAGACCCCCAAGGAGAUAAAGUGUAGCAGCUAUGAUGAGUUCUCUCCUCCUUCCUUCAUGGUCCAUUUAAAAGUCUGAAUUAGAAAUGAUAUAUCAUGAAGCAUUGAAGCUUCAAAACCUCAAAGUAAAAGAGUAAACAAAGCACACACCAAGGAAAUCAGCAAUUGGGUAGACAAGGAGAGAACCAAAAAGAGCUCCGUAGAGGGAACCACUAACCUGCAUCAAAACAAUGUACUUUAUGAUUAUUGAUGUCCUUUUGGUUUUUUGGUAGACGAGCAGAAGAAUUCAAAUGACACAAGCAAGUUAACUAAGAUUCAAUAUUUCAUACCACAAGACCAAGCUGAACAGCUGUCAGAUUAAACCAACUUGUGCCACUAAGCUCAGCGGACUGUGACAUGUCAACAUAGAAACACUUUAGUCACACUUGAUCAUCAAAACCAUGAAAACAAACCACUAGAGUUGACAAAUAUACCAUUAAUGAGAUGGUAGCACCAGAGGUAGCACCAAUGUCAUAGCCAAAUAACAGACCACCCAAUGCCGGAAACACAAAACUAGAAUUCCAAGAAGCUGGUUAUUAACACAAUUUACAUGAACCAGAAAGUAGAGAAAUACUCAAACACAAAUUCAGCAGAUUGCAGUCUGUACAUUCAUCUAAAAGCUGCUUAUUUCUUAAAAUUUUAUAUUAAACUACAAACUGUAACUUGCUACUGUUCGAAAAGCACUCAACUUGCUUCAGUCCCAAAACUAAAGCAUGCCACUAUUUCCCCAUUAAGGUCCAAUUCAGAUCAUCCAUUACAUUGGCUUCCAAAAUGUUACCCUUACUACUAAAAACAGUAGACAGCUUUUGAAGCAUAAAUUUCAACACAAUGCAGUAUGCAAGUUCAUCUAUAAAGCUCCUUCGUUCUUCAGUAUAUAUAUUCACUUACAAGGCAUAGUUUGCUAUCCUUCAAAAAUCACCAACUUGGUUCAGUAACCAAAACUAAAGCAUGAAACUUUACCCCCAUUAAGACCCAAUUCAGGUCCUCCAUCACAUUGGCUCACAAAUAGUUACAUUACAUAAAUGAGGUCAAAAAAGAACACCUAUUUCCUAAAGCAUGAGAAGAACUCAUAUAAAUAAACAAACUAGGUAGAAACGUACGGAAUAAUCACAGAAACCCAAGAAUAAUCCUCCUGUGGAGAUGCCUCAGGAAUAAGAGACUGCGACUCAUCCCCUGAAGAAUAGUCAUUCUGAGACCCAACCUACAAAAAAAAAAAAAAAACAACCAAACAAUGCAAAAUGAGUCCCAUAACACAUAAACCCAGAAAGUAAAAAAGCAGAAACUGAAAUGGGUUGUUUGCCUUGACACUGAAUCUGAGUUGUUUUGAUGAUGAUGGGUUUGUGAAAGUGCCAAACUUGGCCCUGAAACAAGGGGAACGAAGGGGUGGAGGGGUAAAGUGGGCAUUAGAGAAAAGUGGGAUUACAGGUUUGUUCUUCUUGAGUUGAUGAAGUGGUGGUGAGUAGUGUGUGUGGUUGAACAGGGGCCGAGUUGAGAAGGCCAUUUUUGGGUAGUGGAUUGCUCCAAAAGGUUGUUAAUAAGUGUUGAUAUUUCCCGCUUCAGUGUCUCUUGGUCUGAUCAGUGAGUAGAUAUUUUGAUUGACUUUUUGACCUGGAUGAUUUUGUAGCGCUUGGCUUCUUCAAUCGCUGAUACACCAGAAUGGGGACAAUGUGUGCGUACGUGAUUCGUUUGGAAUGGGAUUUGUUCUAAGCAUCCACUAUCCAAUAAAGUAAAGAAUGGUGUCAAUACUCAAUAAGACUAGGUUUGGCCAUACGAUCCUCAACUGAUGCCGACCGUCUCGUUGAUUUUCGCUCACGUUUUCCAUUAGUUUCACUGCCUACUCAUUGUUGUUCCUAGUGUUGUGUCUAGCGUUCCACUUGAUCAUCCGGAGAGAUUUGUUCCUUGCGGUUCUAUUUGUAAGUGUUGUUACUUUUACACAUUCCCAUAAAAAAUAAUGAAAAAGCUUAAAAACCACAAAUUAGACAAGAUUUUACUCUCUUGUUCUUGUGUAAGUCAUCCACUCAAUUCACCAGCUGUUCUUUUGAGAGUGUGGUUUAUGAGGAUGUUCUGUAUCUUUUUUCUCAAUUGUCAAGUUGCACGUUCACUCAUUUUUAUAGGGUUGAAAACCAUGUUACUCAUUCCUUUGCUCGUUGAGCUCUCAAUUGUAGACCUUGUAUAUCUUUUUUACUUAUACUCCUUCUUUUCUGGAGGAUGUAAUUACUAGUGAUUGUAAUUAACCUUACUUAAUAUAAAUUUUUCGUUUCUUCUAAAUAAAAAUAAAAAAAAUUGUCAAUAGUCUCAACGAAGCACUUUUACCAACGAAUCAAACCUUUUUUUNNNNNNNNNNNNNNNNNNNNNNNNNNNNNNNNNNNNNNNNNNNNNNNNNNNNNNNNNNNNNNNNNNNNNNNNNNNNNNNNNNNNNNNNNNNNNNNNNNNNNNNNNNNNNNNNNNNNNNNNNNNNNNNNNNNNNNNNNNNNNNNNNNNNNNNNNNNNNNNNNNNNNNNNNNNNNNNNNNNNNNNNNNNNNNNNNNNNNNNNNNNNNNNNNNNNNNNNNNNNNNNNNNNNNNNNNNNNNNNNNNNNNNNNNNNNNNNNNNNNNNNNNNNNNNNNNNNNNNNNNNNNNNNNNNNNNNNNNNNNNNNNNNNNNNNNNNNNNNNNNNNNNNNNNNNNNNNNNNNNNNNNNNNNNNNNNNNNNNNNNNNNNNNNNNNNNNNNNNNNNNNNNNNNNNNNNNNNNNNNNNNNNNNNNNNNNNNNNNNNNNNNNNNNNNNNNNNNNNNNNNNNNNNNNNNNNNNNNNNNNNNNNNNNNNNNNNNNNNNNNNNNNNNNNNNNNNNNNNNNNNNNNNNNNNNNNNNNNNNNNNNNNNNNNNNNNNNNNNNNNNNNNNNNNNNNNNNNNNNNNNNNNNNNNNNNNNNNNNNNNNNNNNNNNNNNNNNNNNNNNNNNNNNNNNNNNNNNNNNNNNNNNNNNNNNNNNNNNNNNNNNNNNNNNNNNNNNNNNNNNNNNNNNNNNNNNNNNNNNNNNNNNNNNNNNNNNNNNNNNNNNNNNNNNNNNNNNNNNNNNNNNNNNNNNNNNNNNNNNNNNNNNNNNNNNNNNNNNNNNNNNNNNNNNNNNNNNNNNNNNNNNNNNNNNNNNNNNNNNNNNNNNNNNNNNNNNNNNNNNNNNNNNNNNNNNNNNNNNNNNNNNNNNNNNNNNNNNNNNNNNNNNNNNNNNNNNNNNNNNNNNNNNNNNNNNNNNNNNNNNNNNNNNNNNNNNNNNNNNNNNNNNNNNNNNNNNNNNNNNNNNNNNNNNNNNNNNNNNNNNNNNNNNNNNNNNNNNNNNNNNNNNNNNNNNNNNNNNNNNNNNNNNNNNNNNNNNNNNNNNNNNNNNNNNNNNNNNNNNNNNNNNNNNNNNNNNNNNNNNNNNNNNNNNNNNNNNNNNNNNNNNNNNNNNNNNNNNNNNNNNNNNNNNNNNNNNNNNNNNNNNNNNNNNNNNNNNNNNNNNNNNNNNNNNNNNNNNNNNNNNNNNNNNNNNNNNNNNNNNNNNNNNNNNNNNNNNNNNNNNNNNNNNNNNNNNNNNNNNNNNNNNNNNNNNNNNNNNNNNNNNNNNNNNNNNNNNNNNNNNNNNNNNNNNNNNNNNNNNNNNNNNNNNNNNNNNNNNNNNNNNNNNNNNNNNNNNNNNNNNNNNNNNNNNNNNNNNNNNNNNNNNNNNNNNNNNNNNNNNNNNNNNNNNNNNNNNNNNNNNNNNNNNNNNNNNNNNNNNNNNNNNNNNNNNNNNNNNNNNNNNNNNNNNNNNNNNNNNNNNNNNNNNNNNNNNNNNNNNNNNNNNNNNNNNNNNNNNNNNNNNNNNNNNNNNNNNNNNNNNNNNNNNNNNNNNNNNNNNNNNNNNNNNNNNNNNNNNNNNNNNNNNNNNNNNNNNNNNNNNNNNNNNNNNNNNNCACAUCCAUAAGCUGCAUGUCAAGUUUUUCAGAAACUACCAAACUGACAAGGUAGCGGAAAAUUAUAACGUCCAUUACAGGAGAGUAUGUCUCCUCGUAGUCAAUUCCAGGGCGUUGUGAGAAACCUUGCGCCACAAGGCGGGCUUUAUAUCUUAACACCUCAUUCUUCUCAUUUCGCUUUCUAACAAAAACCCAUUUAUGUCCCACAGGCUUUACAUUUGGCUGGGUUAGCACUACCGGGCCAAAUACCUGUCUCUUUGUUAGUGAAUCUAAUUCAACCUAGAUUGCUUCUUUCCAUUUGGGCCAAUCUGCUCUCUGUUGACAUUCUUCAACAAAGCGAGGUUCGAUAUCAUCAUGUUCUAUGAUUUCCUGUGCAACUGAGAAUGCAAAUGCAUCAUCAAGGAUCACAGAUUCUCUAUCCAGUAUCUCAUGUACGCUAGCAUAAUUCAUUGAGAUCUCUUUAUUCGCUGUACUUGGAUCAACUGUUGGAAUUUCCUCCAAAUUGGUCUUCUCACGGACAUAACUAUAGUCAGGAAUAAUUUCAUGAGUUGGAUUUUGAGUGUUGAUGAUCAAUGGAUUAAGUUGUGCCAAACUCCCCCUCUUUCUAGGGCGAGUAUCCAUAAAACCUACAGGUCUCCCCCUUUUCCUUUGGGGAGCCGCGACCUCAGCCACCACACGUCCACCAAGUGUGGUGGUGGUACCGCCUCCUAUAUUGGGAGCAGCGGCCUCACAUCCUCCUUGUGGGAUGUCUAUCCUUGCAGGCAUAUUUGCAGCAGGUAUAUGUGAUCUCGUCACUUUGGCAAGGUCAGUAAACGCAUCAGGCAUCGAAUCUGCUACGUUUACAAGCUCUAUAAUUCUCUGAACUUCACUAUCUGCUAAUGCAAAGCGGGGAUCAAGAUGAGAUAGAGUGGGAACGUACCACGACAAUUCCUAUCGUUUUUGUGGAACAUUGUUGUUCCUUCCUCCCCCUAAUGACGGGAAGGUUGUCUCAUCAAAGUGACAAUCCGCAAAUCGUGCGGUAAAUAGAUCGCCUGUCAAGGGUUCUAUAUAGCGGAUUAUAGUUGGUGACACAUAUCCAACAUAUACACCUAUUCGUCUCUGAGGACCCAUUUUUUCGCGUAAUGGUGGCGCGAUAGGCACAUAAACUGCACAACCAAAAAUGCGUAGAUGUGAAAUAUUCGGCUCAUAUCCAGUAACCAACUGGUACGCAGAAAAUGGUUGUCUAGCAGCGGGUCUGAAACGAAUAAGCAUGGCUGCAUGUAAUAUCGCUAUAAGCCCAAGCAGAAGUAGGUAGAUUNNNNNNNNNNNNNNNNNNNNNNNNNNNNNNNNNNNNNNNNNNNNNNNNNNNNNNNNNNNNNNNNNNNNNNNNNNNNNNNNNNNNNNNNNNNNNNNNNNNNNNNNNNNNNNNNNNNNNNNNNNNNNNNNNNNNNNNNNNNNNNNNNNNNNNNNNNNNNNNNNNNNNNNNNNNNNNNNNNNNNNNNNNNNNNNNNNNNNNNNNNNNNNNNNNNNNNNNNNNNNNNNNNNNNNNNNNNNNNNNNNNNNNNNNNNNNNNNNNNNNNNNNNNNNNNNNNNNNNNNNNNNNNNNNNNNNNNNNNNNNNNNNNNNNNNNNNNNNNNNNNNNNNNNNNNNNNNNNNNNNNNNNNNNNNNNNNNNNNNNNNNNNNNNNNNNNNNNNNNNNNNNNNNNNNNNNNNNNNNNNNNNNNNNNNNNNNNNNNNNNNNNNNNNNNNNNNNNNNNNNNNNNNNNNNNNNNNNNNNNNNNNNNNNNNNNNNNNNNNNNNNNNNNNNNNNNNNNNNNNNNNNNNNNNNNNNNNNNNNNNNNNNNNNNNNNNNNNNNNNNNNNNNNNNNNNNNNNNNNNNNNNNNNNNNNNNNNNNNNNNNNNNNNNNNNNNNNNNNNNNNNNNNNNNNNNNNNNNNNNNNNNNNNNNNNNNNNNNNNNNNNNNNNNNNNNNNNNNNNNNNNNNNNNNNNNNNNNNNNNNNNNNNNNNNNNNNNNNNNNNNNNNNNNNNNNNNNNNNNNNNNNNNNNNNNNNNNNNNNNNNNNNNNNNNNNNNNNNNNNNNNNNNNNNNNNNNNNNNNNNNNNNNNNNNNNNNNNNNNNNNNNNNNNNNNNNNNNNNNNNNNNNNNNNNNNNNNNNNNNNNNNNNNNNNNNNNNNNNNNNNNNNNNNNNNNNNNNNNNNNNNNNNNNNNNNNNNNNNNNNNNNNNNNNNNNNNNNNNNNNNNNNNNNNNNNNNNNNNNNNNNNNNNNNNNNNNNNNNNNNNNNNNNNNNNNNNNNNNNNNNNNNNNNNNNNNNNNNNNNNNNNNNNNNNNNNNNNNNNNNNNNNNNNNNNNNNNNNNNNNNNNNNNNNNNNNNNNNNNNNNNNNNNNNNNNNNNNNNNNNNNNNNNNNNNNNNNNNNNNNNNNNNNNNNNNNNNNNNNNNNNNNNNNNNNNNNNNNNNNNNNNNNNNNNNNNNNNNNNNNNNNNNNNNNNNNNNNNNNNNNNNNNNNNNNNNNNNNNNNNNNNNAGCUACCUAAGGUUUUUUUUUUUUUGUUGGAAAAAAAAUACUCACGUUAGAGCUUCGUGCUGAUAACGUGUUUUAGGAAAAACUGUAUAUUUCAUCCGAAUGAGUGAGCUCCUUUUAUAGGAGAUUACAGAUAACAAGAUUACAUGAAUCUCUCCUUAUUUUGUGGUACAUGCCACCACAAACCAUAACAAUACUGACUAAGUCAACAACUGACUAGAUAAACAUCUGACUGAGUAAAUAUCUACUUUACAGGAACAAUAAUAUUCUAAUUAUCCUAUAACAACAACGUGAUUAAUCAGAAUAAUGUGACGGAUCAUAUUACUUGCUUAACUAGAAGUAACAAAUACUAAACACAAAUUUGGCAUGGCCUAUUCUCAUCCGGUAUAGCUGGAUCAGACAUUUGACUCCAAGAGAUCAUAAACCCCUA